RNAcentral lists this long non-coding RNA (119544 nucleotides) under Triticum aestivum (bread wheat). RNAcentral's name for it is "long non-coding RNA (TAES_LNC000940)". The record is from RNAcentral. Lineage: Eukaryota; Viridiplantae; Streptophyta; Magnoliopsida; Poales; Poaceae.
ACUUGCAAGGAUGGCAAUCAGAUCGACAUCCGCACAAUGCUGAUAUGAACAUUGUCUUGAUACAACUUUAUUUGUAUUUUAUUUCAGAAUUUAAACAACUAGUUUGGGCGGGUCACACAUGGUGUUGUGUGACACUUUAUUUGUCACCGCUACAUCGACAUAUCCAUCGACUAAACAACGGUGAUCCAACUAUAUAUUAAUAGAGAUCUUUUCUUAUCAGUAGGCACCAACUCCAGUGCCAACGCCGAAUGGCGCACUAGUGGUGGUUCCGUACAACGGCACGUUGACAUUGCACAUCGUUGGCAAGGUACGGAGUGCAAUGGAAGUCAUCACCUCAAAUUGAGCUAUCUGGUGUGGCUGCAAAAAGGUACCCUGUGCCAAUUGUUGUUGUUGAGGUUGUUGCCCGAGUUGCUGCUGCGAUUGUUGUUGGGGUUGGGAGACACAUUGGCCCAACUGUUGGGGUUGUUGUUGCUGAGCUUGGAUGAUACUCUGAACUUGUUGUUGUUGUUGUUGUUGUUGCUGCAGGAUGAUAGAGUAGAUGAUAGCACGGAUUGACUCAUGGCGGGAUUGCCCGGGGAUUUGCCGCAACUGUUGGCAACAUUGUUGCUGCAUCACAUGGCAAAUCCUCUGCUGCAACAUUUGUGACCUAGCAAGACAUCGCUGCAUUGCCACAGGGAUGCACUGCUGCUGGAGGAAUACCUUGCAUGGGUUUAGUUGCUGCAAAACAGAUGGAUGAAUAACUGGUAUUUGUUGUUGCUGUGAAAAUGGUGGUUGUUGUUGCUGCGAAAAUGGUGGUUGUUGUUGCUGUGAAAUUGGUGGCUGUUGUGAAAACGGUGGUUGUUGUUGUUGUGAAAAUGGUGGUUGUUGUUGUUGCUGCUGCGAAAAUGGUNNNNNNNNNNNNNNNNNNNNNNNNNNNNNNNNNNNNNNNNNNNNNNNNNNNNNNNNNNNNNNNNNNNNNNNNNNNNNNNNNNNNNNNNNNNNNNNNNNNNNNNNNNNNNNNNNNNNNNNNNNNNNNNNNNNNNNNNNNNNNNNNNNNNNNNNNNNNNNNNNNNNNAAUUGGUGGCUGUUGUGAAAACGGUGGUUGGUGUUGCUGCAAAAAUGGUGGUUGUUGUUGUUGUUGCUGCGAAAAUGGUGAUUGUUGUUGUUGCGAAAAUGGUGGUUGCUAUUGCUGUGAAUAUGGUGGCUCUUGUUGCUGCGAAAAUGGUGGUUGUUGUUGCUGCGGAAAUGGUUGUUGUUGUUGUUGUUGCUGUGAAAUUUGCGCAACGGCACUUGCCGCCGCAAGAGCGAGGAGGGAAAAGACGAGGAAUGUCUUCAUUGUGGAUUGAUGUCAACUAGUGUUGCUUGGUUUUGAUGCUUGUGCUUGUGAUGAUCUUUAUACUUCAUGCCUAUUUAUAGUAGCCCGGGCACCACCUCUUUUCUUCUUUGCAUCAGCUUUAAUAAAUUUGUUUGGCUGCAUCUGAAAUGAAUUUUUUUGGUACAUUGUGUUUGGUUGCGCUAGCUACAAGCGUACUUUUGGAUUAAUCAUCAAAGUUGCUUUUUAGUUGUGCAUAUGAUCACACACGAAGUACAGAAACCCUGAUGUUUGUUAUAUAUGACUCAUCUUAUUCACUUUACAUGUCACACACUUAUCAAGAUAGUAUCACUUUUGCAACCGAGUUUGGAACCUUGUAUAGGCUAUCAACCAUAAACUAAAAAGGCAAAACUUUUGUAGGACUAAGUUGCAAUCGUGUGUGGGCUGUUAAGAUAUGCUCGAUUAUUAAAGCCUUGCGUGUGGAGGGUUCUUCUAGAGUUGGUUGCUUUUUAUAACUAAUUUUGUAUUUUCCACUAAGAUGAUAAGAUGAACCGACGCCUAUAGAGCAUGACAUGACUCAUCGAAUUCCCUUUAUAUGAAAAGGAUGAUAAUUGCUUACAAGAUACUCCUACUAGCAUAUAUUCGGUCCUAAGUCUAGACAUGUCAUCAUUAGUUCCGUGUUUUUGUUUAGAUAAAUCAUCAGUUCCAUCUAUUUGUGAAAGCUUUUGGGGGGGGGUGACAGUUUUUUUUGGCGCUAGGGGAAAAAUCUUUUUUGAUCUAGGGGGAAAUGAUAGAUGGGGCUGGAACAGAGGCCCGCAGCCUAGAGCGAGAGAUUAGGCCCAACAUAAGCGCUGUGUGUUAGGGCACCAAUUCGAAUUGGGCUAUAGUUUUCGUAGGCCCCAAUGUCACAAGCCGAACUCACACUCCGCAGAUCUGCGUCAUCUCCUUGCUCGUCCUCCUCGCCGGUCAGACCUCUCGUCGGCGUAGCCUCUCCUGGAUCCCACCGCCUGCGGCCGGUCACAUACGUCUGAGGCAGCGGAGGCGGAAGCCUCCCUCCUGCCCUCCGCACCCGCUACCACCACCAUUGGUCGACAAAAAGGUCACUUUUGAAGCUCCUUCGUCGAUUGCGGGCCGUACGUCGACGGCAGCCACUCCGGCCUCCCCGCUAAAACAAGGUAUCGAUCCUGGCCGUCUGUCUCCUCCAACGAUUCAAUUCACAUGAAUUCGAGAGGCGUACCCAUCUCCAUGCCAGCCACAUGAAUCAGGAGGGUCAUGAAGCAGGAUUCAUCUGCGUAGCCUGAUAGUGACAUACAUUUGUGGCUUUGGUAGCUAAGCAACUUUGUGCUUUCUAUGGAUGUCACUUCAAAAGUUCAAAUAAUCAUCAAAUUUCCGCCUUUGGGUGCUGCAGGUGGAGUGGAGGACAUUCAGUUUCCCUCUGAUGUCCGAGAAGUCCGUCUUCGGUGCAGCAAUUGUGGGUGUCAAAACCGGGGGAUCUCGGGUAGAGGGUCCCGAACUGUGCGUCUAAGGCGGAUGGUAACAGGAGGCAGGGGACACAAUGUUUACCCAGGUUUGGGCCCUCUCGAUGGAGGUAAUACCCUACUUCCUGCUUGAUUGAUCUUGAUGAUAUGAGUAUUACAAGAGUUGAUCUACCACGAGAUCGUAGUGGCCAAAUCCUAGAAGCUAGCUUAUGAUUAUGAUUGUUGUUGUCCUACGGACUAAACCCUCCGGUUUAUAUAGACACCGGAGGGGGCUAGGGUUACACAGAGUCGGUUACAAGGGAGGAGAUCUACAUAUCCGAAUUGCCAAGCUUGCCUUCCACGCAAAGGAGAGUCCCACCCGGACACGAGAUGAAGUCUUCAAUCUUGUAUCUUCGUAGUCCGGCCGAAGGAUAUAGUCCGGCUGUCCGAGGACCCCCUAAUUCAUGACUCCCUCAGUAGCUCCUGAACCAGGCUUCAAUGACGAUGAGUCCGGCGCACAGAUUGUCUUCGGCAUUGCAAGGCGGGUUCUUCCUCUGAAUACUCCAUAGAAGAUUUCAAACACAAGGACAGUGUCCGGCUCUGCAAAACAAAUUCCACAUACCACCGUAGAGAGUAUAAUAUUUUCACAAAUCUAAUCUGCUGACAACUUUUCAUAACGUGACAUCACGCCAUGGCCUGGUCAUUAUUUGAACCGUUUUUCUCAACCAACUACUACACAUAUUGCGAGGCGGUUUUCUUGACAUGUCUUGUCAAAGCAGAGAUCGUGUCCCCUUAUCAUGAGAUUCUAAUCAAUAUGGGCGUGGGUAACCCAACCGCGCCAUCAAUCACGAUGCUUGGGGAAUAAGCGAGUUUACCAGUCAAGUGGGGAGGCAUAGAAUCCCUGCUGCCUUUAUAAGGGGAUAAGGACUCCCUUUCGCACCCACGCUUUCUUCUUCCCGAUCCAUUCCCCUUUGCCCGAGCUCCAGCAAUAGAGCGUUCGUCUUCUCUGCCCACAAAGGCCUUCCGAAAAUGUCCGGAUCAUGAGCAGGAGGCAAGUGGAUGGCCUCUACUGUCGAGGAGAAGCAUAUCAAAAAGUUUUGGGAGGCCGGGUAUCUGGCCAAAAAAAUCGACCACCGUCUCCCGACGGCGGGACAGAACGUUCCUACUCCGGAACCCCAAGAGAGGGUUGUAUUCCUCCCUCAUUUUGUCUGCGGGCUAGGGUUUCCCCUCCACCCGUUCGUUCGCGGCAUCAUGUAUUAUUACGGGAUCGAUUUUCAUGAUGUAUCCCCCAAUUCCUUCCUCAACUUCUCGACAUUCAUCAUCGUGUGCGAGGCUUUUCUCCGCAUCUCGCCACACUUCGGCUUAUGCCUGAAGAUCUUUAAUGUGAAGGCCAAGGUGGUGAGCGGCGAGCACGCCGAGUGUGGGGGCGCCAUGGUGAGCAAGAUGCCCAAUGUCACCUGGCCAACAUGUACUUUUAAUGAUUCCAUCAAAUAGUGGCAACAACAGUGGUUUUACAUUACUAAGCCACGCAGCACGGAAUGGGCCGCUGCUCCAGAGUUCCGAUCCAGAGCCCCUCUGCGGCUUACGUCCUGGCCCAAGAAGGGCCUGAACUGGUCUUCGUCUGACGAACUGUCUAUGCUCCAGACGCGCAUUAAAGAUAUGGAAGACAAGAACAUCGAACUUGUCAUUGUAGUCCAGGUGAUGUUAGUUCGCGGGAUCCUGCCUUGUCAGCACCAGACUUGCAAUAUGUGGGAAUUCGAUCCGGCCAAGCACCAGACCCUGUGAAAACUCUUUGGAUCCUCGCACGAAGACAUCUGGAAGGUGCUUUUCAAGUCUGGAAAAUCAUGGACGGACUCGGCCGAGGACCGUGGGUAUCAACUGUCCCGCCCUGCAAGCUCGGUAAGUUUUAUGCGUUUUACCCGCAUAACCCAAGGGAAAUGCCUAAUGUGUUUUCCUCAAUUCCCCUAGGGCUGGACGAAGAAGGCGGGGCGGAUCCACUGUCCGGUCCCGUUGCCCGAAGAACCGGCCGGCCCACUUCUGACGAAGAUGCUGGCCCCGGCGCCAUACAAGGCACCGAAGAAGAAGACCAAGGAGGCCAAAAAGACCCGAGGCGGCCUUCGUCGCCGCGGCACUUCAGCCACAAUAUCCGAAGGCUCCAAACCCCGUUCUGCCUCUGAAGAGGACGAGGAGGAGGAAGACGAAUCCCCAGUGGGGGGAAGAAAAGAAGAGGGCGGCCUCCAUACACUUGGAGGCCGAGUCACCUAAAAGGGGAAAAGAUCCUCUUCGUGAAGAGUCCACUGCCGCCGCCGACAGCAGCCCGGCAUGGGAUCCCAGGGCCCAGCCCCUGGUGAACUCGUGAGUAUAAAAUCCGAACACGUUUAUGCGUCCAGACUCAUCAUGGCAUAAUAUUUUAACCUGAGCUAUAUUUUUUUCAGUCCGGCGAGGUCCCGCACCAAAUGAUCCUCAUCAGAGGAUUCGCUAAGCUCGGAUGCUAUAGAGAGCGGGACGCCCCCAAAGGCCCCUUCCCCCAAAUGUGUGCAUAACACCGAGGCUUCGUCCCAGAAGGACCCCGGCCAAGGAGGGGGGGAAGAGAUCGUGAAAGCAGCGCCUGGAGUUCAAACUUCGGGGGCCGGAGACAUGGGGGAGAAGAUUCCCAUGGGAGUCGACGGCGGGAGCCAUCUUGAAUUCGGCUCCCAGCCGGGCGCAAUUCCGGAGACCAAUACGGCUCGAAAAUCAAGCAGGCGGCCUCCCUCGGUUGGAGGGGGCGUGCCUGUUCCACCGGCAAUCUCUGUCCAGCCAGAGGUGCCGGAUGUUUUGUUGGCGGCGCUGAAGAGCGCCUCCAUCGUCGAUGAACACCGUGCCCUGAUGGGUGUGGUGAUUAAGGAGAUUCAGUCUGCUGAGAGUGGACUGAAUGAAGCUUGUAUCAGCCUUAUAAGAGGCUUUGAGGUAUGUUUUAUGAGGUUUCGAAGAGUGUCAUAGUAUGGAUAGUAGCCCCUGAUACACUGUUCGGUGCAAGAAAGGACCGAACAAAGGAUCAAUUUUAUGUUCGCAGGAAGACUCACUUGAUGACAUCUAUCUCUCUUCUUUUAUAAGCAGGUGUCUGCAGUGGCUGCUGCCUCUCAUGCUGCGGAGGUCUCCGGACUAAAUCAAAGUCUGGAGCGGGCCGAAGAAGAACUUGGCCAGUUGAAAAGCCAGUUGGAAGAUAAACAAGGUAUGCGCAAGCAGGGGCGGAAUUGGGCCUAUGGCAACUAGGGCUAUAGCCCCAGGCGUGGCCCAACUAGUGCUAUUAGAUCCAGAUGAAAAUUUUCAGAUUUUUAGAUUUUAAGAGGCCCAGCCCCAGGCGUGACCACCCAGCUCCAGGCCUCAGCCGCUCAGCCCAUGUACCUUCUGAGGCUCGCAGCCCAACUAGCUCUGCAUAUUUUGCUCCUAACAAAAGCUAUGCAUCGCCAAGCAGCAGGAAGCCAUGCCCACGUUUUGCCCUAAGGAAACGUUUUUGCUAACAAAACAACGCCCACGUUUUCCCCUAAAAAAACCUUUUUGCUAGAAAAACGACGCCCAGGUUUGAUCGUUGGUCUGUUGCGAUUCCAAAGGAAUCGAUCGCACGACGAUUCGAUCGAUCUGACAAAACAUAGUUGCCUUGUUCCGUGCGCCGCCUGAGGUGUUUCCCUUCCCCUCGAUGGCUCGACAGACCUGCGCAUGGCCUCGUCACUUCGUCGGAGCAGCCCCCUCCAAGUCCAACCUUCUGGUCUUUUCCAUCUCCACAACCGGCAACGUCUUGUUCUUCUCCGUUUCCACAACCGGCUAGACUGGUAUUUUCUACUUUGGUGUAUCGUCUAUCUUUUUGCUAGAUCCAAGAUGAUUAAAUUGUACUCGUAUUACUUUAGUCAAUUUUUGUUUCGGUAAUUUGUAAAAGCAAAAAUAGAUAGAAACCCAAGAUGAAUAGGAUACGUACGAUUGUUUUAAGCAACAUCCAGCCAGCCUUCAUCGAACAAUACCAACAUCAUCAUUGUUAAACUAUUUUGUUCUAUUAAAUUUCCUCUUGUGGUAAAAAUGAAUUCAUAUAUCAUUUUUAAAGUGAAGUUGUGAUUCCCGCCAGAAAAAACUGAAUUUGUGACGUACUUGUAACAUGCACUGGUUUGUGUGGUAUAGUUACUUAGUUUUAGUCCUAGGCUUUGAGAAAUCCUGGCUCCGCCUCUGUGCGCAAGCCUUGUUCGCAUUUGGUGCAAACAAAUUCUCAUUAUGAUAAAAUAUGUUUCAUUAUUUGCGCCAGGGGUGAUGACCGAAGUCGAGGCUUUGAGGAAGGCAGUUGCCGAGGCCGAGGAAAAGGCGGCCGCAGAGCAGGCUCUUCGUGAGAAGCACGAGGCCAGGGUUAUUGAAGCUGAGCAGGAGCUUCAAGAGUCCGUGAAGAAAUGCGAGACCUUGGAGCAGAGUUUAGCGGAGAAAGAAUCCGAACUCGCCAGGGCUCAUCAGGCCGCGCGCGAUGCCCAGGGGGAAACCCAAGGCGCCCUGCAGGAGAUCCAAGAGGCGAGGACGAUCACGGCGGGUAAGGCUUUUUUCCAUGUAAAGCAAGUAUUUGAGGAGAAAACCAUGUUUCUAAUUUUGAGUUCGGAUUUCUCCAGGGGUAUUUGCGGAACUACCCCGCAGCAUAUCGGAUGCCGCCCAAUUCUACCGAGCCAAAGAAGGGAACACUGCGGAUAAUCUCUUCUGGUCGCAGUAUUUAGCACCGAUUUAUCCGCUGCCUUUUGCCGACCAAAUGAAACAACUGAUCGAACUGCAUAGGGCGGCCGAACUAGCCAUGAAGGAUUUGAUUAUCCGGCUAUGGCCUGCCGAGCCGAUUCCAGGCAGCUACUUCGGGCUCGUGAAGCGGCUUGUGAGUGCCUGCCCUCGACUUGAUGUCAUCAAGCGGUCGGUCUAUAUAGAGGGUGCGCGAAUAGCCUUCACUCGCGCAAAUGUGCACUGGGGGAAGAUGGAUGCUGAAAAGCUGAUGACCGAGGGACCGCCAGAGGGGAAGGAGCACCGCAAGCCCGAAUUAUAUUAUGAAAGUGUCCUCAAAGGAUCAUGCCUAGCGGCGGAGCAAUGCACCAAGGACAUUAUAUUUCCAUGAAUACAAUCAUGUUGUCAUUUGUAAUGUCGAACAAGGUCAUUUCUAUUAUUUAUUGCCUGUUAUAUACAAGUUUAUCCUCCUACACGGCCGUUUUAUAUAUUAAUCCUGAGAGUUGGCCAGUGAUAUGUCUCCAACAUAUCUAUAAUUUUUUAUUGUUCCAUGCUAUAUUAUAUUCUGUUUUGUACAUUAUUGGGCUUUAUUAUACACUUCUAUAUUAUUUUUGGGACUAACCUAUUAACCGGAGGCCCAGCCCAGAAUUGCUGUUUUUUUGCCUAUUUUAGGGUUUCGCAGAAAAAGAAUAUCAAACGGAGUCCAGACUGAAUGAAACAUUCGAAAGCAUGAUUUUCGGAACGAACGUGAUCCAGAGGACUUGGACCCUACGUCAAGCAAUCAACGAGGAAGACACGAGGUAGGGGGGCGCGCCUACCCUCCCUCAGGCGCGCCCUCCACCCUCAUGGGCCCCCUAUUGCUCCACCGACAUACUCCUUCCUCCUAUAUAUACCUACGUACCCCCAAACUACCAGAUACGGAGCCAAAACGCUAAUUCCACCGCCGCAACUUUCUGUAUCCACGAGAUCCCAUCUUGGGGCCUUUUCCGGAGCUCCGCCGGAGGGGGCAUCGAUCACGGAGGGCUUGUACAUCAUCACCAUAGCCCCUCCGAUGAAGUGUGAGUAGUUCACCUCAGACCUACGGGUCCAUAGUUAUUAGCUAGAUGGCUUCUUCUCUCUUUUUGGAUCUCAAUACAAAGUUCUCCCCCUCUCUUUUGGAGAUCUAUUCGAUGUAAUCUUCUUUUGCGGUGUGUUUGUUGAGGCCGAUGAAUUGUGGGUUUAUGAUCAAGUUUAUCUAUGAACAAUAUUUGAAUCUUAUCUGAAUUCUUUCAUGUAUGAUUGGUUAUCUUUGCAAGUCUCUUCGAAUUAUCAGUUUGGUUUGGCCUACUAGAUUGAUCUUUCUUGCAAUGGGAGAAGUGCUUAGCUUCGGGUUCAAUCUUGCGGUGUCCUUUCCCAGUGACAGUAGGGGCAGCAAGGCACGUAUUGUAUUGUUGCCAUCGAGGAUAACAAGAUGGGUUUUAUAUCAUAUUGCAUGAGUUUAUCCCUCUACAUCAUGUCAUCUUGCUUAAAGCGUUACUCUGUUCUCUUGAAUUUAAUACUCUAGAUGCAUGCUGGAUAGCGGUCGAUGUGUGGAGUAAUAGUAGUAGAUGCAGGCAGGAGUCGGUCUACUUGUCUCGGAUGUGAUGCCUAUAUACAUGAUCAUACCUAUAUAUUCUCAUAACUAUGCUCAAUUCUGUCAAUUGCUCAACAGUAAUUUGUUUAUCCACCGUGAAUACUUAUGCUCUUGAGAGAAGCCACUUGUGAGACCUAUGGCCCCCGGGUCUAUUUUCCAUCAUAUUAAUCUUCCAACACUUAGUUAUAUUUAUUUCCUUUUAUUUUACUUUGCAUCUUUUAUUUCUCUUUAUCAUAAAAUACCAAAAAUAUUAUCUUAUCAUAUCUAUCAGAUCUCACUCUCGUAAGUGACCGUGUAGGGAUUGAAAACCCUUUAUCGCGUUGGUUGCGAGGAUUUAUUUGUUUGUGUAGGUGCGACGGACUCGUGUGUGGCCUGCUACUGGAUUGAUACCUUGGUUCUCAAAAACUGAGGGAAAUAGUUACGCUACUUUGCUGCAUCACUCUUUCCUCUUCAAGGGAAAACCAACGCAAGUGCUCAAGAGGUAGCAGCCAGUCGUCGGCUUCUGCCCCCACGUAGGAAGUACGGGGGUGUUCGGGAUAAACCACGUAAGGCAGCAAAACAUGGGAGUCGGGCAAACCCAACAUUUGACCCAAGACAUGAUUCGGAGCUGAUGCAUGUAAUGCUAUAAGUUCGGGGUGCCGAACUUCCAUGAAGGCGUUCGAACUUUAUUGCCGUAUUAUGGCUAAAACGAAGCCCUUGGCCUAUUUAAAGCAUAUCACGGUGUACGGAUGCCACUUGACAAAAGAAUUUCAAUAAGAAAUAACAACAGAUAAGCGUUAUAUAAACCCACAUGUUGUAUUUGAAUAGUAAGUCGAUGUGUGUGAGUACGGGUAAUGUGAUAAAAAAAGAAAUAUGACUGUGGAACCUGCUGAGACCAGGGGGAAGAAGGUGUGUGCGGAUCCGGAGUAUAGUCGGAUGGUCAUCGCGGGGAAUAUCUAAGGAUUCCCUUGCGCGUUCGAGCUGCUUCCAUAUCGCCAGUCCUGGUCUGCGCAAAGUUGAACCUACAAACAAAAUGUAAGAAAUGCUUGUGUGCCGCAGAGCGGUUGAGCCGCGGUAUGUGGCCUGUCGUGGCUUUCGCCGGAGUGUUUAAUUGAGCUCUGGACGAGCCGGGCUAUCUUGCCGCGAAGUAGUUCGAAGUCCUUUGGCGGUGUCCGGGAAUCGGGUCGUCGAGUCGAGGUUCGGUUGGGAGGUGCCACUUGUAGCUUCUGUUGUUAAAGCAGCAGUAUACUCUUUGGUGUCGUGGGGAAGUUCGGCCUUGCCAUUAACCGUGAUGACGCCUAAUGUCUACUACACAACCUUCUUCUUGUAGACGUUGUUGGGCCUCCAAGUGCAGAGGUUUGUAGGACAGUAGCGAAUUUCCCUCAAAUGGAUUACCUAAGGUUUAUCAAUCCGUAGGAGGCGUAGGAUGAAGAUGGUCUCUCUCAAGCAACCCUGCAACCAAAUAACAAAGAGUCUCUUGUGUCCCCAACACACCCAAUACAAUGGUAAAUUGUAUAGGUGCACUAGUUCGGCGAAGAGAUGGUGAUACAAGUGGUAUAUGGAUGGUAGAUAAAGGUUUUUGUAAUAUGAAAAUAUAAAAACAGCAAGGUAACUAAUGAUAGAAGUGAGUGUAAAUGGUAUUGCAAUGCUAGGAAACAAGGCCUAGGGUUCAUACUUUCACUAGUGCAAGCUCCCUCAACAAUAAUAACAUAAUUGGAUCACAUAAUUAUCCCUCAACAUGCAACAAAGAGUCACUCCAAAGUCACUAAUAGCGGAGAACGAACGAAGAGAUUAUGGUAGGGUACGAAACCACCUCAAAGUUAUUCUUUCCAAUCAAUCCGUUGGGCUAUUCCUAUAAGUGUCACAAACAGCCCUAGAGUUCGUACUAGAAAAACACCUUCAGACACAAAUCAACCAAAACCCUAAUGUCACCUAGAUACUCCAAUGUCACCUCAAGUAUCCGUGGGUAUGAUUAUAUGAUAUGCAUCACACAAUCUUAGAUUCAUCUAUUCAACCAACACAUAGAACCUCAAAGAGUGCCCUAAAGUUUCUACCGGAGAAUCAUGACGAAAACGUGUGCCAACCCCUAUGCAUAGGUUCAUGGGCGGAACCCGCAAGUUGAUCACCAAAACAUACAUCAAGUGAAUCACGUGGUAUCCCAUUGUCACCACAGAUACGCACGACAAGACAUACAUCAAGUGUUCUCAAAUCUUUAAAGACUCAAUCCGAUAAGAUAACUUCAUAGGGAAAACUCAAUCCAUUACAAGAGAUUAGGGGGGCAGAAAACAUCAUAAGAUGCAACUAUAAUAGCAAAGCUCGCUGAGGGAGUCCUGGAUUAGGGAUUCUCCGGAUAGCCGGACUAUAUCCUUUGGCCGGACUGUUGGACUAUGAAGAUACAAGAUUGAAGACUUCGUCCCGUGUCCGGAUGGGACUCUACUUGGCGUGGAAGGCAAGCUAGGCAAUAUGGAUAUGUAUAUAUCCUCCUUUGUAACCGACCUUGUGUAACCCUAGCCCCCUCCGGUGUCUAUGUAAACCGUAGGGUUUUAGUCCGUAGGACAACAUACAAUCAUACCAUAGGCUAGCUUCUAGGGCUUAGCCUCUUUGAUCUCGUGGUAGAUCAACUCUUGUAAUACUCAUAUCAUCAAGAACAAUCAAGCAGGACGUAGGGUAUUACCUCCAUCAAGAGGGCCCGAACCUGGGUAAACAUCGUGUCCCUGCCUCCUGUUACCAUCCGCCUUAGACGCAUAGUUCGGGACCCCCUACCGGAGAUCCGCCGGUUUUGAAACUGACAUUGGUGCUUUCAUUGAGAAUUCCACUGUGCCGUCACCAUAAGGCUUGAUGGCUCCUUCAAUCAUCGCUAGCGAUGCGGUCCAGGGUGAGGCUUUCCUCCCCAGACAGAUCUCCAUAUUCGGCGGCUUUGCACUGCGGGCCAAUUCGUUUGGCCGUCUAGAGCAGAUCGAGAGCUACGCCCCUAGCCAUCAGGUCAAAUUUGGAAACUUGAGCUACACGCCGACAUCCGCGGAGACUUGAUCUUCGGCGGAUUCGAGCCCAGGUCGGACGCGCCGCACAGUCGCGAUGAGCAUGACGUAACUCUGUCAUCGGACAAUGUUCGGGAGAUCGCAUCCGCAACUACUCCGUCCAUCAAUCCGGAGCAAGUCGCACCAUCCGAGAGCGGAGGGAUGGACCCCGCCAUGGAGGCCGCACUGUCAGUGGCGAUAGAGCCGGAUACUGACUUCACCCCUUACGAGAGCCGUGUCGCCGAACCACUGGAUUCAUCUCCGGCCACGGACUCCGAGCCGCUCACAUCCAUGCCCGUCUAUUCCGACUGGGCACCGAUCAUGGAGUUCACCUCCGCGGAUAUCUUUCAGCACUCACCUUUAGGAGAUGGGCUAAAUUCAUUAAGGUCUCUCUCCCUAUCAGGAGAACCUUGGCCGAACUAUGUCCGGCUAGAAUGGGAUGCGGACGACGAAGAAAUUCGCUGCCCACCCACCACCCACUGAGUAGCCACGGUCGACGACUUAACCGACAUGCUCGACUUCGACUCCGAAGACUUCGACGGUAUGGACGACGAAGCUGGAGACGAAUAGGAACCACCGCCCUCAGGGCGCUGGACCGCCACCUCAUCAUAUGAUAUAUACAUGGUGGACACCCCCAAAGAAGGCAAUGGCGAUGAGACAACGGAGGAUGACCCCUCCAUGAAGCAACCCAAGCGCCGACGUCAGCGGCACCGCUCUAAGUCCUGCCACAACAAGAGUAGUGGUACCGGCACAGGAGAUAAUAACACUCUGGAUAGCACCGAAGACAACAAUUCCCUCCAGCACGGUGUAGAGCUAGAGGACGAACAAGCUAGCCCUCCAGAGCAGGCAGCAGAUGCAGAACCGGAGGAGGACAAUUACAUGCCUCUCUCCGAAGACGAGGCGAGCCUCGGCGACGACGAGUUUAUCGUGCCUGAGGACCCCGUCGAGCAAGAGCGCUUCAAGCGUUGGCUUAUGGCCACGGCAAGUAGCCUGAAGAAAAAACAGCAACAACUUCAAGCUGAUCAAGACUUGCUAGCAGACAGGUGGACCGAAGUCCUUGCGGCCAAGGAGCAUCAACUCGAGCACCCGUCCAAAAGUUACCCAAAACGCAGGUUGCUACCUCACCUCGAGGACGAAGCAUUGAAACCUCAUUCACCAGUGUACGAUGUGGUUGACCGACCACUACGCGGCCGAGCCACAGAGGCUUUUCAGCCUAAAGUUCAGACCGCACCCCGUCGCCACUCAGUCAAACAUACUAAGGCCCGGGGCAACACAGAGGACCCGCGAGACAUCUUGGACAGUAAGGAAAAAAUCGCAAGGUCAAUAUACGGAACACGGGCACGUGCGCCCACACGGGACGAUGAUCGUUGCGUCGGAUACACCAAGAGUAAAUCCGGCCGGGCCGAAUACAACAGACAAGACUCAUACGAACUAUGUUGGGAUAUAGCCCGGCACAGAGGUGCCGCACACCCCCUAUGCUUCACUGAUUAAGUUAUGAAUCAUGAAUUCCCGGAGGGUUUCAAACCCAUAAAUAUCGAAUCGUACGACGGCACAACAGAUCCCGCUGUAUGGAUUGAGGAUUUCCUCCUUCACAUCCACAUGGCUCCGGUGAUGAUCUGCAUGCCAUCAAGUACUUCCUACUAAAACUCAAAGGACCAGCUCGGCAUUGGCUGAAUAGCUUGCCAGCAGAUUCCAUCGGCAGUUGGGAGGAUCUGGAAGACGCAUUUCUUGACAACUUCCAGGGCACUUAUGUGUGGCCACCGGAUGCUGAUGACUUGAGCCACAUAACCUAGCAGCCAGGGGAAUCGGCCAGACAAUUCUGGACACGGUUACUGACUAAGAAAAAUCAAUUUGUAGAUUGUCCGGAUGUAGAGACCCUAGCGGCAUUCAAGCAUAACAUCCGCGAUGAGUGGCUCACCCGCCACCUUGGCCAAGAGAAGCCGAAAUCUAUGACAGCCCUCACGACACUGAUGACUCGCUUUUGCGCGGGCGAGGACAACUGGUUGGCUAGCAGCAAAAACACAUCGAGGAAUCCGGAUACCUCAGAUACCAAAGAUGUUAACGGUAGGCAGCGUUGUAACAGACCAAAGCGCCGCAAUAACGGCGAUAACACCAAAGAUACGACAGUCAAUGCCGGAUUCAGAGGCUCUAGAUCCGGUCAGCAGAAAAAGCCAUUUAAAAGAAAUACUCCGGCUCGGUCCAGUCUGGAUCACAUACUGGAUCGCUCGUGUCAAAUCCACGGCACCCCGACAAGCCAGCCAAUCUCACCAACAGAGAAUGCUGGGUGUUCAAGCAGGCCUGUAAGUUAAAUGCCGAGAGCAAGGACAAGGGGCUGCAUAGCGAUGACGAGGAGGAGCCCCGGCCGCCGAACACAGGAGGACAGAAGGGUUUUCCCCCACAAGUGAAGACGGUGAACAUGAUAUACGCAACCCACAUCCCCAAGAGGGAGAGGAAGCAUGCACUAAGGGACGUCUAUGCGAUGGAGCUCGUCGCCCUGAAGUUCAACCCAUGGUCUGCUUGUCCGCUCACCUUCGAUCACAGGGACCACCCGACUAGCAUCCAUCAUGGCGAAUCUGCCGCACUGGUCCUAGACCCCAUCAUUGAUGGAUUUCACCUCACUCGAGUCCUUAUGGAUGGCGGCAACAUGCUGAAUCUGCUUUAUCAGGAUACAGUGCGAAAAAUGGGUAUCGAUCCCUCGAGGAUCAAACCCAGCAAAACCACCUUUAAAGGCGUCAUCCCAGGUGUAGAGGCCCAUUGCACAGGCUCAAUCACACUGGAAGUGGUCUUUGGAUCACCGGAUAACUUCCGAAGCGAAGAGUUAAUCUUCGACAUCGUCCCGCUUCGCAGUGGCUAUCAUGCACUGCUCGGACGGACAACAUUUGCAAAUUCAAUGAAGUGCCGCAUUACGCGUACCUCAAGCUCAAGAUGCCAAGACCUCGCGGGGUCAUAACAGUAAAUGGAAACACAGAACGCUCGCUUCGUACAGAAGAGCACACUGCGGCCCUUACAGUAGAGGCACAAAGCAGCCUGUUCAGGCAGACCACUCAUUCGGCGUCACAACCCCCGGACACCUUCAAACGAGUCCGGAACAAGUUGCAACAGGAUCGCCUAGCACGAUCAGAGAUCGCCUAGCAAUCUGGUCCCCAUCCCAGUCCCAGUGAAGCGACAAAAUCCGUGUGGCGCGUACAUAACUACGCAUUGAAAAUACCAUGGACAUAGGCGGGGGCAGAAUCAGAAUACGCCCCGCAUUGUGGCUUAACCACACUAGGGGUUGUAUACCUUUGACAUUCCGCUGACUCUUUGGAAGCCCUUUCCGGCAGUAUGAUUGCCGGACACAUUCCAGAAGCAACAACCAAGGCGGCAAGAAGCUAAGAUGAACACGGGAACCGCCAGGUGGUCUCUAGUAAUACUUGAUAUACCCGCUUUUCACUAUUUAUGCGUAGCUUUCCCUGGGAUAGGACAUUUCGAAUUGUCCUACUUCAUGCUUAUUGCACUACUUGUACCAGUAUGCUUCGACGUAUUAUUCAAAUAACAAUGCAUAUCAUUAAUCUGUCAUUGCAUUCUUUCAGUUUUUCUCUUUCUCUUAUAUGUCCAUUUACGACAAUCCGCACCCGCAUGUUCGGGUAUGGUCAGUACGCCAGGGGCUCUCGUUUACCCCACAAUACGAUGCAAGAAGUCUGAACACUUUCUACAGUGCGGCACCCCGAACUUCUAGCAUUAUAUGCAUCAGCUCCGAAUCAUGUCUUUGGUCAAAUGUUGGGUCGCCCGGCUCCUAUGCUUUGGUACCUUACGUUCUGCUAUAUCGGCUAAGGUAGCGGUGGGAGAACUACUGCGAUUGUGUCCCGGUUCUUCUGGACGAGCACCUCUGUACAGAAAGCCAAAAACUGACUGUCAUGAUAAGGCGAGAGACUGGUCGCUGUUCGAGAGGUCUCAAGUCCUUAAAGACUUUUUCCGCUUCGGGCGAGGAGUCGGCCUUGUCCGGCUUAGGCAUGUAUAGCGCCCCAAAUUCGGCCCUCCGAAUACCAGGGGCUUCGCCAAAAUUUAAAAUCAUAGACUUCUAUGGCUAAGUGAGAGUGAUAAAGCAUUAUAGUCCGAUUGCCUGGUUCGUUGCGCUGAACACCUCCCUUGAAGGACCCAAAAUUUGGGUAAAGAGUGUUCAGAUUUACCCCGAACACCCCAGUACUAGUUACAUGGGGGUAGAAGCCGAUGACUGGCCAACUCUCAGAUUUUAUAAACAGCCGCAUAGAAGGUAAUAUUUUAAAUUAAGAAAGCGUCGCAUGGCGCAAAAAAACUCGUUUCAUAUUACAGGAUCACAUGGGCAUGUUCAUUCAAAAAUUACAUCCUUGGCACACUCAUCUGCCACUCAGCAGGAACCCUUCAGGACACUUUCAUAGUAAUUCUCGGGGCGGCGAUGCUCCUUGCCCUCCGGCGGCCCCUCCUUCACCAGCUUCACGGCGUCCAGCUUCGCCUAGUGCACCUUCGCCCGGGCAAAAGCCCUGCGUGCACCCUCGAUGCAGACGGACCGCUUGAUGACUUCAAGCCAUGGGCAGGCUUCCACAAACUGCCUCACCAGACUGAAGUAGCUGCCGGACAGGGGCUCGCCAGGCCACAUCCGGACUAUAAGGCCCCUCAUGGCCUGUUCGGCCACCUUGUGAAGCUCGACAACUGCUUCAGCUGGUCCCUCAAGGGCACAGGGUGUUCGGUCCCAGUAUACUGAGACCAGAACAACUUCUCCAUUGAGCUCCCCUCCGCAACCCGGUAAAACUCCACGGCAUCCAGUGCACUACGAGGAAGAUCUGCAAACGCUCCUGGAGAGCUCCGAACUCGGGUAAGAAAAAGGAAAGUCUCCUUCACGUGCUUGCUUUGCAUAAAGAAUGCCUUACCCUCUGCUAUCUUCUUCACCGCGUCAAUCUCUUGGAGGGCCUUGUGGGCUUCGGCCUUGGAGCUCCGGACGCUUUCAAGCGCCUGCGCGAGCUCGGACUCACGCGUCUUGGAGUCAAGCUCCAAGGACUCGUGCUUUUUAACGAGAGCCUCGAGCUCUUGAUGCACCUCGCCUUCUCGGGCUUCUUGUAUCUCCCAUUCCAUGCGUUCUUUGGACGCUUUGUCUUCGGCCUCGGACAAUGCCAUCCUCAGGGUCUCCACCUCGUUCGUGGCCCAUGACAAAUUCAUGAUGAUCCUAUUACUUUACACCCGAACUUCCUUUUAACUAUAUAGACAGGGGUAUAUCUUACCUUUGCUCUCUUCAAGCUGCCACUUGGUAAGGCCGAGCUCAUCCUCGGACCGCUUCAGGGCCUGCUUCAGCGCAGAGACCUCCGCAGUACAUGCGGCAGCGACCAACAGUGAAGCCUGCACAUACACAUAGACAUACUCUAAUUAGACUCCUGAGUUAUCAUUUGAUCCUCUAUUCGGCUUUUCAUCGCGAACACCGAACAGAGCAUCAGGGGCUACUAUCUAUGCGGUAAUAUUUUCUUAUAUUUUGAUUGCUUACCUCAAAGCCUGUUAGGAGGCUGGCGCAAGCUUUGGUCAGUCUGUUUUUGGCGGACCGAACCUUCUCAACCACUGCACUCAUAAUAGUGCAGUGCUCUUCAUCAAUGGAAGCGUUGUGAAGCGCUUCCAGCAAGUUGUCCGGUGCCUCUGGUUGUACAAAGGACACCGACACAGAUGGUUGGCCCCCCUUAAUGGGGGACUGCCUGCCAGAGUCUAGAACCAUCGAAGGUUCUGGCGCAGUGUCCGGCUGGGGCCCGAACUCGAAGCCCGUAGGAGCCUCGCUCCCUUGGUACCCAGGGUCCGGGAGGUCGCCGUGAGGCGCCCCCAAGAUCACCUCCCCUUGGCUCGGUGCCUUUUGAGACAACACCUCGGCGUUGUCCGUAGGGCGAGGGGUGGAAGCGGUCGGAGGAGAACCGUUGUUCAUAUCCGACGAGUCCAAAGAGCCGCUCGACGAAGGUACGUCGAGAUGAGCUCAGGACGGACUGCAUAAUCAUGUUCGGCAUGAGAAAAGCCAAUACAAUAAAACAUUCCAUGAAGUACUAUGGUGUCCGGACACUUACGACUUCGCCGGGGGCUUGUCCCUGGGUAGCCACUCGUCGCCAUUGUCGGCGGCCGUCGUGGCACAUUCCGGAGGGAGGUUCUUUCCCUUCUUGGACCCGUCGGCCUCCCUGGAUGGGUCGGCCUUCCUUUUCUUGUCUCUCCCGGCUGGGGGGGAGAACUUUUCUCCUCCUAUUCAUUUCCGUGGGAGGAGUGCGCGUUGGAGUCAUCGGACGAUGAGUCCGAUAUAACCUUGCGCCGGAGACCCUUUCGGGUCCCCGUGGCCUUCUUCUUGGCCUUCUUUUCCGGCACCUCGUAAGGUGCCGGAGUCAGCAUCUUCGUUAGAAGAGCAUCUGCAGGAUCUUCGGGCAGGGGGGCUGGGCAAUCAAGCUGCUCUGCUGUCUCUAUCCAGUCCUGUUAAUGACAUGAAAUCUUAGAUCCAGCACACAACUAAACCAGGGCAAAUAAAUACCCUGAGAGAUAUAAAAGCCUACCAGACGGGCGCGGCGCUUUGCACUAAGUCCGCGGUCCUCGGUGAAGGAGGGAAGCAUCUCGGCGCUCUUGAACAACACCCUCCAGACGUCCUCGUGCAUCGUGUCGUAGAGCUCUCACAGCAUCUGGUGCUUGGCCGAGUCGAACUCCCACAAAAAAGUGCCCGUCGUUGACACGGAAGGAUCCGGCGGAAGAGCAUAACCUGGACCACGUUGACGAGCUUGAUUUUCUUGUUUGUCAUGUUCUGGAUGCAGGUCUGGAGUUCGGUCAGCUGUACCGAAGAACCCCAGGAUUGGCCCUUCUUUUUCCAGGAGGUGAGCCGUGUGGGGAUUCCGGAUCGAAAUUUGGGGGCCGCCACCCAGUUGGAGUCGCGCGGCUCGGUGAUGUAGAACCACCCCGAUUGCCACCCCUUUAUGGUGUCCACAUAGGUGCCCUCGAGCCAGGUGACAUUAGGCAUCUUGCCCACCAUGGCGCCUCCGCACUCUGCUUGCUGGCCACCCACCACCUUCGGUUUGACAUUGAAGGUUUUCAGCCAUAGGCCGAAGUGGGGCCUGAUGCGGAGGAAGGUCUCACACACGACGAUAAACACCGAGAUGUUGAGGAUGAAAUUGGGGGCCAGAUCAUGAAAAUCCAGCCCAUAGUAGAACAUGAGCCCGCAGACAAAUGGGUGGAGAGGAAAUCCCAGUCCGCGAAUGAAAUGGGUAGGAAAAACUACCCUCUCAUGGGGUUUGGGCGUGGGGACGAUCUGGCCCGCAUUUGGCAGCCGGUGCGCGAUAUCCGCGGCCAAGUAUCCGGCUUCCCGUAACUUUUUGAUGUUCUCCUCCGUGACGGAGGAGACCAUCCACUUGCCUCGUGCUCCGGACAUGCUUGGAGCGGUUUGAGAAGAAGAACGCGAGCUUGGGUGCUAGAUCUCGAGUGUGCGGGAAUGGGUAAGCGAGAAGGAAGAAGGCGUGUGUGAAAAAAGUAAAUCUUUGUCCCUUUAUAAGGGCGGAGGAGGCGAUGUGUCUCCCACUUGCCUGGCAAAACUGCUUAUUCCCCAGGUGCCAUAAUUGAUGGCGUGGUUGGGUUACCCACGUCCGUAUUGAUGAGAAUCCCGUGAUAAAGGGAACAUGAUCUCUGCUUUGACAAGACGUGUCAAGAAAAUCGCAUCAUGAUAUGUGCGGAGCUGGUUAAGAAAAGCAGUUCGAAUAAAAACCGGGUCGUGACGUGAUGUCAUGCUAUCAAAACAUGUCAGCAGAUUAGAUUUGUGGAAAUAUUAUUCUCUCUACGGUGGUAUGUGGAACUUAUUUUGCAGGGCCGGACACUAUCCUUGUAUUCAAACUCUUCCAUGGUGUAUUCGGAGGAGGAACCCACCUUGCAAUGCCGAAGACAACACUGCGCGCCGGACUCAUCGUCAUUGAAGCCUGGUUCAGGGGCUACUGAGGGAGUCCUGGAUUAGGGGGUCUACGGACAGCCGGACUAUAUCCUUUGGCCGAACUGUUGGACUAUGAAGAUACAAGAUUGAAGACUUCGUCCCAUGUCCGGAUGGGACUCUACUUGGCGUGGAAGGCAAGCUAGGCAAUACGGAUAUGUAUAUCUCCUCCUUUGUAACAGACCUUGUGUAACCCUAGCCUCCUCCGGUGUCUAUAUAAACUGGAGGGUUUUAGUCCGUAGGACAACAUACAAUCAUACCAUAGGCUAGCUUCUAGGGUUUAGCCUCUUUGAUCUCGUGGUAGAUCAACUCUUGUAAUACUCAUAUCAUCAAGAACAAUCAAGCAGGACGUAGGGUAUUACCUCCAUCAAGAGGGACCAAACCUGGGUAAACAUCGUGUCCCCUGCCUCCUGUUACCAUCCGCCUUAGACGCACAGUUCGGGACCCCCUACCCGAGAUCCUCCGGUUUUGACACCGACACUCGCGAUACAUCAAGAUCGUACCACCUCAAGAACACGAGAGAGAGAGAGAUCAAACACAUAGCUACUGGUACAUACCCUCAGCCUCGAGGGAGAACUACUCCCUCCUCGUCAUGGAGAGCACCGGGAUGAUGAAGAUGACCACCAGAGAGGGAUUCCCCCUCUGGCAGGGUGCCGGAACAGGUCUAGAUUGGCUUUCGGUGGCUACAGAGGCUUCUGGCGGCGGAACUCCCGAUCUAUUGUGCUCCCCGGUCGUUUUAGGGUAUAUGGGUAUAUAUAGGAGGAAGAAGUACGUCAGGGGAGCCACGAGGGUGGAGGGCGCCCCCAGGGGGUGGGCGCACCCCCUACCUUGUGGCUUCCUCGAAGCUUCCUUGAUGUGGACUCCAAGUCUCCCGGGUUGCUUUCCUUCCAAAAAUAAGUUCCGUGAAGUUUCAGGUCAAUUCGACUCCAUUUGAUUUUCCUUUUCUGCGAUACUCUAAAACAAAGAAAAAAAUAGAAAUUGGCACUGGGCUCUGGGUUAAUAGGUUAGUCCCAAAAAAUCAUAUAAAAUGGCAUAUAAAUGCAUAUAAAACAUCCAAGGUUGAUAAUAUAAUAGCAUGGAACAAUCAAAAAUUAUAGAUACGUUGGAGACGUAUCAGCAUCCCCAAGCUUAAUUCCUGCUCGUCCUCGGGUAGGUAAAUGAUAAAAACAGAAUUUUUGAUGUGGAAUGCUACCUAACAUAUUCAUCAUGUAUUUCUCUUUAUUGUAGCAAGAAUAUUCAGAUCCAUAAGAUUCAAGACAAAAGUUUAUAUUGACAUAAAAAUAAUAAUACUUCAAGCAUACUAACUAAGCAAUCAUGUCUUCUCAAAAUAACAUGGCCAAAGAAAGUUCAUCCCUACGAAAUCAUAUAGUUUGGUCAUGCUCCAUUUUCGUCACACAAGAAUGCUCUCAUCAUGCACAACCCGGAUGACAAGCCAAGUAAUUGUUUCAUAUUUUAGUAAUCUCAAACUUUAUAAACCUUCAUGCAAUACAUGAGCGCGAGCCAUGGAUAUAGCACUAUGGGUGGAAUAGAAUAUGAUGAUGGGGAUUAUGUGGAGAAGACAAAAAAGGAGAAAGUCUCACAUCAACGAGGCUAAUCAAUGGGCUAUGGAGAUGCCCAUCGAUUGAUGUUAAUGCAAGGAGUAGGGAUUGCCAUGCAACGGAUGCACUAGAGCUAUAAAUGUAUGAAAGCUCAACAAAAGAAACUAAGUGGGUGUGCAUCCAACUUGCUUGCUCACGAAGACCUAGGGCACUUGAGGAGGCCCAUUGUUGGAAUAUACAAGCCAAGUUCUAUAAUGAAAAUUUCCCACUAGUAUAUGAAAGUGACAAAACAAGAUACUCUCUAUCAUCAAGAUCAUGGUGCUACUUUGAAGCACAAGUGUGGAAAAAAGGAUAGUAGCAUUGUCCCUUUUAUUUUUUUAUUUUUUAUUAUUUGGCCUUUUUUAUUUUUUAAUAUUUGGCCUUUCUUUUUUCCCCUAUUUUUGGGACAAUGCUCUAUUAAUGAUGAUCAUCACACUUCUAUUUAUUUACAACUCGAUACUAGAACAAAGUAUGACUAAAUAUGAAUGCCUCCGGUGGUUGAUAUGUCUCCAACGUAUCUAUAAUUUUUGAUUGCUCCAUGCUAUAUUAUCUACUGUUUUGGACAUCACUGGGCUUUAUUAUCCACUUUUAUAUUAUUUUUGGGACUAACCUACUAACCGGAGGCCCAACCCAGAAUUGCUGUUUUUUUGCCUAUUUUAGGGUUUCGAAGAAAAGGAAUAUCAAACGGAGUCCAAACGGAAUGAAAGCUUCGGGAACAUGAUUUUCUCAACGAACAAGACCCAGGAGACUUGGACCCUACGUCAAGACACAAAAGAGGAGGCCACGAGGUAGGGGGCGCGCCUACGCCCCCCCCCCCCAGGCGCGCCCUCCACCCUCGUGGGCCCCCUGUUGCUCCACCGAUGUACUCCUUCCUCCUAUAUAUACCAACGUACCCCCAAAUGAUCAGAUACGGAGCCAAAACCCUAAUUCCACCACCGUAACUUUCUGUAUCCACGAGAUCACAUCUUGGGGCCUGUUCCGGAGCUCCACCGGAGGGGGCAUCGAUCACGGAGGGCUUGUACAUCAUCACCAUAGCCCCUCCGAUAAAGUGGAAGUAGUUCACCUCAGACCUACGGGUCCAUAGUUAUUAGCUAGAUGGCUUCUUCUCUUUUUUUUUGGAUCUCAAUACAAUGUUCUCCCCCUCUCUUGUGGAGAACUAUUCGAUGUAAUCUUCUUUUUGUGGUGUGUUUGUUGAGAUUGAUGAUUGUGGGUUUAUGAUCAAGUCUAUCUAUGAACAAUAUUUGAAUCUUCUCUGAAUUCUUUUAUGUAUGAUUGGUUAUCUUUGCAAGUCUCUUUGAAUUAUCAGUUUGGUUUGGCCUACUAGAUUGAUCUUUCUUGCAAUGGGAGAAGUGCUUAGCUUUGGGUUCAAUCUUGCGGUGUCCUUUCCCAGUGACAGUAGGGGCAGCAAGGCACGUAUUGUAUUGUUUCCAUCGAGGAUAACAAGAUGGGGUUUUCAUCAUAUUGCAUGAUUUUAUCCCUCUACAUCAUGUCAUCUUGCUUAAGGCGUUACUCUGUUUUCAUUAACUUAAUACUCUAGAUGCAUGUUGGAUAGCGGUCGAUGAGUGGAGUAAUAGUAGUAGAUGCAGGCAGGAGUCGGUCUACCUGUCUCGGACGUGAUGCCUAUACACAUGAUUGUGCCUAGAUAUUCUCAUAACUAUGCUCAAUUCUGUCAAUUGCUCAAUAGUAAUUUGUUCACCCACCGUAGAAUACUUAUGCUCUUGAGAGAAGCCACUAGUGAAACCUAUGGCCCCCGGGUCUAUCAUCAUCAUAUUAAUCUUCCAACACUUAGUUAUUUACUUUGCCUUUUUACUUUUCUUUUAUUUUACUUUGCAUCUUUAUCAUAAAAAUACCAAAAAUAUUAUCUUAUCAUAUCUAUCAGAUCUCACUCUCGUAAGUGGCCGUGUAGCGAUUGACAACCCCUUAUCGCGUUGGUUACGAGGAUUUAUUUGUUUUGUGCAGGUACAAGGGACUCGCGCGUAGCCUCCUACUGGAUUGAUACCUUGGUUCUCAAAAACUAAGGCAAAUACUUACGCUACUCUGCUGCAUCACCCUUCCUCUUCGGGGAAAAACCAACGCAGUGCUCAAGAGGUAUCAAGAAGGAUUUCUGGCGUCGUUGCCGGGGAGUCUACGCAAAAGUCAAUAUACCAAGUACCCAUCACAAUCCCUAUCUCCCGCAUUACAUUAUUUGCCAUUUGCCUCUCGUUUUCCUCUCCCCCACUUCACCCUUUCCAUUUUAUUCGCCUCUCUCUCUAUCCUACCUCUCUUUUUCCGUUCACUUUUUUUCCGCUUGCUUUUUGUUUGCUUGUGUGUUGGGUUGCUUGCUUGUCGCGAUGGCUCAAGAUAACACUAAAUUGUGUGACUUUACCAAUACCAACAACAAUGAUUUUAUUAGCACUCCGAUAUUUCAUCUUACCGAUGCUGAAUCUUGUGAAAUUAAUACUGCUUUGCUAAAUCUUGUCAUGAAAAAUCCGUUUUCCGGCCUUCCUAGUGAAGAUGCCGCUACCAAUCUAAACAGCUUCGUUGAUUUGUGUGAUAUGCAAAAGAAGAAAGAUGUGGAUAACGAUAUUGUUAAAUUGAAGCUAUUUCCUUUUUCGCUUAGAGAUCGUGCUAAAGCUUGGAUUUCGUCUUUGCCUAAGAAUAGUAUUGAUUCAUGGAAUAAGUGCAAAGAUGCUUUUAUCUCUAAGUAUUUUCCUCCCGCUAAGAUCAUCUCCCUUAGAAACGAUAUUAUGAAUUUUAAGCAACUUGAUCAUGAAUAUAUUUCACAAGCUUGGGAGAGGAUGAAAUUAAUGACACAUAAUUGCCCUACUCAUGGUUUGAAUUUGUGGAUGAUUAUACAAAAAUUUUAUGCCAGAUUGAAUUUUGCUUCUAGAAAUCUUUUAGAUUCGGCCGCGGCAGGGACUUUUAUGGAAAUCACUUUAGGAGAAGCUACUAAACUCCUAGACAAUAUUAUGGUUAACUAUUCUCAAUGGCAUACUGAAAGAUCUACUAAUAAAAAGGUGCAUGCAAUAGACGAAAUUAAUGUUUUGAGUGGAAAGAUGGAUGAACUUAUGAAAUUAUUUGCUAGUAAAAGUGUUUCUUCUGAUCCUAAUGAUAUGCCCUUGUCUACUUGAUUGAGAAUAAUAAUGAAUCUAUGGAUGUGAAUUUUGUUGGUAGGAACAAUUUUGGUAACAACGCGUAUAGAGGAAAUUUUAAUCCUAGGCCUUAUCCUAGUAACCCCUCCAAUAAUUAUGGUAAUUCCUACAACAAUUCUUAUGGAAAUUAUAAUAAGACGCCCUCUGAUUUUGAAUCUAAUAUUAAAGAAUUUAUUACUUCGCAAAAGAAUUUCAAUGCUUUGAUUGAAGAAAAAUUGCUUAAGAUUGAUGAGUUGGCUAUGAACGUUGAUAGAAUUUCUCUUGAUGUUGAUUCUUUGAAACUUAGAUCUAUUCCACCAAAGCAUGAUAUCAAUGAGUCUCUCAAAGCCAUGAGAAUUUCCAUUGAUGAGUGCAAAGAAAGAACCGCUAGAAUGCGUGCUAAGAAAGAUGCCUUUAUAAGAGCGUGUUCUUCUAGUUCCGAUGAAAAUAAAGAUGAAGAUCUCAAAGUUAUUGAUGUGUCCCCUAUUAAAUCUUUGUUUUGCAAUAUGAAUCUUAAUAAUUAUGGGACUGAAUAUGAUCCACCAUUAUCUAGAAGGCGUUCCAAGAAUUCGGAGUCUUUAGAUCUUAAUGCUAAAAUUGAUGAAAGUGGGAUCGAAGAAAUCAAAACCCUAGAUGUUGCUAAACCCACUAUUUUUGAUUUCAAGGAAUUUAAUUAUGAAAAUUGCUCUUUAAUUGAAUGUAUUUCCUUGCUGCAAUCCGUGCUAAAUUCUCCUCAUGCUUAUAGUCAAAAUAAAGCAUUCACUAAACAUAUCGUUGAUGCCUUGAUGCAUUCUUAUGAAGAAAAACUUGAAUUGGAAGUUUCUAUCCCUAGAAAACUUUAUGAUGAGUGGGAACCAACUAUUAAAAUUAAAAUUAAAGAUCAUGAGUUCUAUGCUUUAUGUGAUUUUGGUGCUAGUGUUUCCACGAUUCCAAAGACUUUGUGUGAUUUGUUAGGUUUCCGUGAUUUUGAUGAUUGCCCUCUAAACUUGCACCUUGCGGAUUCCACUAUUAAGACACCCAUGGGAAGAAUUAAUGAUGUUCUUAUUGUUGCAAAUAGGAAUUAUGUGCCCAUAGAUUUUAUUGUUCUUGACAUAGAUUGCAAUCCUUCAUGUCCAAUUAUUCUUGGUAGACCUUUCCUUAGAACGAUUGGUGCAAUUAUUGAUAUGAAGGAAGGAAAUAUUAUAUUCCAAUUUCCGUUAAGGAAAGGCAUGGAACACUUUCCUAGAAAUAAAAUUAAAUUACCUUAUGAAUCUAUUAUGAGAGACACUUAUGGAUUGCCUACUGUCAGUGUCAAAACCGGCGGAUCUCGGGUAGGGGGUCCCGAACUGUGCGUCUAGGCGGAUGGUAACAGGAGGCAGGGGCCACGAUGUUUUACCCAGGUUCGGGCCCUCUUGAUGGAGGUAAAACCCUACGUCCUUCUUGAUUAAUAUUGAUGAUAUGGGUAGUACAAGAGUAAAUCUACCACGAGAUCAAGGAGGCUAAACCCUAGAAGCUAGCCUAUGGUAUGAUUGUUCUUCGUCCUACGGACUAAAACUGAAGGAAAUAUGCCCUAGAGGAAAUAAUAAAGUUAUUAUUUAUUUCGUUAUAUCAUGAUAAAUGUUUAUUAUUCAUGCUAGAAUUGUAUUAACCGGAAACAUAAUACAUGUGUGAAUACAUAGACAAACAUAGUGUCACUAGUAUGCCUCUACUUGACUAGCUCGUUAAUCAAAGAUGGUUAUGUUUCCUAACCAUGAACAAAGUGUUGUUAUUUGAUUAACGAGGUCACAUCAUUAGUUGAAUGAUCUGAUUGACAUGACCCAUUCCAUUAGCUUAGCACCCGAUCGUUUAGUAUGUUGCUAUUGCUUUCUUCAUGACAUAUACAUGUUCCUAUGACUAUGAGAUUAUGCAACUCCCGUUUGCCGGAGGAACACUUUGUGUGCUACCAAACGUCACAACGUAAAUGGGUGAUUAUAAAGGAGCUCUACAGGUGUCUCCAAUGGUAGAUGUUGGGUUGGCGUAUUUCGAGAUUAGGAUUUGUCACUCCGAUUGUCGGAGAGGUAUCUCUGGGCCCUCUCGGUAAUGCACAUCACUUAAGCCUUGCAAGCAUUGCAACUAAAUGAGUUAGUUGCGGGAUGGUGUAUUACGGAACGAGUAAAGAGACUUGCCGGCAACGAGAUUGAACUAGGUAUGGGAAUACCGAUGAUUGAAUCUCGGGCAAGUAACAUACCGAUGACAAAGGGAACAACGUAUGUUGUUAUGCGGUCUGACCGAUAAAGAUCUCCGUAGAAUAUGUAGGAGCCAAUAUGGGCAUCCAGGUCCCGCUGUUGGUUAUUGACCGGAGACGUGUCUCGGUCAUGUCUACAUUGUUCUCGAACCCGUAGGGUCCGCACGCUUAAGAUUACGAUGACAGUUAUAUUAUGAGUUUAUGCAUUUUGAUGUACCGAAGGUUGUUCGGAGUCCCGGAUGUGAUCACGGACAUGAUGAGGAGUCUCGAAAUGGUCGAGACGUAAAGAUUGAUAUAUUGGAAGUCUAUGUUUGGAUAUCGGAAGUGUUCCGGGUGAAAUCGGGAUUUUACCGGAGUACUGAGAGGUUACCGGAACCCCCUCGGGAGCUAUAUGGGCCUUUGUGGGCUUUAGUGGAAAGGAGAAAGGGGCAGCCCAAGGUGGCUGUGCGCCUCCUCCCUUCCCCUAGUCCUAUUAGGACUAGGAUAGGUGGCCGGCCCCCUCUCUCUCUUUCCCCCCUCAAGGAAUCCUAUUCCAACUAGGAUUGGGGGGGGGGGGGAAUCCUACUCCCAGAGGGAGUAGGACUCUCCUGGCACGCCAAGCUUGGCCGGCCAGCCUCCCCCCUCUAGUCCUUUAUAUACUGAGGUAGAGGCACCCUAGAACACACAAUUGAUCAACGUGAUCUAUUCCUUAGCCGUGUGCGGUGCUCCCAGCCACCAUAUUCCUCGAUUAUACUGUAGCGGAGUUUAGGCGAAGCCCUGCUGCUGUAGUGCAUCAAGAUCGUCACCACGCCGUUGUGCUGACGGAACUCUUCCCCGACACUUUGCUGGAUCGGAGUCCGGGGAUCGUCAUCGAGCUGAAUGUGUGCUCGAACUCGGAGGUGCCGUAGUUUCGGUGCUUGAUCGGUCGGAUCGGGAAGAUGUACGACUACUUCCUCUAUGUUGCGUCAAUGCUUCCGCAGUCGGUCUGCGUGGGUACGUAGACAACACUCUCCCCUCUCGUUGCUAUGCAUCACAUGAUCUUGCGUGAGCGUAGGAAUUUUUUUGAAAUUACUACGAAACCCAACAAAAACCCUNNNNNNNNNNNNNNNNNNNNNNNNNNNNNNNNNNNNNNNNNNNNNNNNNNNNNNNNNNNNNNNNNNNNNNNNNNNNNNNNNNNNNNNNNNNNNNNNNNNNNNNNNNNNNNNNNNNNNNNNNNNNNNNNNNNNNNNNNNNNNNNNNNNNNNNNNNNNNNNNNNNNNNNNNNNNNNNNNNNNNNNNNNNNNNNNNNNNNNNNNNNNNNNNNNNNNNNAGAGUCGGUUACAAUGGUAGAAGAUCUACAUAUCCGUAUCGCCAAGCUUGCCUUCCACGCCAAGGAAAGUCCCUUCUGGACACAGGAUGAAGUCUUCAACCUUGUAUCUUCAUAGUCUAGGAGUCUGGCCGAAGGUAUAGUCCGGCUAUCCGGACACCCCCUAAUCCAGGACUCCCUCAGUAGCCCCUGAACCAGGCUUCAAUGACGACGAGUCCGGCGCGCAGAUUGUCUUCGGCAUUGCAAGGCGGGUUCCUCCUCCAAGUACUUCAUAGAAUAUUUUGAACACAAAGGUAGUGUCCGGCUCUGCAAAAUAAGUUUCCACAUAUUGCCAUAGAGAGAAUAAUAUUUACACAAAUCUAAUCUACUGACGUAUUCCGUAGCGUGACAUCACACCACGGCCAAGUUUUUAUUCGAAUCUGUCCCACCUCAACGCGUUUAGUGAGGCGGUUUCCUUGGCACAUCUUGUCAAAGCAGAGAUUGUGUCCCCUUAUUCCGGGAUUCUCAUCAAUACGGGCGUGGGUAACCCAACCGUACCCGUCGGUAUGUUUCCUCGAUCAAAGGAGAGUCCCAAACGGUCACGGGAAGGGCCCUUGGUAUUCAACCUCUUAUAAAGAGACCAAGGCCUUACUCCUUUCUUUCAAUCUCAAAUGAGUUCGCCCUUCGCCUCUACUUCCAACACCCAAGGCUCUAGAUUUCAGGCGCUUCGGACCUUCGACAAUGUCCGGUUCCGACCUUCGAGGCCGAUGGAUGCCCUCCUCCGUCACGGAGGAGGACGUGCUGAAGUUGAGAGAGGCCAGGUUCUUGACCGGCGAAAUCUCGCAUAGGCUGCCUGCUCAAGGGCAGGUCAUUCCCACUCCCAAGCCUGGUGAGAGUGUGGUGUUCAUGUCUCACUUCCUUCGGGGGUUAGGCUUCCCGACGAUCCCUACGUGAGGGGGCUCAUGUUUUAUUAUGGGCUGGAAUUUCAUGACUUAGCUCCGGAGUCCAUCCUCCAUAUUUCUUCAUUCAGCGUCGUGUGUGAAGCCUUCCUCCAUAUUACUCCUCACUUUGGACUAUGGCUCAAGACCUUCAAAGUAGAGCCGAAGAUGAUCGAGGGAUGGCACGCGGAGUGCGGAGGUGCUUUUAUAAGCAAGAAUGCUGGUGCUCCAUGGCCCGAGGGCUCUUUUCAAGGGGAGUCCAGCUUACGGCAACGAGAGUGGUUUUAUAUCACAGCUCCCAGGAGCACCAAGUGGGUGGCGCUGCCUGCUUUUCGCUCGGGUCCCCCGCCACGACUGGCGUCAUGGGUCAACAAGGGGCUGGACUGGGGGCCGGCAAAGGACGUGCCCCUGUUGCAGGGCCGCAUCCGAGAUCUCCUAGAAAGAGACAUCAGUCUGGUCGUGGUGACGCAGGUUAUGUUAAUUCGCCGAGUUCUGCACUGCAAACGUCGGCCCCUUCGGUUGUGGAAGUUCAACCCGGAGGGACCACGAGUUCUCCAACAUUUUCUUGGCAUGACGCCCAUGGAUAUGUACAAAUUAUUCUUUGGACCACAAGUAGUGUGUCUGGAUUCUACGGAGGACGCAGGUCUGAGCUGCAAUCGUCCAGAUACUCAAGUAAGUAGCCUUGUGCCCGGACUUGCUAUCCAUAUAUUUAUCAUAAAGUUUCCCCUAAAAGAGUUGUCCUUUAAAUAGGAGUGGAUAGCGAAAGCAAAGCUAAUCAGAUGUCCGGCCCCCCUCCCCGAGACCAUGCCGGGUCCCAUGCUAGUCAAGAUGUUGGAGGUUGUGCCUUCAAAGGAAAGAGAGGGAGGGGACAAGGAAGCUACCGCCUCCUCGAAGGAGGUUGUCCAGAAGGGAGGAAUCGAAAAUUCCUCUCCUCAGGGGAAGAAGAGGACCGCCUCUGAAGACCCGGAGACCAUGGCCUCAAAGCGGGGGAAGAAAUCUUCGCUAGAGGGUCCUGUGCUGGGGGAUACUUCGGCCGAAUUAUGCCCUCAAGGGGAUCAGCCCUCCAUCGAGCCGUAAGUAGAGAGGAGUUUUAUUUUUAAGAAACGAGAGAAAUCCUUGCUUUAUAUCUGAGAAAAGUAAUCGAAAAUUUACCUUGUAGCUCGGACCUUAGCUCUUCUCAGCAGAGCUCGUCUUCGGGGGAUCUUCUUCCGGAGAUGAUGGAGAGCGGAAUGCCUCCCCCUGCCGUAUCACCUCGCGAGGUGGGCGACCCCGAGGUAUUGUCGCGGAGGGUUUCUCCGAAUCCGGCAGGGCCGGAAGGCAGUCAUAUGGCCCCCCAAAGUCCUCCUUGUCCGGCCUUCUAAAAGGGCCAUCGGACGAGUCCGGCGUCGUCUGGUGCGUGGUCGGAGGAGCUGAAGGAUCUGCUAGGGAGAGCAUCUAUCUCAGAGGAGCACCGUGCAUUGAUGGGUACGGUGAUUGAGAGGAUUUCAUCCACGGAGAGCGGAUUGCACGAGGCCGUCAGGAGUGUACUGACAGGUUUUGAGGUACGCGAAAUAAUGUACCCUUUUUGGACAGUUGCACAUAAAUAAGAUGCGACCUGUGUAGAUAGUAGCCCCUGAGACUCUGUGCAUUGUCAAAAGUGACGGUGCGCAGAGGAUCAUAAUCCCAGGUCUAAUAUGCCGCCUUCAUACGUAGGUGGCUAAGUGUCCGGUGGCAAGCCGGACUGAUGAAUUUGCCGAGCUAAAGCGGCAACUUGACGUGGCAGAUGCCGACAUCGCGCUUGUCAACAAGCGGCUUGACGAGGCGCAAGGUAUGUAAUUCCUCCGGCGGCUCCUGGUAAGAGGAGCUUUAUGCUAGUAUCUUACAAUGUGUGCGCUUGAUGCAGAUGGUGCGGCCGCCAUGGAGAAUCUUCGGGCAGAACUUGCCCGAGCCAAGGAGCAAUCCAGGAAAAGUGAUGCGGCUGCCGGAAUGGCAAUUGAAGAGCUGAAAGCCGAACAGGCUGCUCACUGCCAAAGCAAGAAGGAAAUGGCCGAGAUGGCCGUGAAGCUGAAGAACGCUGCUGACCGUUGCAAGCUUCUUGAAAAAUAAGAUCGGGCAAAACAAACGGACCUGGAGAAGGCCGUUGCCGAUGCCAAGGAUGCUCGCUCUGCGAUGAGAGCUGUGAAGGAGGAGCUGCGUCAGGCCGGAGAGAUCGCGACUGGAAAGCCCUUUAUGCUGCAGAGGAAGUUCCGUGAUCCUAAACAUGCUCCGUUGGACUGGAUGUGGAGUACGACGGACACCUAUAUGGAUUUGGCAGCGGCCGCGGAUGCGGCCGAACACUUCCGAGAUCAAGAAGAUCGCGAAGUGGAAAAGCUCUUUUGGUUGCAGUUCCACAAUCCGGAGCGUCCGCUGUCAUGAGCCGAUCAUUUGGCCGAAUGGGCCGAGCUAAAUAGGUUGUCCGGACUUGCCAUGAAGUAUGUCAUGAGUCAUCUGUGGCCAGAGAGGCCAGAGCCGAAAAGUUAUUUCAACUUGGUGCAGCAGUUCCUUGGUGCGGCGCCACAUAUCAAUGCGAUGAAGAGGUCAGCGUGCAUAGAGGGUGCGCGGAUGACUCUUGCCCGUGUCAAGACAUACUGGGCAGAAAUGGAGGCCGCCGCUGUUGCAUCCCCAGACUCGGAUGGAAGUCGAGUACCUGCCGAGCACUAUUUUCAGGAAGUUCUGCAAGGCGCUCGUUUAAUAGAGACGUAGUGCUCGAAGGACACUAUAUUCGAGUAGCAUUAUUGUAAUACAAUAUUUUGAUAAAUUGUAGAAGCUUUUUAUACUUGUGCCUGCAAGUAUUAUAAUACCUCCUGUGCGGCCGUUUAACAUAUAUGUUUAUACAAUCUGAAUGAUGGCAGUCGUCGGCUUCAGCCCCCACGCACAUAAUGCGGGGGUGUUCGCAGAAGGCGCAUUUUCACACUUGAUCCAACGUCUUGGUCCUACAAAGGAGGUGAUAGCGCAGCGAACUAGGCAAUCAUACUAUGAUGCUUUAUCACUUUCACUUAGCCAUAGGAGUUUGAUAGUGAGGCUACUUAUAUAGCCCCUGGUGGCGCCUGCGCUCGCCCGAACUCGGGGCGCGUAUGUGCCUGGCCGGGAAGCGAACCUUCGUUAAUGCGGAGGAAUCCUAAAGAUUCUGGUAAGUCAUCGAGUGGUUGACCAGUCUCACGCUAUAUCAUGACAGUCAGUUUUUGACUUUCUCUACUGAGGUGCUCGCCUCGCUGAACCGGGGCACAAUCGCAGUAGUUCUCCUGGUGCCACCUUAGCCGAUAGAGCGAAAUGUAAGGUAGCAAAACACAGGAGCCGGGCAAACCCAACAUUUGACCAAAGACAUGAUUCGGAGCUGAUGCAUAUAAGGACAAACUCGCGACGCCGAACACUCCCUAAGGUAUUUGGUCUUUAUGAGGGCGGGCGGGAUAACGCCCUUAGUAAUAAGCCCCUAGUGUCCAGGUACGUGCAAAAACUCUGACAUGGCCACAUGCCAAAAUGCCAGCCUCCUCCUUGGUUAUACCAAGAAACCAGGGGAUGUGUAUCAACAAGAGACAGUAAAAAAGGUUUACGCAGGGUCUUAAUCUGAAAAGAAUCCUUGGAACGGGUCCCUGCUGCACGUCUACGCCUGUGUCUCCGUUGUGCCGUAUCCUGGACGGGCGUAGCACGGUGUUCAUCUGUAAAAGGGAGGAACUUAGUUACAUAAAGAUCGUGCCGAACAUGAGUUAUACUAAAUAAAUGAAGUAUAAAUCGAAAUGGGUAAAAUUGAGCUUUAUUGUCUCUUGUUUUAUAUGCGCGGAGCCCCUAGUACAGGGGCAUACGGCUAUUAAGCCUUUAUAAAUUGUAUGUUUAUGCCGGACUCGUCUAGCCGUGUCCGUUGUCUUGAUGACUUGUUUACGUGCUUUGGUUGGUGAAGCCGCUUUAUUGUGGGGCUGUCAAGGCAGCCACACUGUCUUCCGCGUGGGGGGAACACUCAAUGUUUUCCCUUUAAUGAGAUGAUGCCUCGUGGACCGGGCAUCUUAAGCGUGAGAUAUGCAUAAUGCGGUAUUGCGUUAAAGCGGGUGAAAGCUUUGCGUCCCAGUAGUGCUUGAUAGCUACUUGAGAAUGGGGCGAUGUGGAAAGUUAGCUGUUCGUGACGGAAGUUAUCGGGGGAGCCGAACAUAACUUCUAGCCGGAGAGAACCCAUGCAACGGGCAUCCGGGCCUGGCGUUACCCCUUGAAAGGAGGUUUUGCUAUGGCGAAUUUUUGUUGGGUCUAUCCCCAUGUUGCGGAUUGUGUCCUGGUAUAACAGGUUUAGACCACUUCCGCCGUCCAUCAGGACAUUUGUAAAGUGGAGUCCGCCGAUUAUUGGAUCUAAUACCAAGGGGAGACCAUAAAUGCCUUCAUCAAUGAAACCAUAGAUCUGUCAAUUUGCUGUCUCUGUCUGGAGCGGCGCUUACGUCGCCGCUUUGAUUGCUUUCCCCUAAUCCACAACUCUCAAUGAAACCGACGUCCCCGUGCGUCCAAAGAUGGUGAUACCUAAAUCUAUCCUUACUUUUCAUGCCUAGCUAGGGGGCGUUAAACGAUAGCGCUUGUUGGGAGGCAACCCAAUUUUAUUUUUAUUCCUUACUUUUUGCUCCUGUUUAUUAAUAAAUAAUUUAUCUAGCCUUUGUUUAGAUAGUGUUUUUUGUGUUUAAUUAGUGUUUGUGCCAAGUAGAACCGUUGGGAAUAAUUGGGGAAAGUCUUGAUAUCUUGCUGUAAAAAACAGAAACUUUAGCGCUCACGAGAACUGCUGCCAUUUUUAUUUGGAAAGUGAUAUAUAGUUAAUUCUUUUUGCAGAUGAUUAAUAAAUAUAUUCCUCCAUCCAUAAAUUUAUUUUAGAAUUUUUGGGGUUCCAGAUCUUGCGCUAGCUUCAGAUUACUACAGACUGUUCUGGUUUUGACAGAUUCUGUUUUUCGUGUGUUGUUUGCUUAUUUUGAUGAAUCUAUGGCUAGUAAAAUAGUUCAUAAACCAUAGAGAAGUUGGAAUACAGUAGGUUUAACACCAACAUAAACAAAGAAUAAGUUCAUUACAGUACCUUGAAGUGGUCAUUUGUUUUCUUUCGCUAACGGAGCUCACGAGAUUUUCUACUUUGAGUUUUGUGUUGUGAAGUUUUCAAGUUUUGGGUAAAGAUUUGAUGGAUUAUGGAACAAGGAGUGGCAAGAGCCUAAGCUUUGGGAUGCCCAUGGAACCCCCAAGAUAAUCUAAGGACACCUAAAAGCCAAAUCUUGGUAAUGCCCCUGAAGGCAUCCCCUCUUUUCGUCUACUUCUAUCGGUAACUUUACUUGGAGCUAUAUUUUUAUUCACCACAUGAUAUGUGUUUUUCUUGGAGCGUCUUGUAUUAUUUGAGUCUUUAUUUGUUAGUUUACCACGAUCAUCCUUGCUGUACACACCUUUUCAGAGAGCCAUACAUGAUUUGGAAUUUGUUAGAAUGCUCUAUGUGCUUCGCUUAUAUCUUUUGAGUUAUAUAGUUUUGCUCUAGUACUUCGCUUAUAUCUUUUAGAGCACGGUGGUGGAUUUGUUUUAUAGAAACUAUUGAUCUCUCAUGCUUCACUUAGAUUAUUUUGAGAGUCUUAAAUAGCAUGAUAAUUUGCUUAAAUAAUGCUAAUAUGCUAGGUAUUCAAGAUUAGUAAAAAAAUAUCCUAGGAGUGUUUGAAUACUAAGAGACGUUUGAUGCUUGAUGAUCGUUUUGAGAUAUGGAGGUAAUAAUAUCAAAGUCGUGCUAGUUGAGUAGUUGUGAAUUCGAGAAGUGCUUGUGUUGAAGUUUGCAAAUCCCGUAGCAUGCACGUAUGGUAAACGUUGUGUAACAAAUUUGAAACAUAAGGUGUUUUUUUCAUUGUCUUCCUUAUGAGUGGCGGUCGGGGACGAGCGAUGGUCUUUUCCUACCAGUCUAUCCCUCUAGGAGCAUGCGCGUAGUGCCGAGGUUUUUUAUGACUUGUAGAUUUUUUCAAUAAGUAUGUGAGUUCUUUAUGACUAAUGUCGAGUCCAUGGAUUAUACGCGCUCUCACCCUUCCAUCAUUGCUAGCCUCUUCGGUACCGUGCAUUGCCCUUUCUCACAUUGAGAGUUGGUGCAAACUUCACCGGUGCAUCCAAACCCCGUGAUAUGAUACGCUCUUUCACACAUAAACCUCCUUAUAUCUUCCUCAAAACAGCCACCAUACCUACCUAUUAUGGCAUUUCCAUAGCCAUUCUGAGAUAUAUUGCCAUGCAACUUUCCACCAUUCCGUUUAUCAUGACACAUUCAUCAUUGUCAUAUUGCUUAGCAUGAUCAUGUAGUGGACAUAGUAUUUGUGGCAAAGCCACCGUUCAUAAUUCUUUCAUACAUGCCACUCUUGGUUCAUUGCAUAUCCCGGUACACCGCCGGAGGCAUUCAUAUAGAGUCAUCUUUUGUUCUAGCAUCGCGUUGUAAUCAUUGAGUUGUAAAUAAAUAGAAGUGUGAUGAUCAUCAUUUUCUAGAGCAUUGUCCCAAAUGAGGAAAAAAAGAGAAAGGCCAUAUAAAAAAAGGCCUGAAUAAAAAAAAGAGAGAAAAAGAGAGAAGGGACAAUGUUACUAUCCUUUGCCACACUUGUGCUUCAAAGUAGCACCAUAAACUUCAUGUCACUUUGCUUUUAUUUUACUUUGCAUAUUUGUCAGAAAAAUACCAAAAAUAUUAUCUUAUCAUAUCUAUCAGAUCUCACUCUCGUAAGUGGCCAUGUAGGGAUUGACAACCCCUUAUCACGUUGGUUGCGAGCAUUUAUUUGUUUUGUGCAGGUACGAGGGACUCGCGCGUAGCCUCCUACAGGAUUAAUACCUUGGUUCUCAAAAACUAAGGGAAAUACUUACGCUACUCUGCUGCAUCAUCCCUUCCUCUUCGGGGAAAAACCAACACAGUGCUCAAGAGGUAGCAGUGGUGUACCGGGAUUGCGAUGAAUCAAGAGUGACAUGUAUGAAAAAUUAUGAACGAUGGCUUUGCCACAAAUACGAUGUCAACUACAUGAUCAUGCAAAGCAAUAUGACAAUGAUGAUGCGUGUCAUAAUAAACAGAACGGUGGGAAGUUGCAUGGCAAUAUAUCUCGGAAUGGCUAUGGAAAUGCCAUAAUAGGUAGGUAUGGUGGCUGUUUUGAGGAAGAUAUAAGGAGGUUUAUGUGUGAUAGAGCGUAUCAUAUCACGGGGUUUGGAUGCACCGGCGAAGUUUGCACCAACUCUCAAUGUGAGAAAGGGCAAUGCACGGUACCGAAGAGGCUAGCAAUGAUGGAAGGGUGAGAGUGCGUAUAAUCCAUGGACUCAACAUUAGUCAUAAAGAACUCACAUACUUAUUGCAAAAAUCUACAAGUCAUCAUAAACCAAGCACUAUGCGUAUGCUCCUAGGGGGGUAGAUUGGUAGGAAAAGACCAUUGCUCGUCCCCGACCGCCACUCAUAAGGAAGACAAUCAAAGAACACCUCAUGUUUCAAAUUUGUUACAUAUCAUUUACCAUACGUGCAUGCUACGGGACUUGCAAACUUCAACACAAGCAUUUCUCAAAUACACAACUACUCAACUAGCACGACUUUGAUAUUAUUACCUCCGUAUCUCAAAACAAUCAUCAAGCAUCAAGCUUCUCUUAGUAUUCAAUGCACUCUAUAUGAAAGUUUUUAUUAUAUCCCUCUUGGAUGCCCAUCAUAUUAGGACUAGUUUCAUAACAAAAGCAAACUACCAUUCUGUUCUAAGGGACUCUCAAAAUAAUAUAAGUGAAUCAUGAGAGUUCAUCUAUUUCUAUAAAAUAAAACCACCACCAUGCUCUAAAAGAUAUAAGUGAAGCACUAGAGCAAAUGACAAACUACUCCAAAAGAUAUAAGUGAAGAUCAAUGAGUAGUCGAAUAAUUAUGCAACCAUGUGAAGACUCUCUAACAUUUAAUAAUUUCAGAUAUUGUUAUUUUAUCCAAGCAGCAAGCAAAACUAAAUAAAAUAAAAUGACUCUCCAAGCAAAACACAUAUCAUGUGGUGAAUAAAAAUAUAGCUCCAAGUGAAGUUACCGAUAGACGAGGACGAAAGAGGGGAUGCCUUCCGGGGCAUCCCCAAGCUUAGGCUUUUGGUUGUCCUUGAAUAUUACCUUGGGGUGCCUUGGGAAUCCCCAAGCUUAGGAUCUUUCCACACCUUGUUCCAUAGUCCAUCAAAUCUUUACCCAAAACUUGAAAACUUCACAACACAAAUCUUAACCAAAAACUCGUAAGCUCCGUCAGUAUAAGAAAAUAAAUCACCACUUAGGUACUGUUGUGAACUCAUUCUAAAUUCAUAUUGGUGUAAUAUCUACUGUAUUCCAACUUAUCUAUGGUUCAUACCCUCCGAUACUACUCAUAGGUUCAUCAAAAUAAGCAAACAACACAUUGAAAACAGAAUCUAUCAAAAACAGAACAGUCUGUAGUAAUAUGGAUCAAACGUAUACUUCUGGAACCCCAAAAAUUCUAAAAUAAAUUUCUGGACCUGAUUAAUUUAUCUAUUAAUCAUAUUCAAAAGGAAUUAACUAAAUAUCACUCUCCAAAUAAAAAUUGCAGCAAUUCUCGUGAGUGCUAAAGUUUCUGUUUUUUACAGCAUGAUUAUAAAGACUUCACCCAAGUCUUCCCAAAGGUUCUACUGGGCACAAACACUAAUUAAAACAUAAAACCACAUCCAAACAGGGGCUAGAUGAAUUAUUUAUUACUAAACAGGAGCAUAAAGAAAGGAACAAAAAUAAAAUUGGGUUGCCUCCCAACAAGCGCUAUCGUUUAACGCCCCUAGCUAGGCAUGAUGAUUUCAAUGAUGCUCACAUAAAAGAUAAGAAUUAAAACAUAAAGAGAGCAUCAUGAAGAAUAUUACUAGAGCAUUUAAGUCUAACCCACUUCCUAUGCAUUGGGAUUAUGUGAGCAAACAACUUGUGGGUACAAGAAUCAAUUUGCAUAGGAAGGUAAAACAAGCAUAACUUCAAAACUUUAAGCACAUAGAGAGGAAACUUGAUAUUAUUGCAAUUCCUACAAGCAUAAGUUCCUCCCUCAUAAUAAUUUUCAUUAGCAUCAUGAAUGAAUUCAACAAUAUAACCAGCACCUAAAGCAUUAUUUUCAUUAUCUAUAAGCAUAGAAAUUUUAUUACUCUCCACAUGAGCAAAAUUCUUCUCAUUCGGAAUAGUGGGAGUAUCAUAAGAAACUCGAAUACUAUAAAUUGUUUCCACAUUAAAAGAGUAAUGUUCAGAAAAGGGGUUAUCAUAAUCAUACAAGUUUUAUAAUCAUAAUCACUACUUUUUAUAGCAUAAGUACCAUCACAAUAAUCAUCAUAAGUAGGAGGCAUGCUAUCAUCAUUAUAAAUUUGCAUAUCAAAACUUGGGAGACUAAAAAUAUCAUCUUCAUUAAACGUAGCAUCCCCAAGCUUGAGACAAACAUUAGCUGCAGCAAAUAUAUUCUCAAAAACAUCAUUUUCAUCAAACAUAGCAUCCCCAAGCUUGGCCCUUUUCAUAUCAUAAGCAUAAUCACUCUCAUCAUUAAUAGUAUGGAUAGCACCAAUAGUAUAGCAAUUAUCAUAUUCUUCCAAGCAAGUGCCAAAAAGAUCUUCAAGAUCAUAAUAAGUAUCAUUAUCUUUCACAAUUAUAUUUUCAUGAGGCACAAUAGUAAUAGGAGCAGCAUUAUUUGGGGGAGAUAUCUUUUUACCUCUCUUCCUUUUUCUUUUCUUCUUCUUCACCACAUCAUGUGUGGGUUCAAUCCUCUUUUUGUAGCUCCUUAUUAAUGAGAUUGGUUGAAUAGGAGGCUCUUCCUCGUUACCUGAUUCAUCAUAAGAAAUAAUAGGAGGGUAUUGGGAAGUCUCUUCCCUUUCAUUAGUAUUCUCUUCAUCUUCUAUUUAUUUUCUUUUCUUCAUGUAGUUGGCAAUAUAAGGAUUUUCAAUACAAUUCACCGCACAAUACAUAUAAAUUUUCUCUAGAUCAAAAUCAAGAAAUCUACCAAGAUUAAACUUUGGAAUACCCUCAGUUAUACUUUUCAUUUCCUCAUACCCCAAAAGAAGACUAAGCUCUUUAUGAUGCUCAAGGGUAAUCAAAUUAUCACAAUUUUUGGGUACGAUUUGGUCAUGAAACAAUUUGCAUUGGAGAUUUAAAUGACCAUGUUCAUUGCAAAGUUCACAAGGGGCGCGAAAAAUAUUGAAUUUUUCAGCACAAACAUCAAGACUUUCUUGCAACAAUUUAGUUUCUAAAUACUUAUGCCUCUUGCAAUAUCUAUCUUCCCUAUUUGGUGUAUACUUGCAAACCCAAUGCACUCCACAAAAAUUGACAUGUUUAUAGGAGACAUUUUCAUCAUAACUAGUGCAAUCAUCAUUAGUACUACGGAUAUUCAAAGAGUUCAUACUAACAACAUUCCAAUCAUGCUCAUCAUUCAAAGAUUUAGUGCCAAACAUUUUAAUGCAUUCUUCUUAUAACACUUUGGCACAAUUUUCCUUUCCACCAUACUCACGGAAGAUAUUAAAAAGAUGAAGCGUAUGAGACAAACUCAAUGUUGGGGAACGUUGCAGAAAACAAAAAAAUUCCUACGGUUUCACCAAGAUCCAUCUAUGAGUUCAUCUAGCAACGAGUGAUCGGAUGCAUCUACAUACCUUGUAGAUCGUGAGCGGAAGCGUUCAAAGAAUGGGGAUGAGGGAGUCGUACUCGAUGUGAUCCAAAUCACCGGAGAUCCUAGCGCCGAACGGACGACACCUCCGCGUUCAACACACGUACGGUCAACGUGACGUCUCCUCCUUCUUGAUCCAGCAAGGGGAAGGAGAGGUUGAGGAAGAUGGGUCCAGCAGCAGCACGACGGCGUGGUGGUGGUGGAGAAGCAGUACUCCGACAGGGCUUUGCCGAGCUCUACGGAGGAGGAGGAGGUGUUGGAGGGGAGAGGGAGGCGCCAAGGGCAUGGGUGCGGCUGCCCUCCCUCCCCCCCUCUAUAUAUAGGGUCCCCAAGGGGGGGGCGCCGGCCCUGGAGAUUCAAUCUCCCAAGGGGCGCGGCCAAGGGGGGUGGAGUGCCCCCCAAGGCAAGUGGGGCGUGAAGGAAAUAUGCCCUAGAGGCAAUAAUAAAGUUAUUAUUUAUUUCCUUAUAAUCAUGAUAAAUGUUUAUUAUUCAUGCUAGAAUUGUAUUAACCGAAAACAUAAUACAUGUGUGAAUACAUAGACAAACAAGGUGUCACUAGUAUGCCUCUACUUGACUAGCUCGUUAAUCAAAGAUGAUUAUGUUUCCUAAUCAUGAACAAUGAGUUGUUAUUUGAUUAACGGGAUCACAUCAUUAAGAGAAUGAUCUGAUUGACAUGACCCAUUCCAUUAGCUUAGCACCCGAUCGUUUAGUAUGUUGCUAUUGCUUUCUUCAUGACUUAUACAUGUUCCUAUAACUAUGAGAUUAUGCAACUCCCGUUUACCGGAGGAACACUUUGGGUACUACCAAACGUCACAACAUAACUGGGUGAUUAUAAAGGAGUAUUACAGGUGUCUCCAAAGGUACAUGUUGGGUUGGCGUAUUUCGAGAUUAGGUUUUGUCACUCCGAUUGUCGGAGAGGUAUCUCUGGGCCCUCUCGGUAAUGCACAUCACUUAAGCCUUGCAAGCAUUGCAACUAAAUGAGUUAGUUGCGGGAUGGUGUAUUACGGAACGAGUAAGGAGACUUGCCGGCAACGAGAUUGAACUAGGUAUUGGAAUACCGACGAUCGAAUCUCGGGCAAGUAACAUACCGAUGACAAAGGGAACGACGUAUGUUGUUAUGCGGUCUAACCGAUAAAGAUCUUCGUAGAAUAUGUAGGAGCCAAUAUGGGUAUCCAGGUACCGCUAUUGGUUAUUGACUGGAGACAUGUCUCGGUCAUGUCUACAUUGUUCUCGAACCCGUAGGGUCCGCACGCUUAAGGUUACGAUGACAGUUAUAUUAUGAGUUUAUGCAUUUUGAUGUACCGAAGGUUGUUCGGAGUCCCGGAUGUGAUCAUGGACAUGACAAGGAGUCUCAAAAUGGUCGAGGCAUAAAGAUUGAUAUAUUGGAAGCCUAUGUUUGGAUAUCGAAAGUGUUCCGGGUGAAAUCGGGAUUUUACCGGAGAACCGGGAGGUUACCGGAACCCCCCGGGAGCUAAAUGGGCCAUGAUGGGCCUUAGUGGAAAAGAGAAGAGGCAGCCCUACAUGGGCCGCGCGCCCCUCCCCUCCCUUGGUCCGAAUAGGACAAGGAGAGGGGGCCGACCCCUCUCUCUCUUUUCCCCCCUCCGCGAAUCCUAUUCCAACUAGGAUUGGGGGGGGGGGGAAUCCUACCCCGAGAGGGAGUAGGACUCUCCUGGCGCGCCCUCCUUGGCCGGCCAGCCUCCUCCCUUUAGUCCUUUAUAUACGGAGGCAGGGGCACCCCAGAAACACACAAGUUGAUCCACGUGAUCUAUUCCUUAGCCGUGUGCGGCGCCCCCAGCCACCAUAGUCCUCGAUAAUACUGUACCGGAGUUUAGGCGAAGCCCUGCUGCUGUAGUGCAUCAUGAUCGUCACCACGCCGUCGUGCUGACGGAACUCUUCCCCGACACUUUGCUGGAUCGGAGUCCGAGGAUCGUCAUCGAGCUGAAUGUGUGCUAGAACUCGGAGGUGCCGUAGUUUCGUUGCUUGAUCGGUCGGAUCAUGAAGACGUACGACUACAUCAACCAAACGCUUCUGUUGUCGAUCUACUAGGUAUGUAGAUCACACUCCCCCCCCCUCGUUGCUAUGCAUCACAUGAUCUUGCGUGUGCGUAGGAAUUUUUUUGAAAUUACUACGUCCCCAACAGUGGCAUCCGAGCCUAGGUUUUAUAUGUUGAUGUUAUAUGCACGAGUAGAACACAAGUGAGUUGUGGGCGAUAUAAGUCAUACUGCCUACCAGCAUGUCAUACUUUGGUUCGGCGGUAUUGUUGGAUGAAGCGGCCCAGACCGACAUUACGCGUACGCUUACGCGAGACCGGUUCUCGCGACGUGCUUUGCACAGAGGUGGCUUGUGGGUGACAGUUUCUCCAACUUUAGUUGAACCAAGUGUGGCUACACCCGGUCCUUGCGAAGGUUAAAACGGAGUCAAAUUGACAAACUAUCGUUGUGGUUUUGAUGCGUAGGUGAGAUUUGUUCUUACUUAAGCCUGUAGCAGCCACGUAAAACUUGCAACAACAAAGUAGAGGACGUCUAACUUGUUUUUGCAGGGCAUGUUGUGAUGUGAUAUGGUCAAGACAUGAUGCUGAAUUUUAUUGUAUGAGAUGAUCAUGUUUUGUAACCGAGUUAUCGGCAACCGGCAGGAGCCAUAUGGUUGUCGCUUUAUUGUAUGCAAUGCAAUCGCGAUGUAAUGCUUUACUUUAUCACUAAAUGGUAGCGAUAGUCGUGGAAGCACAAGCUUGGCGAGACGACAAUGGUGCUACGAUGGAGAUCAAGGUGUCACGCCGGUGACGAUGGUGAUCACGACGGUGCUUCAGAGAUGGAGAUCACAAGCACAAGAUGAUGAUGGCCAUAUCAUAUCACUUAUAUUGAUUGCAUGUGAUGUUUAUCUUUUAUGCAUCUUAUCUUGCUUUGAUUGACGGUAGCAUUAUAAGAUGAUCUCUCACUAAAUUAUCAAGAAGUGUUCUCCCUGAGUAUGCACCGUUGCGAAAGUUCUUCGUGCUGAGACACCAUGUGAUGAUCGGGUGUGAUAGGUUCUACGUUCAAAUACAACGGGUGCAAAAUAGUUGCACACGCGGAAUACUCAGGUUAUACUUGACGAGCCAAGCAUAUACAGAUAUGGCCUCGGAACACGGAGACCGAAAGGUCGAGCGUGAAUCAUAUAGUAGAUAUGAUCAACAUAGCGAUGCUCACCAAUGAAACUACUCCAUCUCACGUGAUGAUCGGACAUGGUUUAGUUGAUUUGGAUCACGUGAUCACUUAGAGGAUUAGAGGGAUGUCUAUCUAAGUGGGACUUCUUAAGUAAUAUGAUUAAUUGAACUUAAAUUUAUCAUGAACUUAGUCCUGGUAGUAUUUUGCAAAUUAUGUUGUAGAUCAAUAGCUCGCAUUGUUGCUUCCCUGUGUUUAUUUUGAUAUGUUCCUAGAGAAAAUUGUGUUGAAAGAUGUUAGUAGCAAUGAUGCGGAUUGGAUCCAUGAUCUGAGGUUUAUCCUCAUUGCUGCAUAGAAGAAUUAUGUCCUUGAUGCACCGCUAGGUGACAGACCUAUUGCAGGAGCAGAUGCAGAUGUUAUGAACAUUUGGCUAGCUCAAUAUGAUGACUACUUGAUAGUUUAGUGCACCAUGCUUAAUGGCUUAGAAUCGGGACUUCAAAGACAUUUUGAACGUCAUGGACCAUAUGAGAUGUUCCAGGAGUUGAAGUUAAUAUUUCAAGCAAAUACCCGAGUUGAGAGAUAUGAAGUCUCCAACAAGGUCUAUAGCUAAAAGAUGGAGGAGAAUCGCUCAACUAGUGAGCAUGUGCUCAGAUUGUCUGGGUACUACAAUCGCUUGAAUCAAGUGGGAGUUAAUCUUCCAGAUAAGAUAGUGAUUGACAGAAUUCUCUAGUCACCAUCACCAAGUUAGUAGAACUUCCUGAUGAACUAUGAUAUGCAAGGGAUAACGGAAAUGAUUCCCAAGCUCUUCGUAAUGCGGAAAUUGACGAAGGUAGAAAUCGAGAAAAACAUCAAGUGUUGAUGGUAGACAAGACCACUAGUUUCAAGAAAAGGGCAGAGGGAAGAAGGGGAACUUCAAGAAGAACAGCAAGCAUGUUGCUACUCAAGUGAAGAAGCCCAAGUCUGGUCCUAAGCCUGAGACUAAGUGUUUCUACUGCAAAGGGACUGGUCACUGAAAGCGGAACUACCCCAAGUGAUUGGCAGAUAAGAAGGAUGGCAAAAUGAACAUAAGUAUAUUUGAUAUACAUGUUAUUGAUGUGUACUUUACUAGUGUUUAUAGCAACCCCUCAGUAUUUGAUACUAGUUCAGUUGCUAAGAUUAGUAACUUGAAACGGGAGUUGCAGAAUAAACAGAGACUAGUUAAGGGUGAAGUGACGAUGUGUGUUGGAAGUGGUUCCAAGAUUGAUAUGAUCAUCAUCGCACACUCCCUAUACUUUCGGGAUUAGUGUUGAACCUGAAUAAGUGUUAUUUGGUGUUUGUGUUAAGCAUGAAUAUGAUUUGAUCAUGUUUAUUAUAAUACGGAUAUUCAUUUAAGUAAGAGAAUAAAUUGUUGUUCUGUUUACAUGAAUAAAACCUUAUAUGGUUACACACCCAAUGAAAAUAGUUCAUUGGAUCUCGAUCGUAGUGAUACACAUAAUCAUAAUAUUGAAACCAAAAGAUGCAAAGUUAAUAAUGAUAGUGCAACUUAUUUGUAGCACUGCCAUUUAGGUCAUAUUGGUGUAAAGUGCAUGAAGAAACUCCAUGCUGAUGGAUUUUGGAAUCACUUGAUUAUGAAUCACUUGAUGCUUGAGAACCAUGCCUCAUGGUCAAGAUGACUAAGACUCCGUUCUCCGGAGAGAGCAACUGACUUAUUGGAAAUAAUACAUACUGAUGUAUGCGGUCCGAUGAGUGUUAAGGCUCACGGCAAGUAUCGUUAUUUUCUGAACUUCACAGAUGAUUUGAGCAAGAUAUGGGUAUAUCUACUUGAUGAAACAUAAGUCCUAAACAUUUGAAAAGUUCAAAGAAUUUCAGAGUGAAGUGGAAAAUCAUCAUGACAAGAAAAAAAAAUUUCUAUGAUCUGAUCGCGGAGACAAAUAUUUGAGUUACGAGUUUGGUCUUCAAAUAAAACAAUGUGGAAUAGUUUCACAAACUCAUGCCACAUGGAACACCACAGCAUAAUGGUGUGUCUGAACAUUAUAACCGUACUUUAUUAGAUAUGGUGCGAUCUAUGAUGUUUUUUUUUGAUCUACCACUAUCGUUUUGGGGUUAUGCAUUAAAGACAGCUGCAUUCACAUUUAAAAGGGCACCAUCUAAGUCCGUUGAGACGACACAAUCUGAACUGUGGUUUGGCAAGAAACCAAAGUUGUCAUUUCUUAAAGUUUGGGAUUGUGAUGCUUAUAUGAAAAGGUUUCAUCCUGAUAAGCUCAAAUCCAAAUAGGAGAAAUAUGUCUUCAUAGGAUACCCAAAGGAGACUGUUGGGUACACCUUCUAUCACAAAUCCGAAGGCAAGACUUUUGUUGCUAAAUUCGGAGUUUUUCUAGAGAAGGAGUUUCUCUCGAAAGAAGUGAGUGGGAGGAAAGUAGAACUUGAUGAGGUAACUGUACCUGCUCCCUUAUUGGAAAGUAGUUCAUCACAGAAAUCUGUUCCUGUGACUACUACACCAAUUCGUGAGGAAGCUAAUGAUGAUGAUCAUGUAACUUCAGAUCAAGUUACUACCAAAUCUCGUAGGUAAACCAGAGUGAGAUCCACACCAGAGUGGUACGGUAAUCCCAUUCUGGAAGUCGUGUUACUAGACCAUGACGAACUUGCGAACUAUGAGGAAGCGAUGAUGAGCCCAGAUUCUGCGAAAUGGUUUGAGGUCAUGAAAUCUGAGAUAUGAUCCAUGUAUGAGAACAAAGUAUGGACUUUGAUGGAUUUGCUCGAUGAUCGGCAAGCCAUAGAAAAUAAAUGGAUCUUCAAGAGGAAGACAGACGCUGAUAGUAGUGUUACUAUCUACAAAGCUAGAAUUGUCGCAAAAGGUUUUCGACAAGUUCAAGGAGUUGACUACGAUGAGAUUUUCUCACUCGUAUCUAUGCUUAAGUCUGUCCGAAUCAUGUUAGCAAUUGCCGCAUUUUAUGAAAUCUGGCAAAUGGAUAAACAAAACUGCAUUCCUUAAUGGAUUUACUAAAGAAGAGUUGUAUACGAUGCAACUAGAAGGUUUUGUCGAUCCUAAAGGUGUUAACUAAAUAUGCAAGCUCCAGCGAUCCAUCUAUGGACUAGUGCAAGAAUCUCAGAGUUGGAAUAUACGCUUUGAUAAGUUGAUCAAAGCAUAUAGUUUUAUGCAGACUUGCGGUGAAGCCUGUAUUUACAAGAAAGUGAGUGGGAGCACUACAACAUUUCUGAUAAGUAUAUGUGAAUGACAUAUUGUUGAUCGGAAAUAAUGUAGAAUUAUUCUGCAAAGCAUAAAGGAGUGUUUGAAAGGAGUUUUUUCAAAAAGGACCUCGAAGAAGCUGCUUACAUAUUGAGCAUCAAGAUCUAUAGAGAUAGAUCAAGACGCUUGAUAAGUUUUUUUUCAAUGAGUACAUACCUUGACAAGAUUUUAUAAUAGUUCAAAAUGGAACAGUCAAAGAAAGUGUUCUUGCCUGUGUCAUAAGGUGUGAAAUUGAGUAAGACUCAAAGCCCGACCACGGCAGAAGAUAGAAAGAGAAUGAAUGUCAUUCCCUAUGCCUCGGUCAUAGGUUCUAUAAAGUAUGCCAUGCUGUGUACCAGAUCUAUUGUAUACCCUACCAUUGAGUUUGGCAAGGGAGUACAAUAGUGAUCUAGGAGUAGAUCACUGGACAGCGGUCAAAAUUAUCCUUAGUGGAAUAAGGAAAUAUUUCUCAAUUAUGGAGGUGACAAAAAGGUUCGUCGUAAAAAGUUACAUCGAUGCAUGUUUUGACACAGAUCUGGAUGACUCUAAGUCUCGAUCUAGAUACAUAUUGAAAGUGGGAGCAAUAAGUUAGAGUAGCUCCGUGCAGAGCAUUGUUGACAUAGAAAUUCGCAAAAUACUUACGGAUCCGAAUGUGACAGACCUGUUGACUAAAAUUAUCUCACAAGCAAAACAUGAUCACACCUUAGUACUCUUUGGGUAUUAAUCACAUAGCGAUGUGAACUAGAUUACUGACUCUAGUAAACCCUUUGGGUGUUGAUCACAUAUCGAUGUGAACUAUGGGUGUUAAUCACAUGGUGAUGUGAACUAUUGUUGUUAAAUCACAUGGCGAUGUGAACUAGAUUAUUGACUCUAGUGCAGGUGGGAGACCGAAGGAAAUAUGCCCUAGAGGCAAUAAUAAAGUUAUUAUUUAUUUCCUUAUAAUCAUGAUAAAUGUUUAUUAUUCAUGCUAGAAUUGUAUUAACUGGAAACAUAAUACAUGUGUGAAUACAUAGACAAACAAAGUGUCACUAGUAUGCCUCUACUUGACUAGCUCGUUAAUCAAAGAUGAUUAUGUUUCCUAAUCAUGAACAAUGAGUUGUUAUUUGAUUAACGAGAUCACAUCAUUAAGAGAAUGAUUUGAUUGACAUGACCCAUUCCAUUAGCUUAGCACCCGAUCAUUUAGUAUGUUGCUAUUGCUUUCUUCAUGACUUAUACAUGUUCCUAUAACUAUGAGAUUAUGCAACUCCCGUUUACCGGAGGAACACUUUGGGUACUACCAAAGGUCACAAUGUAACUGGGUGAUUAUAAAGGAGUAUUACAGGUCUCUCCAAAGGUACAUGUUGGGUUGGCGUAUUUCGAGAUUAGGUUUUGUCACUCCGAUUGUCGGAGAGGUAUCUCUGAGCCCUCUCGGUAAUGCACAUCACUUAAGCCUUGCAAGCAUUGCAACUAAAUGAGUUAGUUGCGGGAUGAUGUAUUACGGAACGAGUAAAGAGACUUGCCGGCAACGAGAUUGAACUAGGUAUUGGAAUACCGACGAUCGAAUCUCGGGCAAGUAACAUACCGAUGACAAAGGGAACGACGUAUGUUGUUAUGCGGUCUGACCGAUAAAGAUCUUCAUAGAAUAUGUAGGAGCCAAUAUGGGCAUCCAGGUCCCGCUAUUGGUUAUUGACUGGAGACAUGUCUCGGUCAUGUCUACAUUGUUCUCGAACCCGUAGGGUCCGCACGCUUAAGGUUACGAUGACAGUUAUAUUAUGAGUUUAUGCAUUUUGAUGUACCGAAGGUUGUUCAGAGUCUCGGAUGUGAUCACGGACAUGAUGAGGAGUCUCGAAAUGGUCGAGACAUAAAGAUUGAUAUAUUGGAAGCCUAUGUUUGGAUAUCGGAAGUGUUCCAGGUGAAAUCGGGAUUUUACCGGAGUACCGGGAGGUUACCGGAACCCCCCGGGAGCUAAAUGGGCCAUGAUGGGCCUUAGUGGAAAAGAGAAGAGGCAGCCCUACAUGGGCCGCGCGCCCCUCCCCUCCCUUGGUCCGAAUAGGACAAGGAGAGGGGGCCGGACCCUCUCUCUCUUUUCCCUCCUCCGCGAAUCCUAUUCCAACUAGGAUUGGGGGGGGGGGGGAUCCUACUCCCAGAGGGAGUAGGACUCUCCUGGCGCGCCCUCCUUGGCCGGCCAGCCUCCCCCCUUUAGUCCUUUAUAUACGGAGGCAAAGGCACCCCAGAGACACACAAGUUGAUCCACGUGAUCUAUUCCUUAGCCGUGUGCAGCGCCCCCAGCCACCAUAGUCCUCAAUAAUACUGUAGCGGAGUUUAGGCGAAGCCCUGCUGCUGUAGUGCAUCAAUAUCGUCACCACGCCGUCGUGCUGACGGAACUCUUCCCCGACACUUUGCUGGAUCGGAGUCCGAGGAUCGUCAUCGAGUUGAACGUGUGCUAGAACUCAGAGGUGCCGUAGUUUCGGUGCUUGAUCGGUCGGAUCGUGAAGACGUACGACUACAUAAACCAAACACUUCCGUUGUCGAUGUACUAGGUAUGUAGAUCACACUCCCCCCCCCUCGUUGCUAUGCAUCACAUGAUCUUGCGUUUGCGUAGGAAAUUUUUUGAAAUUACUACGUUCCCCAACAGGGCGCCCCCCACCCUAGGGUUCCCAACCCUAGUCGCAGGGGGAAGGCCCAAGGGGGGCGCACCAGCCCACUAGGGGCUGGUUCCCCUCCCACUUCAGCCCAUGGGGCCCUCUGGGAUAGGUGGCACCACCCGGUGGACCCCCGGGACCCUUCCAGUGGUCCCGGUACAAUACCGGUGACCCCGAAACUUGUCCCGAUGGCCGAAAUAGCACUUCCUAUAUAUAAUUCUUUACCUCCGGACCAUUCCGGAACUCCUCGUGACGUCCGGUAUCUCAUUCGGGACUCCGAACAACUUUCUGGUUACUGCAUAUUCAUAUCCCUACAACCCUAGCGUCACCGAACCUUAAGUGUGUAGACCCUACGGGUUCGGGAGACAUGUAGACAUGACCGAGAUGGCUCUCCGGUCAAUAACCAACAGCGGGAUCUGGAUACCCAUGUUGGCUCCCACAUGCUCCUCGAUGAUCUCAUCGGGUGAACCACGAUGUCGAGGAUUCAAGCAACCCCGUAUACAAUUCCCUUUGUCAAUCGGUACGUUACUUGCCCGAGAUUCGAUCGUCGGUAUCCCAAUACCUCGUUCAAUCUCGUUACCGGCAAGUCACUUUACUCGUACCGUAAUGCAUGAUCCCGUGACCAGACACUUGGUCACUUUGAGCUCAUUGUGAUGAUGGAUUACCGAGUGGGCCCAGAGAUACCUCUUCGUCAUAUGGAGUGACAAAUCCUAGUCUUGAUCCGCGUCAACCCAACAGACACUUUCGGAGAUACCCGUAGUAUACCUUUAUAGUCAGCCAGUUACGUUGUGACGUUUGGUACACCCAAAGCACUCCUACGGUAUCCGGGAGUUACACGAUCUCAUGGUCUAAGGAAAGGAUACUUGACAUUGGAAAAACUCUAGCAAACGAACUAUACGAUCUUGUGCUAUGUUUAGGAUUGGGUCUUGUCCAUCACAUCAUUCUCCUAAUGAUGUGAUCUCGUUAUCAAUGACAUCCAAUGUCCAUAGUCAGGAAACCAUGACUAUCUGUUGAUCAACGAGCUAGUCAACUAGAGGCUUACUAGGGACAUGUUGGUGUCUAUUUAUUCGCACAUGUAUUACGAUUUCCUGAUAACACAAUUAUAGCAUGAAUAAAAUACAAUUAUCAUGAACAAGGUAAUAUAAUAAUAAUGCUUUUAUCAUUGCCUCUAGGGCGUAUUUCCAACAGUCUGCCGCUUGCACUAGAGUCAAUAAUCUAGUUACAUUGUGAUGAAUCGAACACCCAUGGAAUUCUGGUGUUGAUCAUGUUUUGCUCUAGGGAGAGGUUUAGUCAACGGAUCUGCUACAUUCAGGUCCGUAUGUACUUUACAAAUAUCUAUGUCUCCAUCUUGAACAUUUUCACGAAUGGAAUUGAAUCGACGCUUGAUGUGCCUGGUCUUCUUGUGAAACCUGGGCUCCUUGGCAAGUGCAAUAGCUCCAGUGUUGUCACAGAAGAGUUUGAUUGGCCCCGACGCAUUGGGUAUGACUCCUAGGUCAGUGAUGAACUCCUUCACCCAAAUUGCUUCAUGCGCUGCCUCAGAGGCUGCCAUGUACUCCGCUUCACAUGUAGAUCCCGCAGCGACGCUCUGCUUGCAAUUGCACCAGCUUACUGCCCCACCAUUCAAAAUAUACACUUAUCCGGUUUGUGACUUAGAGUCAUCCAGAUCUGUGUCGAAGCUAGCAUCGAUGUAACCCUUUACGACGAGCUCUUCGUCACCUCCAUAAACGAGAAACAUUUCCUUAGUCCUUUUCAGGUACUUCAGGAUAUUCUUCACCGCUGUCCAGUGUUCCUUGCCGGGAUUACUUUGGUACCUACCUACCAAACUUACGGCAAGGUUUACAUCAGGUCUGGUACACAGCAUGGCAUACAUAAUAGAACCUAUGGCUGAGGCAUAGGGGAUGACACUCAUCUCUUCUAUAUCUUCUGCCGUGGUCGGACAUUGAGCUGAGCUCAAUUUCACACCUUGCAACACAGGCAAGAACCCCUUCCUAGACUGAUCCAUAUUGAACUUCUUCAAUAUCUUAUCAAGGUAUGUACUUUGUGAAAGACCUAUGAGGCGUCUUGAUCUAUCUCUAUAGAUCUUGAUGCCUAAUAUAUAUGCAGCUUCUCCAAGGUCCUUCAUUGAAAAACUCUUAUUCAAGUAGGCCUUAAUGUUGUCCAAGAGUUCUAUAUCAUUUUCCAUCAAAAGUAUGUCAUCUACAUAUAAUAUGAGAAAUGCUACAGAGCUCCCACUCACUUUCUUGUAAACGCAGGCUUCUCCAUAAGUCUGCGUAAACCCAAACACUUUGAUCAUCUCAUCAAAGCGAAUGUUCCAACUCCGAGAUGCUUGCACUAGCCCAUAAAUCGAGGGUUGGAGCUUGCACACCUUGUCAGCAUUCUUAGGAUCGACAAAACCUUCCGGCUGCAUCAUAUACAAUUCUUCCUUAAGGAAACCAUUAAGGAAUGCCGUUUUGACGUCCAUUUUCCAUAUCUCAUAAUCAUAGAAUGCGGCAAUUGCUAACAUGAUUCGGACGGACUUUAGCUUCGCUACCGGUGAGAAAGUCUCAUCGUAGUCAACCCCUUGAACUUGUCGAUAACCCUUAGUGAAAAGCCGAGCUUUAUAGAUGGUCACAUUACCAUCCGCAUCUGUCUUCUUCUUAAAGAUCCAUUUAUUUUCUAUGGCUCGCCGCUCAACGGGCAAGUCAGUCAAAGUCCAUACUUUUUUUUCAUACAUGGAUCCUAUCUCGGAUUUCAUGGCUUCUAGCCAUUUGUCAGAAUCCGGGCCCGUCAGCGCUUUUUCAUAGUUCGGAGGUUCACCAUUGUCUAACAACAUGAUUUCCAAGACAGGGUUGCCGUACCACUCUGGUGCGGAACGUGUCCUUGUGGACCUACGAAGUUCAGUAGCAACUUGAUCCGAAGUUUCAUGAUCAUCUUCAUUAAUUUCCUCUCUAGUCGGUGCAGGCACCUCAGGAACAUUUUCUUGAGUUGUGCCAUUUUCCGGUUCAAGAGGUAAUACUUCAUCAAGUUCUACUUUCCUCCCACUUACUUCUUUCGAGAGAAACUCCUUCUCUAGAAAGGAUCCAUUCUUGGCAACAAAGAUCUUUGCCUUCGGAUCUGAGGUAGAAGGUAUACCCAAUAGUUUCUUUAGGGUAUCCUAUGAAGACGCAUUUUUCCGACUUGGGUUCGAGCUUUUCAGGUUGAAGUUUCUUGACAUAAGCAUCGCAUCCCCAAACUUUUAGAAACUAUAGCUUAGGUUUCUUCCCAAACCAUAAUUCAUACGGUGUCGUCUCAACGGAUUUCGACGGAGCCCUAUUUAAAGUGAAUGCGGCAGUCUGUAAAGCAUAGCCCCAAAAUAAUUGCGGUAAUUCGGUAAGAGUGAUCAUAGAUCGCACCAUAUCUAAUAGAGUGCGAUUACGACAUUCAGACACACCAUUACGCUGAGGUGUUCCAGGCGGCGUCAGUUGUGAAACUAUUCCACAUUUUCUUAAGUGUGUGCCAAAUUCGUGACUCAAGUAUUCUCCUCCAUGAUCUGAUCACAAGAACUUGAUUUUCCUGUCACGUUCAUUCUCAACCUCACUCUAAAAUUCCUUGAACUUUUCAAAGGUCUCAGACUUGUGUUUCAUUAAAUAGACAUACCCAUAUCUACUCAAGUCAUCAGUGAGGGUGAGAACAUAACGAUAGCCACCGCGAGCCCCAGCACUCAUUGGACCGCACGCAUCAGUAUGUAUGAUUUUCAAUAAGUUGGUUGCUCGCUCCAUUGUUCCUGAGAACAGAGUCUUGGUCAUUUUACCCAUGAGGCAUGGUUCGCACGUGUCAAAUGAUUCGUAAUCAAGAGACUCUAGAAGUCCAUCUGCAUGGAGCUUCUUCAUGCGUUUGACACCUAUGUGACCAAGGCGGCAGUGCCACAAGUAUGUGGGACUAUUAUUAUCAACCUUACAUCUUUUGGUAUUCACACUAUGAAUAUGUGUAGCAUUACGCUCGAGAUUCAUUAAGAAUAAACCAUUCACCAUCGGAGCAUGACCAUAAAACAUAUCUCUCAUAUAAAUAGAACAACCAUUAUUCUCGGAUUUAAAUGAGUAGCCAUCUCGUAUUAAACGAGAUCCUGAUACAAUGUUCAUGCUCAAACUUGGCACUAAAUAACAAUUAUUGAGGUUCAAAACUAAUCCCGUAGGUAAAUGUAGAGGUAGCGUGCCGACGGCGAUCACAUCGACCUUGGAACCAUUCCCGACGCGCAUCGUCACCUCGUCCUUCGCCAGUCUCCGCUUAUUCCGCAGCUCCUGCUUUGAGUUACAAAUGUGAGCAACUUCACCGGUAUCAAAUACCCAAGAGCUACUACAAGUACUGGUAAGGUACACAUCAAUUACAUGUAUAUCACAUAUACCUUUAUGAUGCCGGCCUUCUUGUCCGCUAAGUAUUUGGGGCAGUUCCGCUUCCAGUGACCACUUCCCUUGCAAUAAAAGCACUCAGUCUCGGGCUUGGGUCCAUUCUUUGGCUUCUUCCCGGCAGCUUGCUUGCCGGGCGCGGCAACUCCCUUGCCGUCCUUCUUGAAGUUCUUCUUACCCUUGCCUUUCUUGAACUUAGUGGUUUUAUUCACCAUCAACACUUGAUGUUCCUUUUUGACUUCUACCUCUGCUUAUUUCAGCAUUGCAAAUACUUCAGGAAUGGUCUUUUCCAUCCCCUGCAUAUUGAAGUUCAUCACAAAGCUCUUGUAGCUUGGUGGAAGCGACUAGAGGAUUCUCUCAAUGGCCGCGUCAUUUGGGAGAUUAACUCCCAGCUGAGUCAAGCGGUUAUGUAACCCAGACAUAGUGAGUAUGUGCUCACUGACAGAACUAUUUUCCUCCAUCUUACAGCUGAAUAACUUGUCGGAGACUUCAUAUCUCUCGACCCUGGCAUGAGCUUGAAAAACCAUUUUCAGCUCUUCGAACAUCUCAUAUGCUCCGUGUCUCUCAAAAUGCUUUUGGAGCCCCGGCUCUAAGCUGUAAAGCAUGCGGCACUGAACGAGGGAGUAAUCAUCGGAACGUGUCUGCCAAGCGUUCAUAACGUCUUGUUCUGCAGGGAGAACAGGUGCUUCACCUAGCGGUGCUUGUAGGACAUAAUCUUUCUUGGCAGCUAUGAGGAUGAUCCUCAGGUUCCGGACCCAGUCCGUAUAGUUCCUGCCAUCAUCUUUCAGCUUGGUUUUCUCUAGGAACGCGUUGAAGUUGAGGACAACAUUGGUCAUUUGAUCUACAAGACAUAUUGUAAAUAUUUUAGACUAAGUUCAUGAUAAUUAAGUUCAUCUAAUCAAAUUAUUCAGUGAACUCCCACUUAGAUAGACAUCCCUCCAGUCAUCUAAGUAUAACAUGAUCCGAGUUAACUAGGCCGUGUCCGAUCAUCACGUGAGACGGACUAGUCAACAUCGGUGAACAUCUUCAUGUUGAUCGUAUCUUCUAUACGACUCAUGCUCGACCUUUCGGUCUUCUAUGUUCCGAGGCCAUGUCUAUACAUGCUAGGCUCGUCAAGUCAACCUAAGUGUUUGCAUGUGUAAAUCUGUCUUACACCCGUUGUAUGUGAACGUUGGAAUCUAUCAUACCCGAUCAUCACGUGGUGCUUCGAAACAACGAACUGUCGCAACGGUGCACAGUUAGGGGGAACAUUUUCUUGAAAUUAUUAUGAGGGAUCAUCUUAUUUACUACCGUCGUUCUAAGUAAACAAGAUGCAAAAACAUGAUAAACAUCACAUGCAAUAAUAAUAGUGACAUGAUAUGGCCAAUAUCACAUAGCUCCUUUGAUCUCCAUCUUGGGGCUCCAUGAUCAUCUUGUCACCGGCAUGACACCAUGAUCUCCAUCAUCAUCGUGUCUCCAUGAAGUUGCUCGCCAACUAUUACUUCUACUACUAUGGCUAACACGUUUAGCAAUAAAGUAAAGUAAUUUACAUGGCGUUUCUCAAUGACACGCAGGUCAUACAAAAAAAUAAAGACAACUCCUAUGGCUCCUGCCGGUUGUCAUACUCAUCGACAUGCAAGUCGUGAUUCCUAUUACAAUAGCAUGAACAUCUCAUACGUCACAUAUAUAUCAUUCAUCAUUCAUCACAACUUUGGCCAUAUCACAUCACAAAACACUUGCUGCAAAAACAAGUUAGACGUCCUCUAAUUGUUGUUGCAAGUUUUACGUGGCUGAAAUAGGGUUCUAGCAAGAAUGUUUUCUUACCUACGUGAAAGCCACAACGUGAUUUGUCAACUUCUAUUUACCCUUCAUAAGGACCCUUUUCAUCGAAUCCGCUCCAACUAAAGUGGGAGAGACAGACACCCGCCAACCACCUUAUGCAACUAGUGCAUGUUAGUCGGUGGAACCGGUCUCACAUAAGCGUACGUGUAAGGUUGGUCCGGGCCGCUUUAUCCCACAAUACCGCUGAAGCAAAAUAAGACUAGUAGCGGCAAGAAAGUUGACAACAUCUACGCCCACAACAAAUUAUGUUCUACUCGUGCAAAGAGAACUACACAUAGACCUAGCUCAUGAUGCCACUGUUGGGGAACGUUGCAGAAAACAAAAAAAUUCCUACGGUUUCACCAAGAUCCAUCUAUGAGUUCAUCUAGCAAGGAGUGAUCGGAUGCAUCUACAUACCUUGUAGAUCAUGAGCGGAAGCGUUCAAAGAACGGGGAUGAGGGAGUCGUACUCGACGUGAUCCAAAUCACCGGAGAUCCUAGCGCCGAACGGACGGCACCUCCGCGUUCAACACACGUACGGUCAGCGUGACGUCUCCUCCUUCUUGAUCCAGCAAGGGGAAGGAGAGGUUGAGGAAGAUGGCUCCAGCAGCAGCACGACGGCGUGAUGGUGGUGGAGAAGCAGUACUCCGACUAGGCUUCGCCGAGCUCUACGGAGGAGGAGGAGGUGUUGGAGGGGAGAGGGAGGCGCCAAGGGCAUGGGUGCGGCUGCCCUCCCUCCCCCCUCUAUAUAUAGGGUCCCCAAGGGGGGCGCCGGCCCUGGAGAUCCAAUCUCCCAAGGGGCGGCGGCCAAGGGGGGUGGAGUGCCCCCCAAGGCAAGUGGGGCGCCCCCCACCCUAGGGUUCCCAACCCUAGGAGCAGGGGGAAGGCCCAAGGGGGGCGCACCAGCCCACUAGGGGCUGGUUCCCCUCCCACUUCAGCCCAUGGGGCCCUCCGGGAUAGGUGGCCCCACCCGGUGGACCCCCGGGACCCUUCCGGUGGUCCCGGUACAAUACCGGUGACCCCGAAACUUGUCCCGAUUGCCGAAAUAGCACUUCCUAUAUAUAAUUCUUUACCUCCGGACCAUUCCGGAACUCCUUGUGACGUCCAGGAUCUCAUCCGAGACUCCUAACAACUUUCGGGUUACUGCAUAUUCAUAUCCCUACAACCCUAGCGUCAUCGAACCUUAAGUGUGUAGACCCUACGGGUUUGGGAGACAUGUAGACAUGACCGAGAUGGCUCUCCGGUCAAUAACCAACAAUGGGAUCUAGAUACCUAUGUUGGCUCCCACAUGCUCCUCGAUGAUCUCAUCGGAUGAACCACGAUGUCGAGGAUUCAAGCAACCCCGUAUACAAUUCCCUUUGUCAAUCGGUACGUUACUUGCCCGAGAUUCGAUCGUCGGUACAAUACCUCGUUCAAUCUCGUUACCGGCAAGUCACUUUACUCGUACUGUAAUGCAUGAUCCCGUGACCAGACACUUGGUCACUUUGAGCUCAUUGUGAUGAUGCAUUACCGAAUGGGCCCAGAGAUACCUCUCCGUCAUACGGAGUGACAAAUCCCAGUCUUGAUCCGUGUCAACCCAACAGACACUUUCGGAGAUACCUGUAGUAUACCUUUAUAGUCACCCAGUUACGUUGUGACGUUUGGUACACCCAAAGCACUCCUACGGUAUCCGGGAGUUACACGAUCUCAUGGUCUAAGGAAAGGAUACUUGACAUUGGAAAAACUCUAGCAAACGAACUAUACAAUCUUGUGCUAUGUUUAGGAUUGGGUCUUGUCCAUCACAUCAUUCUCCUAAUGAUGUGAUCUCGUUAUCAAUGACAUCCAAUGUCCAUUGUCAGGAAACCAUGACUAUCUGUUGAUCAACGAGCUAGUCAACUAGAGGCUUACUAGGGACAUGUUGGUUUCUAUUUAUUCACACAUGUAUUACGAUUUCCGGAUAACACAAUUAUAGCAUGAAUAAAAGACAAUUAUCAUGAACAAGGAAAUAUAAUAAUAAUGCUUUUAUUAUUGCCUCUAGGGCAUAUUUCCAACACUCAAUUCCAUUUUUUAUAGUUUUCUUUUAUAAACUAAACUAGUGAUAAAACAAGAAACAAAAAGAUUCGACUUCAAGAUCUAAAGAUAUACCUUCAAGCGCUAACCUCCCCGGAACGGCGCCAGAAAAGAGCUUGAUGUCUACUACACAACCUUCUUCUUGUAGACGUUGUUGGGCCUCCAAGUGCAGAGGUUUGUAGGAUAGUAUAAAAUUUCCCUCAAGUGGAUGACCUAAGGUUUAUCAAUCCAUAGGAGGCGUAGGAUAAAUAUGGUCUCUCUCAAGCAACCCUGCAACCAAAUAACAUGGAGUCUCUUGUGUCCCCAACACACCCAAUACAAUGGUAAAUUGUAUAGGUGCACUAGUUCGGCGAAGAGAUGGUGAUACAAGUGGUAUAUUGAUGGUAGAUAAAGGUUUUUGUAAUCUGAAAAUAUAAAUACAGCAAAGUAACUAAUGAUAAAAGUGAGCGUACACGCUAUUGCAAUGCUAGGAAAAAAGGCCUAGGGUUCAUACUUUCACUAGUGCAAGUUCCCUCGACAAUAAUAACAUAAUUGAAUCACAUAAUUAUCCCUCAACAUGCAACAAAGUGUCACUCCAAAGUCACUAAUAGUGGAGAACGAACGAAGAGAUUAUGGUAGGGUAUGAAACCACCUCAAAGUUAUUCUUUCCAAUCAAUCCGUUGGGCUAUUCCUAUAAGUGUCACAAACAACCCUAGAGUUUGUACUAGAAUAACACCUUAAGACACAAAUCAACCAAAACCCUAAUGUCACCUAGAUACUCCAAUGUCACCUCAAGUAUCCGUGGGUAUGAUUAUACGAUAUGCAUCACACAAUCUCAGAUUCAUCUAUUCAACCAACACAUAGAACCUCAAAGAGUGCCCUAAAGUUUCUAUCGGAGAAUCACGACGAAACCGUGUGCCAACCCCUAUGCAUAGGUUCAUGGGAGGAACCCGCAAGUUGAUCACCAAAACAUACAUCAAGAGAAUCACGUGGUAUCCCAUUGUCACCACAGAUACGCAUGGCAAGACAUACAUCAAGUGUUCUCAAAUCUUUAAAGACUCAAUCCGAUAAGAUAACUUCAAAGGGAAAACUCAAUCCAUUACAAGAGAGUAGAGGGGGGAGAAAACAUCAUAAGAUCCAACUAUAAUAGCAAACUCACAAUACAUCAAGAUCGUACCACCUCAAGAACACGAGAGAGAGAGAGAGAGAGAGAGAGAGAGAGAGAGAGAGAGAUCAAACACAUAGCUACUGGUACAUACCCUCAGUCCCGAGGGAGAACUACUCCCUCCUCGUCAUGGAGAGCAUCGGGAUGAUGAAGAUGACCACCGAAGAGGGAUUCCCCCUCCGGCAGGGUGCUGGAACGGGUCUCGAUUGUCUUUCGGUGGCAACGAAGGCUUCUGGCGGCAGAACUUCCGAUCUAUUGUGAUCCCCGAUCGUUUUAGGGUAUAUGGGUAUAUAUAGGAGGAAGAAGUACGUCAGGGGAGCCACGAGGGGCCCAUGAGGGUCGAGGGCGUGCCCAGGGGGGUGGGCGCGCGCCCCUACCUCGUGGCUUCCUCGAAGCUUCCUUGACGUGGACUCCAAGUCUCCCGGGUUGCUUUCCUUCCAAAAAUAAGUUCCGUGAAGUUUCAAGUCAAUUGGACUCCGUUUGAUUUUCCUUUUCUGCGAUACUCUAAAACAAGGAAAAAAAAGAAGCUGGCACUGGGUUCUAGGUUAAUAGGUUAGUCCCAAAAAAUCAUAUAAAAUAGCAUAUAAAUGCAUAUGAAACAUCCAAGGUUGAUAAUAUAAUAGCAUGGAACAAUCAAAAAUUAUAGAUACGUUGGAGACGUGUCAACGCCGCGUGGGUCGGGCAUCGUGAGCUUACGGUAGGCAUAAUGUGGUACCGCGUUGAAUUGAGCGAACGCGGUUCGUCUGAGUAGUGCCUGAUAAUCACUGCGAAAGGGGACGAUGUCGAAGAUUAACUCUUCGGCACGGUAAUUGUCUGGUGAUCCGGAGACUACUUCAAGGGCGAAGGAGCCUGUACAGCUGGCCUCCAUACCUGGUAUGAUACCUCUGAAGGUGGUUUUAGUGGGAUUGAUCACCGAAUGAUCGAUGACCAUCUUGCGCACUGUGUCCUAGUAAAGUAGGUUUAGACUGCUCCCUCCGUCCAUAAGGACUCGCGUGAGGUGGAACCCGUCAAUUAUUGGGUCGAGGACUAGUGCGGCUGGAUUGCCCUGAUUGGUGUUAACCGGACGAUCCGUGCGGUUGAAGGUGAUCGGCCCUAGUUUAUAUUGUGGGACGACUGGUUCCGUUAAGUCGACAUCCCUAAGGGUGUGCGUCCGGUCCGGGUUGGGAGUGUAGGUGCCGUUUACUACGUUCACCGUUUGGAUUUGCGGGGGAAAUUUCUUUUGCCCUCCUGUACUCGAUGAUCUGGGCUCCUCGUCGCCAUCGUCGCUUUGAGACCCCUUAUCUUUGUUUUUGGCACCUGACCUGCCGGCUUGUUUGAAGAUCCAGCAUUCUCUGUUGGUAUGAUUGGCUGGUGUUCAUGCGGUGCCAUGAAUUUGGCAUGGGCGGUUGAGUAUGCGGUACAGGCUGGACGGACCCGAAUUUGGCAUGGGAGGGGAAAGCCAGGGUUCGUCCCGUUCGGGUUCGACCCGACCGAGCCACAAACAACGACCGAGCUGGGUGGGCCCGAGUCAGUGGCGUGGCGCGCGCGGGUAUGCCACCAUGUCACCUGACACGUGGGCCCGCUCGGUUAGAUUCAUGGUCAAUACGUGCUUAUACGGCUGUCAAACCGUUUUGCAACACUUAGGCUUAGAGCUGGUACUGAAUUGCAAAAAUUGUGUCUAAUGGUACUGAUUCGUUACGACGUGCCGAAGUGUAGUAGUUUCUUGCAAUUAACUCAAACUCUACGGUUAUAUCACCUCGAUGUGUGAGUCAAUGUGUUUGAACCAAUCAAGAGUUGCAUGUGAAUGUUUCAAGUGUGAUUAAUAGGUCCGUGUUAUAACAGCCACACCUUGCGAAAGAAGAUAGCAAACACCCAAUCAUGUCUAGUAGUUCGAUAUGGGCGCAACUAUGGGUAGCUUAUAGCGACACGGAAGCCAGCGUUUCCUAAAGAAACUCUCGGUUGGGCCGCCCUAGAGACAAAUUAUUUUUCUCUCAUUUUUUCUUAAUAUUAUUUAUUUCUAUUUUAAAAAAUAAAAGUAAAUAUAUUCCACAAACAAAUACUGAAAUUCUGAAAAAAUGUUGGUCCAUUGUUAAAAAAAUAUUGAUAGCAUUAAACAAAUCAUGGUAACAAAAUAAUCUACACAUAUUUAAAAAAUUGUACGUGAAAUUAUAAUGAAUGUUAAAUUUGUUUAAAAAUGUUCCUAAUGUAAUGUACAACAUGAAACAAAUUAUACAUCAAAACAUAUAUUUGAAAAUUGUUAAUUGUUUAUUUGAAAAAUGUUAAAUGUGUAUAGAAAAAAAGGUUCCUGAUAUAUAAGACAAAUGCAUGAAGUACAUGCAAUUUUUUUUACAUCCAAAGAUAUAUUUUAAAAAUAUUAAUCAUGUAUUUUAAAACUGUUAAAUGUUUAUAGAGAAAAAAUGCUCCUGAUGCAUACGAAACAAUUUCCAAUGUGUAUGAAAAAAUUAGACAUGAAAUAAGUAUUUUAAAAAAAAAUUAAUGAUUCUAUUUAAAAAUAUUUCUCAUGUAGAUGGAAAGAAAACUCGACUUAAAAAAGACUCAAAAAGAAAAAGAACGUACAGAGAGCAAAUUAGAAACAACUGAGUGAACUAGCGAUAUGCGAGAACACGUUAAUGGUCCAGCCCAUACAUGAGGACUCCAGAGGUGAGCCUGAAUAGGUGUGAUAUAGCUAUGACGAUUUGACACCCUUCAUAGCUUCACGAAUGCUAUAUCUCGCGCAAAGCGAGAUUAGCAUUUGCCACGCCUGAAGGUGCAAGAAUAGCAUCAGGUCGUUGUAAGGUUUGCAAUCCUACCAUCAGAGCUUCUAUCCGAUUUAAAUCAUGUUUCUGGCAACCUUGGGUCAUUCGCUCGCGCUCAAGCCAUUCGCUCACAGGUUCCACACACUAGUUUGGUUACUUUUUUUUCUUAUUUUCUUUCUUCACCGGUUUUCUUUCAUUUUUUGAAAAAAAAAAUUCAUCGGUUUUCUUUGUGUCUUUCAUGUUUUACUCUUGUUUUCCUUUUUUACUCGUUUAUCUAUCCUUUUUUUUCUUUGUUUCUUUCUCAGUGUUCUUUGUUUAGGGUUUAGGGAUUUCUUUGUUUUCCUUUCUUUUAAUGUCAACCUUUUGACAUAUAUUUUUUGUAUAUAUCAAAAAUAUUUUUGAUAGAGAGGUUUAACAGUUUUCAAAUACAUGAUUACCCUUUUUAAAGUUAUAUUUUUUGACAUCUACUUGUUCCAUAAACAUAGUGAUGGGGUUAUACAUAAGGGAUGGGCCCAAGUACACAUAUGUCCCAGCCAAAGGCCCAGGGUAUUCAAGGAUACGGUCCCAAAGACAAUGGGGCAUUGGAGAUACAAGCCCAAGGCAUCAGAUACAAGGGGAAUACUCGCUAAGGAGUCAAGUGUCUAUAGUCGGAUUACACACCCCCUGACAGACAAGACUCAAUAGUCGGUCAUGAGAAAGAUAUGAGCAGUAAGAUCAUCUACAGUCGGACAUCAGCAAGAUAGGAGCAGUCGGACCAUCUACAGUCGGCUACGUCCUAGGAUGAUGUGACCCUCAUGAUGCAUUCAUCGCCGUUACAUAACUGACUAGUUAAAUACGCCAGUUAGUAUUAAUAAUAGCCACGAACAGUCGAUCAUGCAUGUGACCAUCAAUAGUAUUUACACCAGCCUGUUAUGGCACUCCCUCCUAGCGCACUCCAUAUAAGACAAGAGUAGGACAUCACACGGAGGGUUGAACUCUCUCACAUUGUAACCUACGCCAAGAGCGAGAUCACACAGGAGUAGGGCGUUACCAACACCAUAGAGGGCCCAAACCUAUAUAAUUCCUUGUGUUUAAUCCCAUCUGCUUUACAUACCAAUUAGCUUAUAAUUGCCUCUACAUUCACAUCACCAUAGUAUUGUCAUGGUUAUAUCCAUGACAAGAACUAAUUUUUUUUACAUUAUAUAUAAAAAAAUAAUAUUUUUAGAUGCAUGGUUUCUUCCAUACACAUUAUACAUGUUUGUAUACAUAUCAGGACCAUUUAUAUAUACACAUUAAAAAAACUAAUUACAUGAUUACUUUUUUUAAAAUGUAUACUUUUAUGUCUAAUAUUUUCAUACAUACUGUACAUUUUUUGUACAUCAGGAACCUUUUUAUAUUUACAUUUAACAUUUUCAAAUACAUAAUUAAUAUUUUUUACACAUAUAUUUUUAUAUCUACUUUUCCCUUAAACAUUAUACAUUUUUUUAUACAUCAGGAACAUUUUUUAUAUACCAAUUCAACAGUUUUGAAAUACAUGAUUAACAUGUCUCAUAUAUAUGUUUGUGUCUAUUUUUUCAUACAAAAUAUACAGUUUUUUAUUAAUUAGAAACAUGUUUCUGUACAUGUUUAAUAUUUUCUUAUAAUGCGCAAUUAACAUUUUCAACUUUUCUGUAUAAAGUGAAUUUUACAAUAGAUAUAUUCAGAAUAUUUCAUAAAAAAGGCAAAGUAAAAAAACAAAAAAAAUGCAAAUAUGUGUAAAAGGAAGGAAGAAACCGUAGAAGGCAUGUGUAGGCGCUGUGGCGGCCCAAUAGGUCUGCUGCACAUCCUACUAUCUUGUGUCAAUCGAGACAUAGGCUUGCCCUCUUAAGGAGCAACUAACCAACGGUUACCCCUUGGCGAGCUCCUGCAAGGGUCAUUGUUGUGGUAUGAGAGCACGCCAAGUGGUCCGUCCAACUGCUGUCACAUGUCGUGUGUUAGGUGCUUCCUGUGGAUUUCAUUUUCAUUUUUUAUUUUUUGUACGCGUUUUCGGGUUUCUGAUUGUCUUUUCAAUGGGUUUUGGAUUUCUGCUUUUUCCAUGGUUUUCUCUAGAUCAUGAAAGAAAAAUAUCUUUUUAUUUUCUUAUGAAGCACAACCCUGCUUCUAAAAAAACAAUUUUAUGCUUUCACGAGAAGCACAAUUUUUGUUUCUCAUGUAAUCACAAAAUUGCUUGCAGCAGGCGCACCACAUGUGCUUCCAUGAUUAGCAUAGCUAUGCUUCCACGCGAAUCAAAUAUGUGCUUAUGCUACAAGCACAACCUAUGCUUCCAUAUGCUUCUCGAAAAGAGAAAAGGCACACCCUGUGUUUUCACGAGAAGUACAUUUGUGCAUCCCUGAGAACUGUAGCCUUGCUUCCGUGAGAAGCACAGUCUAUCUAUUACCUAAUAUUAAAAGAUAGAAGAUCUCAUAGUUCUCCAUCAGUCACCUCUUCAUAAACCGUUGGUUUUGUGUUAAUCUUAUAGAUUGACGGCCGAGAUUUAAAAAUAGAUUUGCACAGGAAAAAAAAGAUCCGCAUUGACGAUCCAUCGUAGGUAUCCAUCCAUCCAACUUUCUUUGUUCUGCCCACAUCACGCUUGGUAAAAAAAGAAAAAAAAUCAGAAACCCAUCGAUGCACGAUUGAGUAAGCCGGGAUAAAAAACAGCUCAAUAAAAUAUGGCCAGCCACGCGCGAUCUUAGGAGAAAAAUUGUUUGCCACAUGAUCUAUCUCCUAGCUACGCCGAUCCUCAACGGCGAUCAUGCCAAGAUGUUCGCCAGGAUCCGCAACUCCGUCGACCACUCGGGUGACAUGCCACAGCGACACAACAGGGCAGCAGCGAGUGACAUGGCCGGCUUGCCGGGCCGCGCGCUCUCCGGCUCCAGGUGCGCGCGGCACACCAGACAUGACGCACAUCCAGGUAGUAAUGCAACUGCCCUCGAAGAAGUGAUGCCGGCAUUACACGCACCGCGUUGAGGUUCUGCAGCCACACACUCCACCGACGUUGCCCUCGCCUUGCAGCCGCUCUUCCUCUUACAACUGGUGCUCCUGCAGCCAGUGGCGGAGACAGGGGGGACCAGCAGGGCCCUGGCCCCCCCUAACAGCAGAGAUAUAGUGCUAAUUUGCAGAUGAAUAGUGCUAAAAUUAGUGAUUAAUUUCUGUCAAAUGCAUGUUUUUCAUUGGCUUGGCCCUCCCUAAGCAGUUUUAACAUCAUUCGGCCUGGUUGAUACAAUUUUCCUGGCUCCGCCAUUGCCUCCAACUGCCCCAGCUACCCUGGGGCUGGGGCGACGAUGUCGGCGCCUCGCGCGCUCUGUAGGUGAAGGUGGGGAGCGCGGGGAUGUCCUUGAUGCUCGGCCUGAGGUGGGUUGCCAGAGGCGGGUCGUCGCCGGUGCGGUGGAGCUUGCGCCACUCAGACAAGAGCGACCGGCCAUAGCGGACGGCCACGUACAAUACGACACUGACAAGGACAAUGAUGAUGAUGUACAACAGCAUCAGGAAGGAGAACAACAUGCUCGUCCUUAGGGGACAUGCGCCGACGCGUCCGGCACUCCGACGCAAUGGUGGUGUAUGCGCCGGUCAACAUGCAGUCCAUGCACACGUCGUCAUGGGCGGUGGCGACUCGGCCUACAUCUCCCUCCUGCCCUAUCGGUUCGCCAUUCUCCCGAGCGUCCACAACGCACACUCGCCGGUGGCCGCCACUCUAGAAGUCGAGUCUAGACCGUUCGCCCCAGGGAUCGUAGCUCAGCGCUCAUGGAGCCCUGCUCCAGUGCUCCCCCUAACCUAAUUUUGAAGGAGUAUUUUUGUCCCCGCAAAUUUGUUUUUUUUCUGGCCCGCCGCCGCCCAGAUCCAAGCCCUGUCUAGUCCUGUAUAACCCAGAACGUAUACGUACAGUACCCUGGUUCGAAAAAAAAAACAUCACACGACCCCACGUCCACGUAAGACCUGCCGAAUCCAAUCAUUCACACGAGCAGCUCCAUCAAUCUUGCGAGCAUUGACGCAGCUCCAUAAGUCACGUAGUAGAUCUCCAGCGGCGGCUAUCUCGUCGCCGGCGAUCUCGUCGGACAGCGGGCGCGACAACGUCGUGAAUCUCUAACGAGCGCGCACAGGUACCGCAUCCCGCGUCCCCCCUCUAGUCUCGCUCGCGGCAACAUCGAACGAACUGCCGCCGCCAGUGGUAGUGGUUAACCUAGCGGGGCGGGUAACCUAGCUACCUGGCGGCGCAUGUGAUCGUGGAUCUUGUUCCGGUAGUGCUGCUCCUCGUGAUCUGGGUUCACGUAGCGUCGGUUGCCGUCGGCUGUGCGCACCACUGGUAUCGUUAUUUGAUGUGGCGGCUAACCUAGGUAUCCGACGGCAGAGGUAAUCACAGAUCAAGCUAGGUUUUGAGAUCGUGCAGUUCCUCGCGAUUGAAAGUGAUCGCGACGGGUGCCGUGGCCAUCUUCCUUACUAAGUUGGGCAGAUCUGAACGGCCUCGGUUGCGGUUGUUUACAUAACAUCCGUGAUCGUGUGCUAUGUGUUUUAUAUUUCAUCAUUGAUAAUGUUUGCACAUGUGAUGAUACAUAAUAUUGGUUGUAGGAAAUGGCGGACGAGGAGUUAACUGAUAUCAUGGUAGACAUGGAGUUUGGAGAACUGAUGAAAGACUGGAUAGAAGAUUGGUCAGAUGAUGAAAAUUCAGAUCGUGAAGAUCGGUCAGAGAAUGGGAACGAAUGGGACGAUCUUAUUGUGAGUGGCAUUGUCAUGUUGUAAUUUUUUGGUGGCAUCCGACAACAUUAAAUCUUUGUGUUGAAAAUUUAUAGAUCGAUGAGCUUGAUGAUGAUCAGGAAAACAACUCAGAGCUCUCGAAUGAAGAUUACAUUAGUCAGGUACGUAAGUGAAAAAGAUUGUUGGCAUGCAAAUUGAAUUUCUUCUGGAAUAUUAUAUGAUAAGUAAUUAUGUAUUUGUGUUGUAUUUUUCAGUUCAUUCUCGAAUGUCAUAAUGCGUAUGACUAUUACGGUGAAUCCGACGCGGAGACAGGCCUUAACAACGAAUCAUUAGAUGCACCUGGUUCUGGGGAGUCCGAGUCGUCGGUCAUCAUGAGUGAGGUAUGUGUGUAAUCAAUGUUCUAUGGAAGUAAGUAAUGUUAAACCUUAGAAAUAUGUUUUCAUGGUUGUGGUUUGAUUGUGUAGGUGACACAAAAUGAUGGGGCAAAGAAUGUCCAAGAUACUGCCAGUGCAGAUGAUAAGAGGGAUAUGUUCAUGCAGAUAAUGGAAAUGACCUUUAUGUCUCACGAUGCUGCGUAUGAUUUCUACAACAGCUAUGCUAGAGAUAAUGGUUUCAGCAUUAGAAAGAAUAAGGUCAGGUAUAGCAAAACAGAGUCACGUCAUAUGCGUUAUAGGCGGUUUGUUUGUUCAAGACAAGGGAAACGUGACAGCAAGUUGCUAACCGAGGAAGGACACAGCCGUAGGCUCAGAGCCGAGACACGCUGCUUUUGCGAAGCGCACCUGACCGUCAAGCUUGACCAAAAGCAUGGGGUUUGGUAUGUUGAAAGUUUUGAGGACAAGCAUAGCCAUAUGUUGGCAGGACCGGACGAGGUACCUUUUCUUUGGUCCCACAGAAAAAUCAAAGAGUACCAGAAGCAUGAGAUAAUGUCCACGGCUCGGAGAGCUCGGGAAUCCGGACAUAGUUGGUCCUCAAGAUAGAGGAAAGGUCGCGACAUUGUUCCUCCACCACUGCAAUAUGAUGGGUGACCGGUGGAGAGUUAAUCUCCCUUUGAUCGGGUUUAAGCCCAAUCCGAUCAUAGUCCGUAGCGACUCCCAAGGCGGCGAUGCGAUCCAAGAGCUCGUUUAAGGGGGCGAGCUCCAUUGGAUCCAUCUGUUCGGCGAGUGCCGAUUUGACGUGGAGGCUGUUUUCGAUGACCCGAGAAGUCAUCAUCGGCUCGGCGGCCGAACAUGCGGUCAUGAUGAAACCGCCUAGCCGGAGAGUUUGGCCGACAACCAAAGCUCCCCCAACAGUAGUACCGUCUUUAAAGACGAGACGAGACAUUCUUCCUUCUGGCAACGACACAGAGGAACUCUCAAUGAAAGCUUCAAUGUCGGUGUCAAAACCAGCGGAUCUCGGGUAGGGGGUCCCGAACUAUGCGUCUAAGGCGGAUGGUAACAGGAGGCAGGGAACACGAUGUUUUACCUAGGUUCGGGCCCUCUUGAUGGAGGUAAAGCCCUAUGUCCUGCUUGAUUAAUAUUGAUGAUAUGGGUAGUACAAGAGUAGAUCUACCAGGAGAUCAGAGAGGCUAAACCCUAGAAGCUAGCCUAUGGUAUGAUUGUAUGUUGUCCUACGGACUAAAACCCUCCGGUUUAUAUAGACACCGGAGGGGGCUAGGGUUACACAAGGUCGGUUACAAAGGAGAAGAUGUACAUAUCCGUAUUGCCUAGCUUGCCUUCCACGCCAAGUAGAGUCCCAUCCGGACACGAGACGAAGUCUUCAAUCUUGUAUCUUCAUAGUCCAACAGUCCGGUCAAAGGAUAUAAUCCGGCUGUCCGGAGCCCCUAAUUCAGGACUCCCUCAGGCCCCCUGUUGCUCCACCGACGUACUCCUUCCUCCUAUAUAUACCUAUGUACCCCCAAAUGAUCAGAUACGGAGCCAAAACCCUAAUUCCACCGUCGUAACUUUCUGUAUCCACCGCCGGAGGGGGCAUCGAUCAUGGAGGGCUUCUACAUCAACACCAUAACCUCUCCGAUGAAGUGUGAGUAGUUUACCUCAGACCUACGGGUCCAUAGUUAGUACCUAGAUGGCUUCUUCUCUCUUUUUGGAUAUCAAUACAAUGUUCUCCCCCUCUCUUGUGGAGAUCUAUUCGAUGUAAUCUUCUUUUUGCGGUGUGUUUGUUGAGACCGAUGAAUUGUGGGUUUAUGAUCAAGUCUAUCUAUGAAUAAUAUUUGAAUCUUCUCUGAAUUCUUUUAUGUAUGAUUGGUUAUCUUUGCAAGUCUCUUCGAAUUAUCAGUUUGGUUUGUCCUACUAGAUUGAUCUUUCUUGCAAUGGGAGAAGUGCUUAGCUUUGGGUUCAAUCUUGCGAAGUCCUUUCCCGGUGACAGUAGGUGCAGCAAGGCACGUAUUGUAUUGUUGCCAUCGAGGAUAACAAGAUGGGGUUUUCUUCAUAUUGCAUGAGUCUAUCCCUCUACAUCAUGUCAACUUGCUUAAGGCGUCACUCUAUUUUUAACUUAAUACUCUAGAUGCAUGCUGGAUAGCGGUCCAAGAGUGGAGUAAUAGUAGUAGAUGCAGGCAGGAGUCGGUCUACUUGUCUCGGAUGUGAUGCAUAUAUACAUGAUCAUACCUAGAUAUUCUCAUAACUAUGCUCAAUUCUGUCAAUUGCUCAACAGUAAUUUGUUCACCCACCGUAGAAUACUUAUGCUCCCGAGAGAAGCCACUAGUGAAACCUAUGGCCCCCGGGUCUAUCUUUAUCAUAUUAAUCUCCUACCACUUAGUUAUUUCCUUUGCUAUUUACUUUGCCUUUAUUUUACUUUGCAUCUUUAUCAUAAAAAUACCAAAAAUAUUAUCUUUAUCAUAUCUAUCAUAUCUCACUCUCGUAAGUGGCCUUAUAGGGAUUGACAACCCCUAUUUGCGUUGGUUGCGAGGAUUUAUUUGUUUUGUGCAGGUACGAGGGACUCGCGUGCAGCCUCCUACUGGAUUGAUACCUUGGUUCUCAAAAACUGAGGGAAAUACUUACGCUACUUUGUUGCAUCAUCACUUCCUCUUCGGGGAAAACCAACACAGUGCUCAAGAGGUAGCAAGAAGGAUUUCUGGCGCCGUUGCCGGGGAGGUCUACGCAAAAGUCAACAUACCAAGUACCCAUCACAUACCCUUAUCUCCCGCAUUACAUUAUUUGCCAUUUGCCUCUCGUUUUCCUCUCACCCACUUCACCCUUGCUGUUUUAUUCGCCCUCUCUCUCUCUAUCCUCCCUCUCUUUCUCUAUUUGCCUCUUUUUGCCCGCUUGCUUUUUGUUUGCUUGUGUGUUAGUUUGUUUGCUUGUCGUUAUGGCUAGUCCCUUACCUUCUCCGUUGUCUCCCAAGAAUGAAAUUUUAAAUUUUAAGCAAAGGGAGGGAGAAAAUCUAAAAGAUGCUUCGUAUAGAAUUUGCAAUGCUCAAAAUAGAUCAACUAGGAAGCAAUCUACUUCCGUUCUUCUUUGCAAUUUUUAUGUAGGCAUUACUCCUUGGCACCGUUAUGUUCUUGAUACUAUUACCGGAGGGAACUUUUUGGGUAGCCAUACUUUUGAUUCUUAAAAUGCUAUGUUAGAUUUAUUUGUUUCACCCCCUCUCUUGGUUAAUGGAACUAUAUUAACUUUGGAGCAUGUAAUGCAACGGCUUGAAAUUAUUGAAAAUAAGGUUGCUACCAUAGAAUUAAUUGAAAAUUUGGAUAUGGAUCUAAAGUAGGAGUUACUUUGAAAGAUAUUAAAGAAAAGGAACCCAUAGUUAAUGAGAAAAUAAAUCAUGAUUCCACUAGGAUCGAUAAACUUGAAGGUAUUAUUACCAACUUGGGAACCGCUUUUUCUUCUGUAAAGAAUACUCCAAGUCCUCCCAGUAAAAUUACCAAGCUUAUGUAUGUUCCUAAAAAUAAGGGUGAAUCCUCUAGUAAGGAAAAUGCGGAUCUCAAAUCUAGAAGUAUUCAUCCCAAUCUUUUUACUAUCAUUAAGGAACCAUUUGUUACAAAUGAGUUUUUUGAUGUUGUGCCUAAAAGUUUGAUAAUUAAUAAAAAGAAAGAAAUUCCUAAAGAUGGUAGAUGCCUCAUUGAAUAAUUACCUACCAAAGAUGGCAAUACUUAGAUCUAUCCCUGCUUGUUAUGCCUAGCUAGGGGCGUUAAACGAUAGCGCUUGUUGGGAGGCAACCCAAUUUUAUUUUUAUUCCUUGAGUUUUGCUCCUGUUUAGUAAUAGAUAAUUAUCUAGCCUCUGUUAUGAUUGUGUUUUUUGUGUUUAAAUUAGUGUUUGUGCCAAGUAGAACCGUUGGGAAGACUUGGGGAAAGUCUUGUUGAAUUUGCUGUAAAAACAGAAACUUUAGCGCUCACAAGAACUGCUGUCAUUUUUAUUUGAAAAGUGAUAUUUAGUUCAUUCUUUUUGCAUAUGAUUAAUAUAUAAAUUCCUCACGUCCAGAAAAUUAUUUUAGAAUUUUUGGGGUUCCAUAUCUUGCGCUAGCUACAGAUUACUACAGACUGUUCUGUUUUUGACAGAUUCUGUUUUUCGUGUGUUGUUUGCUUAUUUUGAUGAAUCUAUGGCUAGUAAAAUGGUUUAUAAACCAUAGAUAAGUUGGAAUACAGUAGGUAUAACACAAAUAUAAAUAAAUAAUGAGUUCAUUACAGUACUUUGAAGUGGUCUUUUAUUUUCUUUCGCUAACGGAGCUCACGAGAUUCUCUACUUUAAGUUUUGUGUUGUGAAGUUUUCAAGUUUUGGGUAAAGAUUUGAUGGAUUAUGGAACAAGGAGUGGCAAGAGCCUAAGCUUGGGGAUGACCAUGGCACCCCCAAGAUAAUCUAAGGACACCUAAAAGCCAAAGCUUGGGGAUGCCCCGGAAGGCAUCCCCUCUUUCGUCUACUUCUAUCGGUAACUUUACUUGGAGCUAUAUUUUUAUUCGCCACAUGAUAUGUGUUUUGCUUGGAGCGUCUUGUAUGAUUUGAGUCUUUUCUUGUUAAUUUACCACAAUCAUCCUUGCUGUACACACCUUUUGAGAGAGCCAUACAUUAUUUGGAAUUUCUUAGAAUACUCUAUGUGCUUCGCUUAUAUCUUUUGAGUUAUAUAAUUUUGCUCUAGUACUUCGCUUAUAUCUUUUAGAGCACGGUGGUGGAUUUGUUUUAUAUAAACUAUUGAUCUCUCAUGCUUCACUUAGAUCAUUUUUGAGAGUCUUAAUAGCAUGUUAAUUUGCUUAAAAUCCUAAUAUGCUAGGUAUUCAAAGUUAGUAAAAUUUCCUUAAGAGUGUUUUGAAUACUAAAGUUUGAUGCUUGAUGAUUGUUUUGAGAUAUGGAGAUAAUAAUAUCAAAGUCGUGCUAGUUGAGUAGUUGUGAAAUUGAGAAAUACUUGUGUUGAAGUUUGCAAGUCCCGUAGCAUGCACGUAUGGUAAACGUUAUGGAACAAAUUUGAAAGAUGAGGUGUUAUUUGAUUGUCUUCCUUAUGAGUGGCGGUCGGGGACGAGCGAUGGUCUUUUCCUACCAAUCUAUCCCCCUAGGAGCAUGCGCGUAGUACCGAGGUUUUUGAUGACUUGUAGAUUUUUGCAAUAAGUAUGUGAGUUCUUUAUGACUAAUGUUGAGUCCAUGGAUUAUACGCACUCUCACCCUUCCAUCCUUGCUUGCCUCUUCGGUACCGUGCAUUGCCCUUUCUCACAUUGAGAGUUGGCGCAAAGUUCGCCGGUGCAUCCAAACCCCGUGAUAUGAUACGCUCUUUCACACAUAAACCUCCUUAUAUCUUCCUCAAAACAGCCACCAUACCUACCUAUUAUGGCAUUUCCAUAGCCAUUCCGAGAUAUAUUGCCAUGCAACUUUCCAUCAUCCCGUUCAUCAUCACACAUUCAUUAUUGUCAUAUUGCUUAGCAUGAUCAUGUAGUUGAUAUAGUAUUUGUGGCAAACCCACCGUUCAUAAUUCUUUCAUACAUGUCACUCUUGGUCCAUUGCAUAUCCCGGUACACCGCCGGAGGCAUUCAUAUAGAGUCAUAUUUUGUUCUAAGUAUCGAGUUGUAAUUGUUCAGUUGUAAGAAAAAUGAAAGUGUGAUGAUCAUCAUUAUUAGAGCAUUGUCCCAGUGAGGAAAGGAUGAUGGAGACUAUGAUUUCCCCACAAGUCGGGAUGAGACUCCGGACGAAAAAAAAAGAAAAAAAGAGGCCAUAAAAAAAGAGAAAAGGCCCAAAUAAAAAAAGAGAGAGAAAAAGAGAGAAGGGACAAUGUUACUAUCCUUUUACCACACUUGUGCUUCAAAGUAGCACUAUGAUCUUCAUAGUAGAGAGUCUCUCAUGUUAUCACUUUCAUAUACUAGUGGGAAUUUUUCAUUAUAGAACCUGGCUUGUAUAUUCCAAUGAUGGGCUUCCUCAAGUGCCCUAGGUCUUCGUGAUCAAGCAAGUUGGAUGCACACCCACUAGUUUCUUUUGUUGAGCUUUCAUACAUUUAUAGCUCUAGUGCAUCCAUUGCAUGGCAAUCCCUACUUCUUGCAUUAACAUCAAUCGGUGGGCAUCUCCAUAGCCCAUUGAUUAGCCUCGUUGAUGUGAGACUUUCUCCUUUUUUGUCUUCUCCACAUAACCCCCCUCAUUAUAUUCUAUUCCACCCAUAGUGCUAUGUCCAUGGCUCGCGCUCAUAUAUUGCGUGAAAGUUUAUAGGUUUGAGAUUACUAAAGUAUGAAACAAUUGCUUGGCUUGUCAUCGGGGUUGUGUAUGAUGAGAGCAUUCUUGUGUGACGAAAAUGAAACCUGACUAAACCAUAUGAUUUUGUAGGGAUGAACUUUCUUUGGCCAUGUUAUUUUGAGAAAACAUAAUUGUUUAGUUAGUAUGCUUGAAGUAUUAUUAUUUUUAUGUCAAUAUGAACUUUUGUCUUGAAUCUUUCGAAUCUAAAUAUUCAUACCACAAUUAAGAAGAAUUACAUUAAAAUUGUGCCAAGUAGCACUCCGCAUCAAAAAUUCCGUUUUUUUCAUUUACCUACUCAAGGACGAGCAGGAAUUAAGCUUGGGGAUGCUUGAUACGUCUCCAACGUAUCUACAAUUUUUGAUUGCCCCAUGCUAUAUUAUCUACUGUUUUGGACAUUACUAGGCUUUAUUAUCCACUUUUAUAUUAUUUUUGGGACUAACCUAUUAACCGGAGGCCCAGCCCAGAAUUGUUGUUUUUUUGCCUGUUUUAGGGUUUCGAAGAAAAGGAAUAUCAAACGGAGUCCAAACGGAAUGAAACCUUCGGGAACGUGAUUUUUAGGAAGAUUAUGAUCCGGGAGACUUGGACCCUAUGUCAAGAAAAGAAACAGGAGGCCACGAGGUAGGGGGCGCGCCCCCCCCCCCCCCCCCAGGCACACCCUCCACCCUCGUGGGCCCCCUGUUUCUCCACCGACGUACUCCUUCCUCCUAUAUAUACCUAUGUACCCCCAAACGACCAGAUACGGAGCAAAAACCCUAAUUCCACUUCCGUAACUUUCUGUAUCCACGAGAUCCCAUCUUGGGGCCUGUUCCGGAGCUCCGCCGGAGGGGGCAUCGAUCACGGAGGGCUUCUACAUCAACACCAUAGCCUCCCCAAUGAAGUGUGAGUAGUUUACCUCAGACCUAUGGGUCCAUAGUUAGUACUUAGAUGGCUUCUCCUCUCUUUUUGGAUCUCAAUACAAUGUUCUCCCCCUCUCUUCUGGAGAUCUAUUCGAUGUAAUCUUCUUUUUGCGGUGUGUUUGUUGAGAUCGAUGAAUUGUGGGUUUAUGAUCAAGUCUAUCUAUGAAUAAUAUUUGAAUCUUCUCUGAAUUCUUAUGUAUGAUUGGUUAUCUUUGCAAGUAUCUUCGAAUUAUCAGUUUGGUUUGGCCUACUAGAUUGAUCUUUCUUGCAAUGGGAGAAGUGCUUAGCUUUGGGUUCAAUCUUGUGGUGUCCUUUCCCAGUGAGAGUAGGGGCAGCAAGGCACGUAUUGUAUUGUUGCCAUCGAGGAUAACAAGAUGGGGUUUUCUUCAUAUUGCAUGAGUCUAUCCCUCUACAUCAUGUCAUCUUGCUUAAGGCGUUACUCUGUUUUUAACUUAAUACUCUCGAUGCAUGCUGGAUAGCGGUCGAUGAGUGGAGUAAUAGUAGUAGAUGCAGGCAGGAGUCGGUCUACUUGUCCCGGACGUGAUGCCUAUAUACAUGAUCAUACCUAGAUAUUCUCAUAACUAUGCUCAAUUCUGUCAAUUGCUCAACAGUAAUUAGUUCAACCACCGUAGAAUACUUAUGCUCUUGAGAGAAGCCACUAGUGAAACCUAUGGCCCCCGGGUCUAUCUUUAUCAUAUUAAUCUCCUACUACUUAGUUAUUUCCUCUGCUAUUUACUUUGCCUUUAUUUUACUUUGCAUGUUUAUCAUAAAAAUACCAAAAAUAUCAUCUUUAUCAUAUUUAUCAGAUCUCACUCUCGUAAGUGGCCUUAUAGGGAUUGACAACCCCUGUUUGUGUUGGUUGCGAGGAUUUAUUUGUUUUGUGUAGGUACGAGGGACUCACGCAUAGCCUCCUACUGGAUUGAUACCUUGGUUCUCAAAAAAUGAGGGAAAUACUUACGCUACUUUGUUGCAUCAUCCCUUCCUCUUCGGGGAAAACCAACGCAGUGCUCAAGAGGUAGCAGAUAGGCAUCCAAGAUGGGUAUAAUAAAAACUAUCAUAAAAAGUGCAUUGAAUACUAUGAGAAGUGUGAUACUUGAUGAUUGUUUUGAGAUAUCAAGAUGGUGAUAUUAGAGUCAUGCUAGUUGAGUAAUUGUGAAUUUGAGAAAUACUUGUUCUAAAGUUUGUGAUUCCCCUAGCAUGGACAUAUGGUGAACCGUUAUGUGAUGAAGUCAGAGCAUGAUUUUUUAUUGAUUGUCUUCCUUAUGCGUGGCGGUCAGGGACGAGGCGAUGGUCUUUUCCUACCAAUCUACCCCCCUAGGAGCAUGCAAUGCACGUAGUACUUUGUUUCGAUAACUAAUAGAUUUUUGCAAUAAAUAUGUGAGUUCUUUAUGACUAAUGUUGAGUCCAUGGAUUAUACGCACUCUCACCCUUCCACCAUUGCUAGCCUCUCUAAUAUUGUGCACCUUUCGCUGGUAUCAUACAUCUACCAUAUACCUACCUCAAAACAGCCACCAUACCUACCUAUUAUGGAAUUUCCAUAGCCAUUCCGAGAUAUAUUGCCAUGCAACUUUCCACCGUUCCGUUUGUUAUGACACGCUUCAUCGUUGUCAUAUUUCUUUGCAUGAUCAUGUAGUUGACAUCGUAUUUGUGGCAAAGCCAUCUUUAUAAUUCUUUCAUACAUGUCUGUUGGGGAACGUUGCAGAAAACAAAAAUUUUCCUACAGUUUCACCAAGAUCCAUCUAUGAGUUCAUCUAGCAACGAGUGAUCGGAUAGCAUCUACAUACCUUUGUAGAUCACGCGCGGAAGCGUUCAAAGAAUGGGGAUGAGAAAUUCGUACUCGACGUGAUCCAAAUCACCGGAGAUCCUAGCGCCGAACGGACGGCACCUCCGCGUUCACGUACGGUCAGCGUGACGUCUCCUCCUUCUUGAUCCAGCAAGGGGGAAGGAGAGGUUGAGGAAGAUGGCUCCAGCAGCAGCACGACGGCGUGGUGGUGGUGGAGCAGCAGUACUCCGGCAGGGCUUCGCCAAGCUCGUGACGGAGGAGGAAAUGUGUUGGGGAGGGGAGGGGCUGUGCCUUGGAUGUCCUCUGCAGCCCUUCCCUCACCCCUCUAUUUAUAGGGGAAGGAGGAAGGGGGCCGGCCCCCUCUAGAUGAGAUCUAGAGGGGGGGCGGCGGCCAAGGGGAGGGGGGCUUGCCCCCCAAGCAAGGGGCGCACCCCCUUAGGGUUUCCCCCAACCCUAGGCGCAUGGGCCGUAGGGGGAGUGUGUUGGGUUUCGUUGUAAUUUCAAAAAAAUUCCUACGCACACGCAAGAUCAUGUGAUGCAUAGCAACGAGAGGAGAGUGUGAUCUACAUACCUAGUAGAUCGACAACGGAAGCGUUUGGUUGAUGUAGUCGUACGUCUUCACGAUCCAACCGAUCAAGCACCGAAACUACGUCACCUCCGAGUUCGAGCACACGUUCAGCUCGAUCACGAUCCCCGGACUCCGAUCCAGCAAAGUGUCGGGGAAGAGUUCCGUCAGCACGACGGCGUGGUGACGAUCUUGAUGCACUAUAGCAGCAGGGCUUGGCCUAAACUCCGCUACAGUAUUAUCGAGGACUAUGGUGGCUGGGGCGCCGCACACGGCUAAGGAAUAGAUCACGUGGAUCAACUUGUGUGUUUCUGGGGUGCCUCUGCCUCAGUAUAUAAAGGACCAAAGGGGGGAGGCUGGCCGGCCACAUAGGGCGCGCCAGGAGAGUCCUACUCCCUCUGGGAGUAGGAUCCCCCCCCCAAUCCUAGUUGGAAUAGGAUUCGCGGAGGGGGAAAAGAGAGAGGGGAGGCUGGCCACCUCUCCUUCUCCUAAUAGGACUAGGGGAGGGAGGGAGGCGCGCAUCCCAUCUUGGGCAGCCCCUUCUCUUUUCCGCCAAGGCCCACUAAGGCCCAUAUAGCUCGCGGGGGGUUCCGGUAACCUCCCGGUACUCCGGUAAAAUCCCGAUUUCACCCGGAACACUUCCGAUAUCCAAACAUAGGCUUCCAAUAUAUCAAUCUUUAUGUAUCGACCAUUUCGAGACUCCUCGUCAUGUUCGUGAUCACAUCCGGGACUCCGAACAACCUUCGGUACAUCAAAAUGCAUAAACUCAUAAUAUAAUUGUCAUCGUAACCUUAAGCGUGCGGACCCUACGGGUUCGAGAACAAUGUAGACAUGACCGAGACACAUCUCCAGUCAAUAACCAAUAGCGGGACCUGGAUGCCCAUAUUGGCUCCUACAUAUUCUACGAAGAUCUUUAUCGGUCAGACCGCAUAACAACAUACGUUGUUCCCUUUGUCAUCGGUAUGUUACUUGCCCGAGAUUCGAUCGUCGGUAUUCCAAUACCUAGUUCAAUCUCGUUACCGGCAAGUCUCUUUACUCGUUCUGUAAUACAUCAUUCCGCAACUAACUCAUUUAGUUGCAAUGCUUGCAAGGCUUAAGUGAUUUGCAUUACCGAGAGGGCCCAGAGAUACCUCUCCGACAAUCGGAGUGACAAAACCUAAUCUCGAAAUACGCCAACCCAACAUGUACCUUUGGAGACACCUGUAAUACUCCUUUAUAAUCACCCAGUAACGUUGUAACGUUUGGUAGUACCCAAAGUGUUCCUCCGGUAAACGGGAGUUGCAUAAUCUCAUAGUUAUAGGAACAUGUAUAAGUCAUGAAGAAAGCAAUAGCAACAUAUUAAACGAUCGGGUGCUAAGCUAAUGGAAUGGGUCAUGUCAAUCAGAUCAUUCUCUUAAUGAUGUGAUCCCUUUAAUCAAAUAACAACUCAUUGUUCAUGGUUAGGAAACAUAACCAUCUUUGAUUAACGAGCUAGUCAAGUAGAGGCAUACUAGUGACACUUUGUUUGUCUAUGUAUUCACACAUGUAUUAUGUUUCCGGUUAAUACAAUUCUAGCAUGAAUAAUAAACAUUUAUCAUGAUUAUAAGGAAAUAAAUAAUAACUUUAUUAUUGCCUCUAGGGCAUAUUUCCUUCAGUCUCCCACUUGCACUAGAGUCAAUAAUCUAGAUUACACUGUAAUGAUUCUAACACCCAUGGAGCCCUGGUGUUGAUCAUGUUUUGCUCGUGGAAGAGGCUUAGUCAACGGGUCUGCAACAUUCAGAUCCGUAUGUAUCUUGCAAAUUCUAUGUCUCCCACCUGGACUAGAUCCCGGAUGGAAUUGAAGCGUCUCUUGAUAUGCUUGGUUCUCUUGUGAAAUCUGGAUUCCUUUGCCAAGGCAAUUGCACCAGUAUUGUCACAAAAGAUUUUCAUUGGACCCGAUGCACUAGGUAUGACACCUAGAUCGGAUAUGGACUCCUUCAUCCAGACUCCUUCGUUCGCUGCUUCCGAAGCAGCUAUGUACUCCGCUUCACAUGUAGAUCCCGCUACGACGCUUUGUUUAGAACUGCACCAACUGACAGCUCCACUGUUCAAUGUAAACACAUAUCCGGUUUGCGAUUUAGAAUCGUCCGGAACAGUGUCAAAGCUUGCAUCAACGUAACCAUUUACGACGAGCUCUUUGUCACCUCCAUAUACGAGAAACAUAUCCUUAGUCCUUUUCAUGUAUUUUAGGAUGUUCUUGACGGCUGUCCAGUGAUCCACUCCUGGAUUACUUUGGUACCUCCCUGCUAGACUUAUAGCAAGGCACACAUCAGGUCUGGUACACAGCAUUGCAUACAUGAUAGAUCCUAUCGCUGAUGCAUAGGGAACAUCUUUCAUAUUCUCUCUAUCUUCUGCAGUGGUCGGGCAUUGAGUCUUACUCAAUUUCACACCUUGUAACACAGGCAAGAAUCCUUUCUUUGCUUGAUCCAUUUUGAACUUCUUCAAAAUUUUGUCAAGGUAUGUUGUUUGUGAAAGUCCAAUUAAGCGUCUUGACCUAUCUCUAUAGAUCUUUAUGCCUAAUAUGUAAGCAGCUUCACCGAGGUCUUUCAUUGAAAAACUCUUAUUCAAGUAUCCCUUUAUGCUAUCCAGAAAUUCUAUAUCAUUUCCAAUCAGUAAUAUGUCAUCCACAUAUAAUAUCAGAAAUGCUACAGAGCUCCCACUCACUUUCUUGUAAAUACAGGCUUCUUCGAAAGUCUGUAUAAAAUAAAAUGCUUUGAUCACACUAUCAAAGCAUUUAUUCCAACUCCGAGAGGCUUGCACCAGUCCAUAAAUGGAUCGCUGGAGCUUGCACACUUUGUUAGCUCCUUUUGGAUCGACAAAACCUUCUGGUUGCAUCAUAUACAACUCUUCUUCCAGAAAUCCAUUCAGGAAUGCAGUUUUGACAUCCAUUUGCCAAAUUUCAUAAUCAUAAAAUGCGGCAAUUGCUAACAUGAUUCGGACAGACUUAAGCAUCGCUACGGGUGAGAAGGUCUCAUCGUGGUCAACCCCUUGAACUUGUCGAAAACCUUUUGCGACAAGUCGAGCUUUGUAGACAGUAACAUUACCGUCAGCGUCAGUCUUCUUCUUGAAGAUCCAUUUAUUCUCAAUUGCUUACCGAUCAUCGGGCAAGUCAACCAAAGUCCAUACUUUGUUCUCAUACAUGGAUCCCAUCUCAGAUUUCAUGGCUUCAAGCCAUUUUGCGGAAUCUGGGCUCACCAUCGCUUCUUCCUAGUUCGCAGGUUCAUCAUGAUCUAGUAGCAUGACUUCCAGAACAGGAUUACCGUACCACUCUGGUGCGGAUCUUACUCUGGUUGAUCUAUGAGGUUCAGCAGUAUCUUGAUCUGAAGUUUCAUGAUCAUUAUCAUUAGCUUCCUCACUAACUGGUGUAGGUGUCACUGAAACAAUUUUCUGUGAUGUACUACUUUCCAAUAAGGGAGCAGGUACAGUUACCUCGUCAAGUUCUACUUUCCUCCCACUCACUUCUUUCGAGAGAAACUCCUUCUCUAGAAAGUUUCCGAAUUUAGCAACAAAAGUCUUGCCUUCGGAUCUGUGAUAGAAGGUGUGUCCAAUAGUUUCCUUUGGAUAUCCUAUGAAAACACAUUUCUCUGAUUUGGGUUCGAGCUUAUCAGGUUGAAGCUUUUUCACAUAAGCAUCGCAGCCCCAAACUUUCAGAAACGACAACUUUGGUUUCUUGCCAAACCACAGUUCAUAAGGCGUCGUCUCAACGGAUUUUGAUGGUGCCCUAUUUAAAGUGAAUGCGGCCGUCUCUAGAGCGUAUCCCCAAAAUGAUAGUGGUAAAUCAGUAAGAGACAUCAUAGAUCGCACCAUAUCUAGUAAAGUACGAUUACGACGUUCGGACACACCAUUACGCUGUGGUGUUCCGGGCGGCGUGAGUUGCGAAACUAUUCCACAAUUUUUCAAAUGUACACCAAACUCGUAACUCAAAUAUUCUCCUCCACGAUCAGAUCGUAGAAACUUUAUUUUCUUGUUACGAUGAUUUUCAACUUCACUCUGAAAUUCCUUGAACCUUUCAAAUGUUUCAGACUUAUGUUUCAUUAAGUAGAUAUACCCAUAUCUGCUUAAAUCAUCUCUGAAGGUGAGAAAAUAACGAUAUCCGCCACGAGCCUCAAUAUUCAUCGGACCACAUACAUCUGUAUGUAUGAUUUCCAACAAAUCUGUUGCUCUCUCCAUAGUACCGGAGAACGGUGUUUUGGUCAUCUUGCCCAUAAGGCACGGUUCGCAAGUACUAAGUGAUUCAUAAUCAAGUGGUUCCAAAAGUCCAUCAGAAUGGAGUUUCUUCAUGCGCUUUACACCGAUAUGACCUAAACGGCAGUGCCACAAAUAAGUUGCACUCUAAUUAUCAACUCUGCAUCUUUUGGCUUCAACAUUAUGAAUAUGUGUGUUACUACUAUCGAGAUUCAACAAGAAUAGACCACUCUUCAAGGGUGCAUGACCAUAAAAGAUAUUACUCAUAUAAAUAGAACAACCAUUAUUCUCUGAUUUAAAUGAAUAACCGUCUCGCAUCAAACAAGAUCCAGAUAUAAUGUUCAUGCUUAACGCUGGCACCAAAUAACAAUUAUUUAGGUCUAACACUAAUCCCGAAGGUAGAUGUAGAGGUAGUGUGCCGACUGCGAUCACAUCGACUUUGGAACCGUUUCCCACGCGCAUCGUCACCUCGUCCUUAACCAAUCUUCGCUUGAUCCGUAGUCCCUGUUUCGAGUUGCAAAUAUUAGCAACAGAACCAGUAUCAAAUACCCAGGUGCUACUGCAAGCAUUAGUAAGGUACACAUCAAUAACAUGUAUAUCACAUAUACCUUUGUUCACCUUGCCAUCCUUCUUAUCCACCAAAUACUUGGGGCUGUUCCGCUUCCAGUGACCAGUCUGCUUGCAAUAGAAACACUCAGUUUCAGGCUUAGGUCCAGGUUUGGGUUUCUUCUCUUGAGUAGCAACUUGCUUGCCGUUCUUUUUGAAGUUCCCCUUCUUCUUCCCUUUGCCCUUUUUAUUGAAACUAGUGGUCUUGUUGACCAUCAACACUUGAUGCUCCUUCUUGAUUUCUACCUCCGCGGCUUUCAGCAUCACGAAGAGCUCGGGAAUAGUCUUGUUCAUCCCUUGCAUAUUAUAGUUCAUCACGAAGCUCUUGUAGCUUGGUGGCAGUGAUUGAAGAAUUCUGUCAAUGACGCGAUCAUCUGGAAGAUUAACUCCCAAUUGAAUCAAGUGAUUAUUAUACCCAGACAUUUUGAGUAUAUGCUCACUGACAGAACUGUUCUCCUCCAUCUUGCAGCUAUAGAACUUAUUGGAGACUUCAUAUCUCUCAAUCCGGGCAUUUGCUUGAAAUAUUAACUUCAACUCCUGGAACAUCUCAUAUGCUCCAUGACGUUCAAAACAUCGUUGAAGUCCCGAUUCUAAGCCGUAAAGCAUGGCACACUGAACUAUCGAGUAGUCAUCAGCUUUGCUCUGCCAGACAUUCAUAACAUCCGGCGUUGCUCCUGCAGCAGGGCUGGCACCCAGCGGUGCUUCCAGGACGUAAUUCUUCUGUGCAGCAAUGAGGAUAAUCCUCAAGUUAUGGACCCAGUCCGUGUAAUUGCUACCAUCAUCUUUCAACUUUGCUUUCUCAAGGAACGCAUUAAAAUUCAACGGAACAACAGCACGAGCCAUCUAUCUACAAUCAAACAUAAACAAGAAAGAUACUAAUCAGGUACUAAGUUUCAUGAUAAAUUUAAGUUCAGUUAAUCAAAUUAAUUAAAGAACUCCCACUUAGAUAGACAUCCCUCUAAUCCUCUAAGUGAUUACGUGAUCCAAAUCAACUAAACCAUAACCGAUCAUCACGUGAGAUGGAGUAGUUUUCAAUGGUGAACAUCGUUAUGUUGAUCAUAUCUACUAUAUGAUUCACGCUCGACCUUUCGGUCUCCGUGUUCCGAGGCCAUAUCUGUAUAUGUUGGCUCGUCAAGUAUAACCUGAGUAUUCCGCGUGUGCAACUAUUUUGCACCCGUUGUAUUUGAACAUAGAACCUAUCACACCCGAUCAUCACGUGGUGUCUCAGCAUGAAGAACUUUCGCAACGGUGCAUACUCAGGGAGAACACUUCUUGAUAAUUUAGUGAGAGAUCAUCUUAUAAUGCUACCAUCAAUCAAAGCAAGAUAAGAUGCAUAAAAGGAUAAACAUCACAUGCAAUCAAUAUAAGUGAUAUGAUAUGAGCAUCAUCAUCUUGUGCUUGUGAUAUCCAUCUCCGAAGCACCGUCGUGAUCAGCAUCGUCACCGGCGUGACACCUUGAUCUCCAUCGUAGCAUCGUUGUCGUCUCGCCAAGCUUGUGCUUCUACGACUAUCGCUACCGCUUAGUGAUAAAAGCAAAGCAUUACAUCGCGAUUGCAUUCCAUACAAUAAAACGACAACCAUAAGGCUCCUGCCAGUUGCCGAUAACUCGGUUACAAAACAUGAUCAUCUCAUACAAUAAAAUUCAGCAUCAUGUCUUGACCAUAUCACAUCACAACAUGCCCUGCAAAAACAAGUUAGACGUCCUCUACUUUGUUGUUGCAAGUUUUACGUGGCUGCUAUGGGCUUAAGCAAGAACCAAUCUUACCUACGCAUCAAAACUACAACGAUAGUUUGUCAAUUUGACUCCGUUUUAACCUUCGCAAGGACCGGGCGUAGCCAUACUCGGUUCAACUAAAGUUGGAGAGACAGUCGCCCGCAAGCCACCUAUGUGCAAAGCACGUCGGGGGAACCGGUCUCGCGUAAGCGUACGCGUAAUGUUGGCCGGGUCGUCUCGUCCAACAAUGCCGCCGAACCAAAGUAUGACAUGCUGGUAGGCAGUAUGACUUAUAUCGCCCACAACUCACUUGUGUUCUACUCGUGCAUAUAACAUCAACAUAAAUAACCUAGGCUCGGAUGCCACUGUUGGGUUUCGUAGUAAUUUCAAAAAAAUUCCUAUGCACACGCAAGAUCAUGUGAUGCAUAGCAAUGAGAGGAGAGUGUGAUCUACAUACCUAGUAGAUCGACAACGGAAGCAUUUGGUUGAUGUAGUCGUACGUCUUCACGAUCCAACCGAUCAAGCACCGAAACUACGGCACCUCCGAGUUUGAGCACACGUUCAGCUCGAUGACGAUCUCCGGACUCUGAUCCAGCAAAGUGUCGGGGAAGAGUUCCGUCAGCACGACGGCAUGGUGACGAUCUUGAUGCACUACAGCAGCAGGGCUUCGCCUAAACUCCGCUACAGUAUUAUCGAGGACUAUGGUGGCUGGGGCGCCGCACACGGCUAAGGAAUAGAUCACGUGGAUCAACUUGUGUGUUUCUGGGGUGCCUCUGCCUCAGUAUAUAAAGCACCAAAGGGGGGAGGCUGGCCGGCCACAUAGGGCGCGCCAGGAGAGUCCUACUCCCUCUGGGAGUAGGAUUCCCCCCCCCCCCAAUCCUAGUUGGAAUAGGAUUCGCGGAGGGGGAAAAGAGAGAGGGGGGCCGGCCACCUCUCCUUCUCCUAAUAGGACUAGGGGAGGGAGGGAGGCGCGCAUCCCAUCUUGGGCAGCCCCUUCUCUUUUCCACUAAGGCCCACUAAGGCCCAUAUAGCUCUCGGGGGGUUCCGGUAACCUCCCGGUACUCCGGUAAAAUCCCGAUUUCACACGGAACACUUCCGAUAUCCAAACAUAGGCUUCCAAUAUAUCAAUCUUUAUGUCUCGACCAUUACUAGACUCCUCGUCAUGUCCGUGAUCACAUCCGGGACUCCGAACAACCUUCGGUACAUCAAAAUGCAUAAACUCAUAAUAUAACUGUCAUCAUAACCUUAAGCGUGCGGACCCUAUGGGUUCAAGAACAAUGUAGACAUGACCGAGACACGUCUCCGGUCAAUAACCAAUAGCGGGACCUGGAUGCCCAUAUUGGCUCCUACAUAUUCUACGAAGAUCUUUAUCGGUCAGACCGCAUAACAACAUACGUUGUUCCCUUUGUCAUCGGUAUGUUACUUGCCCGAGAUUCGAUCGUCGGUAUUCCAAUACCUAGUUCAAUCUUGUUACUGGCAAGUCUCUUUACUCGUUCUGUAAUACAUCAUUCCGCAACUAACUCAUUUAGUUGCAAUGCUUGCAAGGCUUAAGUGAUGUGCAUUACCGAGAGGGCCCAGAGAUACCUCUCCGACAAUCGGAGUGACAAAACCUAAUCUCGAAAUACGCCAACCCAACAUGUACCUUUAGAGACACCUGUAAUACUCCUUUAUAAUGACCCAGUAACGUUGUGACGUUUGGUAGUACCAAAAGUGUUCCUCCGGUAAACGGGAGUUCAUAAUCUCAUAUAGGAACAUGUAUAAGUCAUGAAGAAAGAAAUAGCAACAUACUAAACGAUCGGGUGCUAAGCUAAUGGAAUGGGUCAUGUCAAUCAGAUCAUUCUCUUAAUGAUGUGAUCACGUUAAUCAAAUAACAACUCAUCGUUCAUGGUUAGGAAACAUAACCAUCUUUGAUUAACGAGCUAGUCAAGUAGACGCAUACUAGUGACACUUUGUUUGUCUAUGUAUUCACACAUGUAUUAUGUUUCUGGUUAAUACAAUUCUAGCAUGAAUAACAAACAUUUAUCAUGAUUAUAAGGAAAUAAAUAAUAACUUUAUUAUUGCCUCUAGGGCAUAUUUCCUUCAGAGUGGCGCCCCAGCCCACUUUGGGCUGGAUCCCUUCCUCAUACAGCCCAUAAGGCCCUCCGGGAGAGGUGGCCCCUCCGAGUGGACCCCCGGAACCCCUCCGGUGGCCCCGGUACAAUACCGUUAUGCCCCCGAACCUUUCCGGUGACCGUAUGACAACUUCCCAUAUAUAAUUCUUUACCUCCGGAUUAUUCCGGGACUUCGAACAACUUUCGGAUUACUGCAUACUCAUAUCUAUACAACCCUAGCAUCACUGAACCUUAAGUGUGUAGACCCUACGGGUUCGGGAGACAAUCAGACAUGACCGAGACGACUCUCUGGUCAAUAACCAACAGUGGGAUCUGGAUACCCAUGUUGGCUCCCACAUGCUCCUUGAUGAUCUCAUCGGAUGAACCACGAUGUCGAGGACCUAAUCAAUCCCGUACUCAAUUCCCUUUGUCAAUCGGUACAUUACUUGCCCGAGACUCGAUCGUCGAUAUCCCAAUACCUUGUUCAGUCUCGUUACCAGCAAGUCACUUUACUCGUACCGUAAUGCAUGAUCCCGUGAUCAACCACUUGAUCACAUUGAGCUCAUUAUGAUGAUGCAUUACCGAGUGGGCCCAGAGAUACCUCUCCGUCAUACGGAGUGACAAAUCCCAGUCUCGAUUCGUGCCAACCCAACAGACACUUUCGGAGAUACCUGUAAUGUACCUUUAUAGUCACCCAGUUACCUUGUGACGUUUGGCACACCCAAGGCACUCCUACGGUAUCCGGGAGUUGCACGAUCUCAUGGUCUAAGGAAAUGAUACUUGACAUCCAGAAAAGCUACAGCAAACGAACUACACGAUCUUUGUGCUAUACUUAGGUUUGGGUCUUGUCCAUCACAUCAUUCUCCUAAUGAUGUGAUCCCAUUAUCAAUGACAUCCCCAUGUCCAUAGCCAGGAAACCAUGACUAUCUGUUGAUCAACGAGCUAGUCAACUAGAGGCUCACUAGGGACACAUUAUGGUCUAUGUAUUCACACAUGUAUUACGAUUUCCGGACAAUACAAUUAUAGCAUGAAUAAUAGAAAAUUAUCAUGAACAAGGAAAUAUAAUAAUCAUUUUAUUAUUGCCUCUAGGGCAUAUUUCCAACAGUCUCCCACUUGCACUAGAGUCAAUCAUCUAGUUACAUUGUGAUGAAUCGAACACCCAUGGAAUUCUGGUGUUGAUCAUGUUUUGCUCUAGGGAGAGGUUUAGUCAACGGAUCUGCUACAUUCAGGUCCGUAUGUACUUUACAAAUCUCUAUGUAUCCAUUUUGAACACUUUCACGAAUGGAGUUGAAACGACGCUUGAUAUGCCUGGUCUUCCUGUGAAACCUGGGCUCCUUGGCAAGGGCAAUAGCUCCAGUGUUGUCACAGAAGAGAGUCAUCGGGCCCGACGCAUUGGGUAUGACUCCUAGGUCGGUAAUGAACUCCUUCACCCAGACUGCUUCGUGUGCUGCCUCCGAGGCUGCCAUGUACUCCGCUUCACAUGUAGAUCCUGCCACAAUGCUUUGCUUGCAACUGCACCAGCUUACUGCCCCACCAUUCAAAAUAUACACGUAUCCGGUUUGUGACUUAGAGUCAUCCAGAUCUGUGUCGAAGCUAGCAUCAACGUAACCCUUUACGACAAGCUCUUCGUCACCUCCAUAAACGAGAAACAUUUCCUUAGUCCUUUUCAGGUACUUCAGGAUAUUUUUGAUCGCUGUCCAGUGUUCCAUGUCGGGAUUACUUUGGUACCUUCCUACCAAACUCACGGCAAGGUUUACAUCAGGUCUGGUACACAGCAUAGCAUACAUGAUAGACCCUAUGGCUGAGGCAUAGGGGACGACACUCAUCUUUUCUCUAUCUUCUGCCGUGGUCGGGCAUUGAGCCAAGCUCAAUCUCGUACCUUGCAAUACAGGCAAGAACCCCUUCUUUGACUGAUCCAUUUUGAACUUCUUCAAUAUCUUGUCAAGGUACAUACUCUAUGAAAGACCAAUGAGGCGUCUCGAUCUAUCUCUAUAGAUCUUGAUGCCUAAUAUAUAAGCAGCUUCUCCAAGGUCCUUCAUUGAAAAACACUUGUUCAAAUAGGCCUUUAUGCUUUCCAAGAAUUCUAUAUCAUUUCCCAUCAACAGUAUGUCAUCCACAUACAAUAUGACAAAUGCUACAGAGCUCCCACCCACUUUCUUGUAAAUGCAAGCUUCUCCAUAAGUCUGCAUAAACCCAAACGCUUUGAUCAUCUCAUCAAAGCGAAUGUUGCAACUCCGAGAUGCUUGCACCAGCCCGUAAAUCGAGCGUUGGAGCUUGCACACCUUGUCAGCAUUCUUAGGAUCGACAAGACCUUCCGGUUGCAUCAUAUACAAUUCUUCCUUAAGGAAACCAUUAAGGAAUGCCGUUUUGACGUCCAUUUGCCAUAUUUCAUAAUCAUAGAAUGCGGCAAUUGCUAACAUGAUUCGGACGGACUUCAGCUUCGCUACGGGUGAGAAAGUCUCAUCGUAGUCAACCCCUUGAACUCGUCGAUAACCCUUAGCGACAAGCCGUGCUUUAUAGAUGGUCACAUUACCAUCCGCGUCUGUCUUCUUCUUAAAGAUCCAUUUAUUUUCUAUGGCUCGCCGAUCAACGGGCAAGUCAGUCAAAGUCCAUACUUUGUUUUCAUACAUGGAUCCUAUCUCGGAUUUCAUGGCUUCCAGCCAUUUGUCGGAAUACGGGCCCGCCAUCACUUCUUCAUAGUUCAAAGGUUCACCGUUGUCUAACAACAUGAUUUCCAAGACAGGGUUGCCGUACCACUCUGGUGAGGAACGUGUCCUUGUGGACCUUCGAAGUUCAGUAGGAGCUUGAUCAGAAGUAUCUUGAUCAUCAUCAUUAACUUCCUCUCUAAUUGGUGCAAGCACCACAGGAACAUUUGCCUGAGUUGCGCCACUUUCCGGUUCAAGAGGCAAUACUUCAUCAAGUUCUACUUUCCUCCCACUUACUUCUUUCGAGAGAAACUCCUUCUCUAGAAAGGAUCCAUUCUUGGCAACAAAGAUCUUGCCUUCGGAUCUGAGGUAGAAGGUAUACCCAAUAGUUUCUUUAGGGUAUCCUAUCAAGACGCAUUUUUCCGACUUGGGUUCGAGCUUUUCAGGUUGAAGUUUCUUGACAUAAGCAUCGCAUCCCCAAACUUUUAGAAACGACAGCUUAGGCUUCUUCCCAAACCAUAAUUCAUACGGUGUCGUCUCAACGGAUUUCGACGGAGCCCUAUUUAAAGUGAAUGCAGUAGUCUCUAAAGCAUAGCCCCAAAAUGACAGCGGUAAAUUGGUAAGAGACAUCAUAGAUCGCACCAUAUCUAAUAGAGUGCGAUUACGACGUUCGGACACACCAUUACGCUGAGGUGUUCCAGGCGGCAUGAGUUGUGAAACUAUUCCACAUUUUCUUAAGUGUGUACCAAAUUCUUGACUCAAGUAUUCUCCUCCACGAUCUGAUCGCAAAAACUUGAUUUUUCUGUCAUGUUGAUUCUCAACCUCACUCUGAAAUUCCUUGAACUUUUCAAAGGUUUCAGACUUGUGUUUCAUUAAGUAGAUAUACCCAUAUCUACUCAAGUCAUCAGUGAGGGUGAGAACAUAACGAUAGCCACCACGAGCCUCAACAUUCAUUGGACCGCACACAUCAGUAUGUAUGAUUUCCAAUAGGUUGGUUGCUCGCUCCAUUGUUCCUGAGAACGGAGACUUGGUCAUCUUACCCAUGAGGCAUGGUUCACACAUGUCAAAUGAUUCGUAAUCAAGAGACUCUAAAAGUCCAUCUGUAUGGAGCUUCUUCAUGCGUUUGACACCUAUGUGACUAAGGCGGCAGUGCCACAAGUAUGUGGGACUAUCAUUAUCAACCUUACAUCUUUUGGCAUUCACACUAUGAAUAUGUGUAGCAUUACGCUCGAGAUUCAUUAAGAAUAAACCAUUCACCAUAGGAGCAUGACCAUAAAACAUAUCUCUCAUAUAAAUAGAACAACCAUUACACUUGGAUUUAAAUGAGUAGCCAUCUCGUAUUAAACGAGAUCCUGAUACAAUGUUCAUGCUCAAACUUGGCACUAAAUAACAAUUAUUGAGGUUCAAAACUAAUCCCGUAGGUAAAUAUAGAGGUAGCGUGCCGACGACGAUGACAUCGACCUUGGAACCAUUCCCGACGCGCAUUGUCACCUCGUCCUUCGCCAAUCUCCGCUUAUUCCGCAGCUCCUGCUUUGAGUUACAAAUGUGAGCAACUGCACCGGUAUCAAAUACCCAGGAGCUACUACGAGUAUUGGUAAGGUACACAUCAAUUACAUGUAUAUCACAUAUACCUUUCGUUUUGCCGGCCUUCUUGUCCGCUAAGUAUUUGGGGCAGUUCCGCUUCCAGUGUCCACUUCCCUUGCAAUAAAAACACUCAGUCUCGGGCUUGGGUCCAUUCUUUGGCUUCUUCCCGGCAGCUUGCUUACCAGGCGCGGCAACUCCCUUGCCGUCCUUCUUGAAGUCCUUCUUACCCUUGCCUUUCUUGAACUUAGUGGUUUUAUUCACCAUCAACACUUGAUGGUCCUUUUUGACUUCUACCUCUGCUGAUUUCAGCAUUGCAAAUACUUUAGGAAUGGUCUUUUCCAUCCCCUGCAUAUUGAAGUUCAUCACAAAGCUCUUGUAGCUUGGUGGAAGCGACUGGAGGAUUCUGUCAAUGACCGCGUCAUCCGGGAGAUUAACUCCCAGCUGAGUCAAGCGGUUAUUUAACCCAGACAUAGUGAGUAUGUGCUCACUGACAGAACUAUUUUCCUCCAUCUUACAGCUGAAGAACUUGUCGGAGACUUCAUAUCUCUCGACCCGGGCAUGAGCUUGGAAAACCAUUUUUAGCUCUUCGAACAUCUCAUAUGCUCCGUGUCGCUCAAAACGCUUUUGGAGCCCCGGUUCUAAGCUGUAAAGCAUGCCGCACUGAACGAGGUAGUAAUCAUCAGCACGUGUCUGCCAAGCGUUCAUAACGUCUUGGUUCUGUGGGACGGGUGCGUCACCUAGCGGUGCUUCUAGGACAUAAUCUUUCUUGGCAGCUUUAUAGUUGCUGCCAUCGUCUUUCAGCUUGGUUUUCUCUAGGAACGCAUUGAAGUUGAGGACAACGUUGGCUAUUUGAUCUACAAGACAUAUUGUAAAUAUUUUAGACUAAGUUCAUGAUAAUUAAGUUCAUCUAAUCAAAUUAUUCAAUGAACUCCCACUUAGAUAGACAUCCCUCCAGUCAUCUAAGUAUAACAUGAUCCGAGUUGACUAGGUCGUGUCCGAUCAUCACGUGAGACGGACUAGUCAACAUCGGUGAACAUCUUCAUGUUGAUCGUAUCUUCUAUACGACUCAUGCUCGACCUUUCGGUCUUCUGUGUUCCGAGGCCAUGUCUGUACAUGCUAGGCUCGUCAAGUCAACCUAAGUGUAUUGCGUGUGUAAAUCUGUCUUACACCCGUUGUAUGUGAACGUUGGAAUCUAUCACACCCGAUCAUCACGUGGUGCUUCGAAACAACGAACUGUCGCAACGGCGCACAGUUAGGGGGAACACUUUCUUGAAAUUAUUAUGAGGGAUCAUCUUAUUUACUACCGUCGUUCUAAGUAAACAAGAUGCAAAAACAUGAUAAACAUCACAUGCAAUCAAAUAAUAAUAGUGACAUGAUAUGGCCAAUAUCACAUAGCUCCUUUGAUCUCCAUCUUGGGGCUCCAUGAUCAUCUUGUCACCGACAUGACACCAUGAUCUCCAUCAUCAUGAUCUCCAUCAUCGUGUCUCCAUGAAGUUGCUAGCCAACUAUUACUUCUACUACUAUGGCUAACGCGUUUAGCAAUAAAUUAAAGUAAUUUACAUGGCGUUUCUCAAUGACACGCAGGUCAUACAAAAAAUAAAGACAACUCCUAUGGCUCCUGCCGGUUGUCAUAAUCAUCGACAUGCAAGUCGUGAUUCCUAUUACAAGAACAUGAUCUCAUACAUCACAUAUAUAUCAUUCAUCAUUCAUCACAACUUUGGCCAUAUCACAUCACAAAUCACUUGCUGCAAAAACAAGUUAGACGUCCUCUAAUUGUUGUUGCAAGUUUUACGUGGCUGCAAAAGGGUUCUAGCAAGAACGUUUUCUUACCUACGUAAUAGCCACAACGUGAUUUGUCAACUUCUAUUUACCCUUCAUAAGGACCCUUUUCAUCGAAUCCGCUCCAAAUAAAGUGGGAGAGACAGAAACCCGCUAGCCACCUAAUGCAACUAGUGCAUGUCAGUCGGUGGAACCAGUCUCACGUAAGCAUACGUGUAAGGUCGGUCCGGGCCGCUUCAUCCCACAAUACCGCUAAAGCAAGAUAAGACUAGUAGCGGCAAGAAAGUUGACAACAUCUACGCCCACAACAAAUUGUGUUCUACUCGUGCAAGGAGAACUACGCAUAAACCUGGCUCUGAUACCACUGUUGGGGAACAUUGCAGAAAACAAAAAAUUUCCUACGAUUUCACCAAGACCCAUCUAUGAGUUCAUCUAGCAACGAGUGAUCGGAUUGCAUCUACAUACCUUUGUAGAUCACGCGCGGAAGCGUUCAAAGAACGGGGAUGAGAAAGUCGUACUCGACGUGAUCCAAAUCACCGGAGGUCCUAGCGCCGAACAGACGGCACCUCCGCGUUCAACACACGUACGGUCAGCGUGACGUCUCCUCCUUCUUGAUCUAGCAAGGGGGAAGGAGAGGUUGAGGAAGAUGGCUCCAGCAGCAGCACGACGGCGUGGUGGUGGUGGAGCAGCAGUACUUCAGCAGGGCUUCGCCAAGCUCGUGACGGAGGAGGAGAUGUGUUGGGGAGGGGAGGGGAUGUGCCUUGGAUGUCCUCUGCAGCCCUCCCCUCACCCCUCUAUUUAUAGGGGAAGGAGGAAGGGGGCCGGCCCCCUCUAGAUGAGAUCUACAGGAGGGGCGGCGGCCAAGGGGAGGGGGGCUUGCCCCCCAAGCAAGGGGGCGCCCCCCCUUAGGGUUUCCCCCAACCCUAUGCGCAUGGGCCCUAGGGGGAGUGGCACCCCAGCCCACUUUGGGGUGGAUACCUUCCUCAUACAGCCCAUAAGGCCCUCCGAGAGAGGUGGCCCCUCCUGGUGGACCCCCGGAACCCCUCCGGUGGCCCCGGUACAAUACUGAUACGCCCCCGAACCUUUCCGGUGACCAUAUGACAACUUCCCAUAUAUAAUUCUUUACCUCCGGAUUAUUCCGGAACUCCUCGUGACGUCCAGGAUCUCAUCCGGGACUCCGAAAAACUUUCGGAUUACUGCAUACUCAUCUAUACAACCCUAGCGUCACCGAACCUUAAGUGUGUAGACCCUACGGGUUUGGGAGACAAGCAUACAUGACCGAGAUGACUCUCUGGUCAAUAACCAACAGCGGGAUCUGGAUACCCAUGUUGGCUCCCACAUGCUCCUCGAUGAUCUCAUCAGAUGAACCACGAUGUCGAGGACCUAAUCAAUCUCGUACUCAAUUCCCAUUGUCAAUCGGUACGUUACUUGCCCGAGACUCGAUCGUCGGUAUCCCAAUACCUUGUUCAGUCUCGUUACCGGCAAGUCACUUUACUCGUACCGUAAUGCAUGAUCCCAUGAUCAACCACUUGAUCACAUUGAGCUCAUUAUGAUGAUGCAUUACCGAGUGGGCCCAGAGAUACCUCUCCGUCAUACGGAGUGACAAAUCCCAGUCUCGAUUUGUGCCAACCCAACAGACACUUUCGGAGAUACCUGUAAUGUACCUUUGUAGUCACCCAGUUACGUUGUGAUGUUUGGCACACCCAAGGCACUCCUACGGUAUCCGGGAGUUGCACAAUCUCAUGGUCUAAGGAAAUGAUACUUGACAUCCAGAAAAGCUAUAGCAAAUGAACUACACGAUCUUUGUGCUUUGCUUAGGUUUGGGUCUUGUCCAUCACAUCAUUCUCCUAAUGAUGUGUUCCCAUUAUCAAUGACAUCCCCAUGUCCAUAGCCAGGAAACCAUGACUAUCUGUUGAUCAACGAGCUAGUCAACUAGAGGCUCACUAGGGACACAUUAUGGUCUAUGUAUUCACACAUGUAUUACGAUUUCCGAACAAUACAAUUAUAGCAUGAAUAAUAGACAAUUAUCAUGAACAAGGAAAUAUAAUCAUCAUUUUAUUAUUGCCUCUAGAGCAUAUUUCCAACAAUGUCACUCUUGGUUCAUUGCACAUCCCGGUACAACGCCGGAGGCAUUCACAUAGAGUCAUAUUUUGUUCUAAGUAUCGAGUUGUAAUUUUUGAGUUGUAAAGUAAAUAAAAGUGUGAUGAUCAUCAUUAUUAGAUCAUUGUCCCAUGUGAGGAAAUGAUGAUGGAGACUAUGAUUCCCCAGAAGUCGGGAUGAGACUCGGGAUGAAAAAGAAAAAAAAGAAAAAAAGAGGCCAUAAAAAGAGAGAAGGCCCAAAAAGAAAAAAUAAUGAGAGAAAAGAGAGAAGGGACAAUGCUAAUAUCCUUUGACCACACUUGUGCUUCAAAGUAGCACCAUGAUCUUCAUGAUAGAGAGUCUCCUAUGUUGUCACUUUCAUAUACUAGUGGGAAUUUUACAUUAUAGAACUUGGCUUGUAUAUUCCAAUGAUGGGCUUCCUCAAAAUGCCCUAGGUCUUCGUGAGCAAGCAAGUUGGAUGCACACCCACUUAGUUUCUUUUUGAGCUUUCAUAUACUUAUAGCUCUAGUGCAUCCGUUGCAUGGCAAUCCCUACUCACUCACAUUGAUAUCUAUUGAUGGGCAUCUCCAUAGCCCGUUGAUACACCUAGUUGAUGUGAGACUAUCUUAUCCUUUUUGUCUUCUCCACAACCACCAUUCUAUUCCACCUAUAGUGCUAUGUCCAUGGCUCACGCUCAUGUAUCGCGUGAAGAUUGAAAAAGUUUGAGAACAUCAAAAGUAUGAAACAAUUGCUUGGCUUGUCAUCGGGGUUGUGCACGAUUUAAAUACUUUGUGUGAUGAAGAUAGAGCAUAGCCAUACUAUAUGAUUUUGUAGGGAUAACUUUCUUUGGCCAUGUUAUUUUGAGAAGACAUCAUUGCUUUGUUAGUAUGCUUGAAGUAUUAUUAUUUUUAUGUCAAUAUUAAACUUUUGUCUUGAAUAUUUCGGAUCUGAACAUUCAUGCCACAAUAAAGAAAAAAUAUAUUGAGAAUUAUGCUAGGUAGCAUUCCACAUCAAAAGUUCUGUUUUUAUCAUUUACCUACUCGAGGACGAGUAGGAAUGAAUCUUGGGAUGCUUCAUACGUCUACAACAUAUCUAUAAUUUGUGAUUGUUCCAUGCUAUUAUAUUAUCUGUUUUGGAUGUUUAAUGGGCUUUAAUAUACAUUUUUAUAUUAUUUUUGGGACUAACCUACUAACCAAAGCCCCAGUGCAAAUUGCUUUUUUUUGCCUAUUUCAGUGUUUCGCAGAAAAGGAAUAUCAAACGGAAUCCAAACGGAAUGAAACCUUCGGGAGAGUUAUUUAUAGAACAAAUGUGAUCCAGGAGACUUGAGUGGAUGUCAAGAAAGAAGCGAGGAGGCCACUGAAGGAAAUAUGCCCUAGAGGCAAUAAUAAAGUUAUUAUUUAUUUCCUUAUAAUCAUGAUAAAUGUUUAUUAUUCAUGCUAGAAUUGUAUUAACCGGAAACAUAAUACAUGUGUGAAUACAUAGACAAACAAAGUGUCACUAGUAUGCCUCUACUUGACUAGCUCGUUAAUCAAAGAUGGUUAUGUUUCCUAACCAUGAACAAUGAGUUGUUAUUUGAUUAACGAGGUCACAUCAUUAGUUGAAUGAUCUGAUUGACAUGACCCGUUCCAUUAGCUUAGCAACCGAUCGUUUAGUAUGUUGCUAUUGCUUUCUUCAUGACUUAUACAUGUUCCUAUAACUAUGAGAUUAUGCAACUCCCGUUUGCCGGAGGAACACUUUGGGUGCUACCAAACGUCACAAUCUAACUGGGUGAUUAUAAAGGAGCAUUACAGGUGUCUCCAAAGGUAGAUGUUGGGUUGGCAAAUUUCGAGAUUAGGAUUUGUCACUCCGAUUGUCGGAGAGGUAUCUCUGGGCCCUCUCGGUAAUGCACAUCACAUAAGCCUUGCAAGCAUUGCAACUAAUGAGUUAGUUGCGAGAUGAUGUAUUACAAAACGAGUAAAGAGACUGGUUGGUAACGAGAUUGAACUAGGUAUUGUAUAUCGACGAUCGAAUCUCGGGCAAGUAACAUACCGAUGACAAAGGGAACAACGUAUGUUGUUAUGCGGUCUGACCGAUAAAGAUCUUCGUAGAAUAUGUAGGAGCCAAUAUGGGCAUCCAGGUCCCGCUAUUGGUUAUUGACCAGAGACGUGUCUCGGUCAUGUCUACAUUGUUCUCGAACCCGUAGGGUCCGCACGCUUAAGGUUACGAUGACAGUUAUAUUAUGAGUUUAUGCAUUUUGAUGUACCGAAGGUUGUUCGGAGUCCCGGAUGUGAUCACGGACAUGACGAGGAGUCUCGAAAUGGUCGAGACGUAAAGAUUGAUAUAUUGGAAGCCUAUGUUUGGAUAUCGGAAGUGUUCCGGGUGAAAUCGGGAUUUUACCGGAGUACCGGGANNNNNNNNNNNNNNNNNNNNNNNNNNNNNNNNNNNNNNNNNNNNNNNNNNNNNNNNNNNNNNNNNNNNNNNNNNNNNNNNNNNNNNNNNNNNNNNNNNNNNNNNNNNNNNNNNNNNNNNNNNNNNNNNNNNNNNNNNNNNNNNNNNNNNNNNNNNNNNNNNNNNNNNNNNNNNNNNNNNNNNNNNNNNNNNNNNNNNNNNNNNNNNNNNNNNNNNNNNNNNNNNNNNNNNNNNNNNAAGGUGGCCGCGCGCCUCCCCCUCCCCCUAGUCCUAUUAGGACUAGGAGAGGUGGUCGGCCCCCCUUCUCUCUCUUCCCCCCUCGGGGAAUCCUAGUCCAACUAGGAUUGGGGGGGGAGUCCUACUCCCGGAAGGAGAAGGACUCCUCCUGCGCCCUCCUCCUGGCCGGCGCCCCCCUCCCCCUUGGCUCCUUUAUAUACUAAGGCAGAGGCACCCCAGAAACACACAAGUUGAUCCACGUGAUCUAUUCCUUAGCCGUGUGCGGUGCCCCCAGCCACCAUAUUCAUCGAUAAUACUGUAGCGGAGUUUAGGCGAAGCCCUACUGCUGUAGUGCAUCAAGAUCGUCACCACGCCGUCGUGCUGACGGAAUUCUUCCCCGACACUUUCCUGGAUCGGAGUCCGGGGAUCGUCAUCGAGCUGAACGUGUGCUCGAACUCGGAGGUGCCGUAGUUUCGGUGCUUGAUCGGUUGGAUCGCGAAGACGUACGACUACUUCCUCUACGUUGUGUCAACGCUUCCGCAGUCGGUCUGCGUGGGUACGUAGAAAGCACUCUCCCCUCUCGUUGCUAUGCAUCACCAUGAUCUUGCGUGUGCGUAGGAAUUUUUUUGAAAUUACUACGAAACCCAAAAGUCGCAUCCGUGCCUAGGUUAUUUAUGUUGAUGUUAUAUGCACGAGUAGAACACAAGUGAGUUGUGGGCGAUAUAAGUCAUACUGCCUACCAGCAUGUCAUACUUUGGUUCGGCGGCAUUGUUGGACGAGACGACCCGGACCAACCUUACGCGUACGCUUACGCGAGACCGGUUCCCCCGACGUGCUUUGCACACAGGUGGCUUGCGGGCGACUGUCUCUCCAACUUUAGUUGAACCAAGUAUGGCUACGCCCGGUCCUUGCGAAGGUUAAAACGGAGUCUAUUUGACAAACUAUCGUUGUGGUUUUGAUGCGUAGGUGAGAUUGGUUCUUGCUUAAAGCCCGUAGCAGCCACAUAAAACUUGCAACAACAAAGUAGAGGACGUCUAACCUGUUUUUGCAGGGCAUGUUGUGAUGUGAUAUGGUCAAGACAUGAUGCUGAAUUUUAUUGUAUGAGAUGAUCAUGUUUUGUAACCGAGUUAUCGGCAACUGGCAGGAGCCUUAUGGUUGUCGUUUUAUUGUAUGCAAUGAAAACGCGAUGUAAUGAUUUACUUUAUUACUAAGCGGUAGUGAUAGUCGUGGAAGCAUAAACUUGGCGAGACGACAACGAUGCUAUGAUGGAGAUCAAGGUGUCACGCCGGUGAUGAUGGUGAUCACGACGGUGCUUCGGAGAUGGAGAUCACAAGCACAAGAUGAUGAUGGCCAUAUCAUAUCACUUAUAUUGAUUGCAUGUGAUGUUUAUCCUUUUAUGCAUCUUAUCUUGCUUUGAUUGACGGUAGCAUUAUAAGAUGAUUUCUCACUAAAUUACCAAGAAGUGUUCUCCCUGAGUAUGCACCGUUGUGAAAGUUCUUCGUGCUGAGACACCACGUGAUGAUCGGGUGUGAUAGGUUCUACGUUCAAAUACAACGGGUGCAAAACAGUUGCCCACGCGGAAUACUCAGGUUAUACUUGACGAGCCAAGCAUAUACAGAUAUGGCCUCAGAACACGGAGACUGAAAGGUCGAGCGUGAAUCAUAUAGUAGAUAUGAUCAACAUAACGAUGUUCACCAUUGAAAACUACUCCAUCUCACGUGAUGAUCGGUUAUGGUUUAGUUGAUUUGGAUCACGUAAUCACUUAGAGGAUUAGAGGGAUGUCUAUCUAAGUGGGAGUUCUUUAAUUAAUUUGAUUAACUGAACUUAAAUUUAUCAUGAAACUUAGUACCUAAUUAGUAUCUUGCUUGUUUAUGUUUGAUUGUAGAUAGAUGGCUCGUGUUGUUGUUCCGUUGAAUUUUAAUGCGUUCCUUGAGAAAGCAAAGUUGAAAGAUGAUGGUAGCAAUUACACGGACUAGGUCCGUAACUUGAGGAUUAUCCUCAUUGCUGCACAGAAGAAUUACGUCCUGGAAGUACCACUGGGUGCCAGGCCUGCUGCAGGAGCAACGCCGGAUGUUAUGAACGUCUGGCAGAGCAAAGCUGAUGACUACUCAAUAGUUCAGUGUGCCAUGCUUUACGGCUUAGAAUCGGGACUUCAACGACGUUUUGAACGUCAUGGAGCAUAUGAGAUGUUCCAGGAGUUGGAGUUAAUGUUUCAAGCAAAUGCCCAGAUUGAGAGAUAUGAAGUCUCCAAUAAGUUCUAUAGCUGCAAGAUGGAGGAGAACAGUUCUGUCAGUGAGCAUAUACUCAAAAUGUCUGGGUAUAAUAAUCACUUGAUUCAAUUGGGAGUUAAUCUUCCAGAUGAUUGCGUCAUUGACAGAAUUCUUCAAUCACUGCCACCAAGCUACAAGAGCUUCGUGAUGAACUAUAAUAUGCAAGGGAUGAACAAGACUAUUCCCGAGCUCUUCGCGAUGCUGAAAGCUGCGGAGGUAGAAAUCAAGAAGGAGCAUCAAGUGUUGAUGGUCAACAAGACCACUAGUUUCAAGAAAAAGGGCAAAGGGAAGAAGAAGGGGAACUUCAAAAAGAACGGCAAGCAAGUUGCUACUCAAGAGAAGAAACCCAAACCUGGACCUAAGCCUGAAACUGAGUGUUUCUAUUGCAAGCAGACUGGUCACUUGAAGCGGAACUGCCCCAAGUAUUUGGCAGAUAAGAAGGAUGGAAAGGUGAACAAAGGUAUAUGUGAUAUACAUGUUAUUGAUGUGUACCUUACUAAUGCUCGCAGUAGCACCUGGGUAUUUGAUACUGGUUCUGUUGCUAAUAUUUGCAACUCGAAACAGGGACUACGGAUCAAGCGAAGAUUGGUUAAGGACGAGGUGACGAUGCGCGUGGGAAACGGUUCCAAAGUCGAUGUGAUCGCAGUCGGCACACUACCUCUACAUCUACCUUCGGGAUUAGUAUUAGACCUAAAUAAUUGUUAUUUGGUGCCAGCGUUAAGCAUGAACAUUAUAUCUGGAUCUUGUUUGAUGCGAGACGGUUAUUCAUUUAAAUCAGAGAAUAAUGGUUGUUCUAUUUAUAUGAGUAAUAUCUUUUAUGGUCAUGCACCCUUGAAGAGUGGUCUAUUCUUGUUGAAUCUCGAUAGUGGUAACACACAUAUUCAUAAUGUUGAAGCCAAAACAUGUAGAGUUGAUAAUGAGAGUGCAACUUAUUUGUGGCACUGCCGUUUAGGUCAUAUCGGUGUAAAGCGCAUGAAGAAACUCCAUUCUGAUGGACUUUUGGAACCACUUGAUUAUGAAUCACUUGGUACUUGCGAACCGUGCCUUAUGGGCAAGAUGACAAAACACCGUUCUCCGGUACUAUGGAGGGAGCAACAGAUUUGUUGGAAAUCAUACAUACAUAUGUAUGUGGUCCGAUGAAUAUUGAGGCUCGUGGCGGAUAUCAUUAUUUUCUCACCUUCACAGAUGAUUUAAGCAGAUAUGGGUAUAUCUACUUAAUGAAACAUAAGUCUGAAACAUUUGAAAGGUUCAAGGAAUUUCAGAGUGAAGUUGAAAAUCAUCGUAACAAGAAAAUAAAGUUUCUACGAUCUGAUCGUGGAGGAGAAUAUUUGAGUUACGAGUUUGGUGUACAUUUGAAAAAUUGUGGAAUAGUUUCGCAACUCACGCCACCCGGAACACCACAGCGUAAUGGUGUGUCUGAAUGUCGUAAUCGUACUUUACUAGAUAUGGUGCGAUCUAUGAUGUCUCUUACUGAUUUACCGCUAUCGUUUUGGGGAUACGCUCUAGAGACGGCCGCAUUCACUUUAAAUAGGGCACCAUCAAAAUCCGUUGAGACGACGCCUUAUGAACUGUGGUUUGGCAAGAAACCAAAGUUGUCGUUUCUGAAAGUUUGGGGCUGCGAUGCUUAUGUGAAAAAGCUUCAACCUGAUAAGCUCGAACCCAAAUCGGAGAAAUGUGUCUUCAUAGGAUAUCCAAAGGAAACUAUUGGAUACACCUUCUAUCACAGAUCUGAAGGCAAGACUUUUGUUGCUAAAUUCGGAAACUUUCUAGAGAAGGAGUUUCUCUCGAAAGAAGUGAGUGGGAGGAAAGUAGAACUUGACGAGGUAACUGUACCUGCUCCCUUAUUGGAAAGUAGUACAUCACAGAAAAUUGUUUCAGUGACACCUACACCAGUUAGUGAGGAAGCUAAUGAUAAUGAUCAUGAAACUUCAGAUCAAGAUACUGCUGAACCUCGUAGAUCAACCAGAGUAAGAUCCGCACCAGAGUGGUACGGUAAUCCUGUUCUGGAAGUCAUGCUACUAGAUCAUGAUGAACCUGCGAACUAGGAAGAAGCGAUGGUGAGCCCAGAUUCCGCAAAAUGGCUUGAAGCCAUGAAAUCUGAGAUGGGAUCCAUGUAUGAGAACAAAGUAUGGACUUUGGUUGACUUGCCCGAUGAUCGGUAAGCAAUUGAGAAUAAAUGGAUCUUCAAGAAGAAGACUGACGCUGACGGUAAUGUUACUGUCUACAAAGCUCGACUUGUCGCAAAAGGUUUUCGACAAGUUCAAGGGGUUGACUACGAUGAGACCUUCUCACCCGUAGCGAUGCUUAAGUCUGUCCGAAUCAUGUUAGCAAUUGCCGCAUUUUAUGAUUAUGAAAUUUGGCAAAUGGAUGUCAAAACUGCAUUCCUGAAUGGAUUUCUGGAAGAAGAGUUGUAUAUGAUGCAACCAGAAGGUUUUGUCGAUCCAAAAGGAGCUAACAAAGUGUGCAAGCUCCAGCGAUCCAUUUAUGGACUGGUGCAAGCCUCUCGGAGUUGGAAUAAAUGCUUUGAUAGUGUGAUCAAAGCAUUUUGUUUUAUACAGACUUUCGGAGAAGCCUGUAUUUACAAGAAAGUGAGUGGGAGCUCUGUAGCAUUUCUGAUAUUAUAUGUGGAUGACAUAUUACUGAUUGGAAAUGAUAUAGAAUUUCUGGAUAGCAUAAAGAGAUACUUGAAUAAGAGUUUUUCAAUGAAAGACCUCGGUGAAGCUGCUUACAUACUAGGCAUAAAGAUCUAUAGAGAUAGAUCAAGACGCUUAAUUGGACUUUCACAAACAACAUACCUUGACAAAAUUUUGAAGAAGUUCAAAAUGGAUCAAGCAAAGAAAGGAUUCUUGCCUGUGUUACAAGGUGUGAAAUUGAGUAAGACUCAAUGCCCGACCACUGCAGAAGAUAGAGAGAAUAUGAAAGAUGUUCCCUAUGCAUCAGCGAUAGGAUCUAUCAUGUAUGCAAUGUUGUGUACCAGACCUGAUGUGUGCCUUGCUAUAAGUCUAGCAGGGAGGUACCAAAGUAAUCCAGGAGUGGAUCACUGGACAACCGUCAAGAACAUCCUGAAAUACAUGAGAAGGACUAAGGAUAUGUUUCUCGUAUAUGGAGGUGACAAAGAGCUCGACGUAAAUGGUUACGUUGAUGCAAGCUUUGACACUGAUCCGGACGAUUCUAAAUCGCAAACCGGAUACGUGUUUACAUUAAACGGUGGAGCUGUCAGUUGGUGCAGUUCUAAACAAAGCGUCGUAGUGGGAUCUACAUGUGAAGCGGAGUACAUAGCUGCUUCGGAAGCAGCGAACGAAGGAGUCUGGAUGAAGGAGUUCAUAUCCGAUCUAGGUGUCAUAUCUAGUGCAUCGGGUCCAAUGAAAAUCUUUUGUGACAAUACUGGUGCAAUUGCCUUGGCAAAGGAAUCCUGAUUUCACAAGAGAACCAAGCACAUCAACAGACGCUUCAAUUCCAUCCAGGAUCUAGUCCAGGUGGGAGACAUAGAGAUUUGCAAGAUACAUACGGAUCUGAAUGUUGCAGACCCGUUGACUAAGCCUCUUCCACGAGCAAAACAUGAUCAGCACCAAGGCUCCAUGGGUGUUAGAAUCAUCACAGUGUAAUCUAGAUUAUUGACUCUAGUGCAAGUGGGAGACUGAAGUAAAUAUGCCCUAGAGGCAAUAGUAAAGUUAUUAUUUAUUUCCUUAUAAUCAUGAUAAAUGUUUAUUAUUCAUGCUAGAAUUGUAUUAACCGGAAACAUAAUACAUGUGUGAAUACAUAGACAAACAAAGUGUCACUAGUAUGCCUCUACUUGACUAGCUCGUUAAUCAAAGAUGGUUAUGUUUCCUAACCAUGAACAAUGAGUUGUUAUUUGAUUAACGAGGUCACAUCAUUAGUUGAAUGAUCUGAUUGACAUGACCCGUUCCAUUAGCUUAGCACCCGAUCGUUUAGUAAGUUGCUAUUGCUUUCUUCAAGACUUAUACAUGUUCCUAUAACUAUGAGAUUAUGCAACUCCCGUUUGCCGGAGGAACACUUUGGAUGCUACCAAACGUCACAACGUAACUGGGUGAUUAUAAAGGAGCAUUACAGGUGUCUCCAAAGGUAGAUGUUGGGUUGGCGUAUUUCGAGAUUAGGGUUUGUCACUCCGAUUGUCGGAGAGGUAUCUCUGGGCCCUCUCGGUAAUGCACAUCACAUAAGCCUUGCAAGCAUUGCAAUUAAUGAGUUAGUUGUGAGAUGAUAUAUUACAGAACGAGUAAAGAGACUUGCCGGUAACGAGAUUGAACUAGGUAUUGGAUACCGACGAUCGAAUCUCGGGCAAGUAACAUACCGAUGACAAAGGGAACAACGUAUGUUGUUAUGCGGUCUGACCGAUAAAGAUCUUCGUAGAAUAUGUAGGAGCCAAUAUGGUCAUCCAGGUCUGGCUAUUGGUUAUUGACCGGAGACGUGUCUCAGUCAUGUCUACAUUGUUCUCGAACCCGUAGGGUCCGCACGCUUAAGGUUACGAUGACAGUUAUAUUAUGAGUUUAUGCAUUUUGAUGUACCGAAGGUUGUUCGGAGUCCCGGAUGUGAUCACGGACAUGAUGAGGAGUCUCGAAAUGGUCGAGACGUAAAGAUUGAUAUAUUGGAAGCCUAUGUUUGGAUAUCGGAAGUGUUCCGGGUGAAAUCGGGAUUUUACCGGAGUACCGGGAGGUUACCGGAACCCCCCNNNNNNNNNNNNNNNNNNNNNNNNNNNNNNNNNNNNNNNNNNNNNNNNNNNNNNNNNNNNNNNNNNNNNNNNNNNNNNNNNNNNNNNNNNNNNNNNNNNNNNNNNNNNNNNNNNNNNNNNNNNNNNNNNNNNNNNNNNNNNNNNNNNNNNNNNNNNNNNNNNNNNNNNNNNNNNNNNNNNNNNNNNNNNNNNNNNNNNNNNNNNNNNNNNNNNNNNNNNNNNNNNNNNNNNNNNNNNNNNNNNNNNNNNNNNNNNNNNNNNNNAAGGAGAAAGGGGCAGCCCAAGGUGGCCGCGCGCCUCCCCCCUUCCCCUAGUCCUAUUAGGACUAGGAGAGGUGGCCGGCCCCCCUUCUCUCUCUUUCCCCCUCGGGGAAUCCUAGUCCAACUAGGAUUGGGGGGGAGUCCUACUCCCGGAAGGAGAAGGACUCCUCCUGCGCCCUCCUCCUGGCCGGCGCCCCCUCCCCCUUGGCUCCUUUAUAUACUAAGGCAGAGGCACCCCAGAAACACAUAAGUUGAUCCACGUGAUCUAUUCCUUAGCCGUGUGCGGUGCCCCCAGCCACCAUAUUUCUCGAUAAUACUGUAGCGGAGUUUAGGCGAAGCCCUGCUGCUGUAGUGCAUCAAGAUCGUCACCACGCCGUUGUGCUGACGGAAUUCUUCCCCAACACUUUGCUGGAUCGGAGUCUGGGGGUCGUCAUCGAGCUGAACGUGUGCUCGAACUCGGAGGUGCCGUAGUUUCGGUGCUUGAUCGGUUGGAUCGCGAAGACGUACGACUACUUCCUCUACGUUGUGUCAACGCUUCCGCAGUCGGUCUGCGUGGGUACGUAGACAGCACUCUCCCCUCUCAUUGCUAUGCAUCACCAUGAUCUUGCGUGUGCGUAGGAAAUUUUUUGAAAUUACUACGAAACCCAACAGCCACGAGGCAGGACGGCGCACCUAGGGGGUAGGCCCGCCCUCCACACUCGUGGGCCCCUUGCAGCUCCACUGACGUACUUCUUCCUCCUAUAUAUACCCAUAUACCGCGAAAACAUCCAGGAGCACCACGAAACCCUAUUUCCAUCGCCACAACCUUCUGUACCCGUGAGAUCCCAUCUUGGGGCCUUUUUCGACGCUCCGCCGGAGGGGGAAUUGAUCAUGGAGGGCUUCUACAUCAACACCAUAGCCUCUCCGAUGAUGUGUGAGUAGUUUACCACAGACCUUCGGGUCCAUAGUUAUUAGCUAGAUGGCUUCUUCUCUCUCUUUGGAUCUCAAUACAAAGUUCUCCUCGAUUCUCUUGGAGAUCUAUUCGAUGUAAUUUCUUUUUGCGGUGUGUUUGUCGAUAUCCGAUGAAUUGUGGGUUUAAUCAAGAUUAUCUAUGAACAAUAUUUGAUUCUUCUCUGAAUUCUUUUAUGCAUGAUUUAAAUAUCUUUGCAAGUCUCUUCGAAUUAUCAAUUUGGUUUGGCCUACUAGAUUGAUCUUUCUUGCAAUGGGAGAAGUGCUUAGCUUUGGGUUCAAUCUUGCGGUGUCCUUUCCCAGUGACAGCAGGGGCAGCAAGGCACGUAUUGUAUUAUUGACAUCGAGGAUAAAAAGAUGGGGUUUAUAUCAUAUUGCUUCAGUUUAUUCCUCUACAUCAUGUCGUCUUGCCUAAUGUGUUACUCUGUUCUUAUGAACUUAAUACUCUAGAUGCAUGCUGGAUAGCGGUCGAUGUGUGGAGUAGUAGUAGUAGAUGCAGAAUCGUUUAGGUCUACUUGUCGCGGACGUGAUGCCUAUAUACAUGAUCAUGCCUAGAUAUUCUCAUAAUUAUUCGAUUUUCUAUCAAUUGCUCGACAGUAAUUUGUUCACCCACCGUAGAAUUUGCUAUCUUGAGAGAAGCCACUAGUGAAACCUAUGGCCCCCGGGUCUAUCUUCCAUCAUAUCUAUUUUCUAUUUCUAUCAUAGUUUAUUUUUGCAAUCUUUACUUUCCAAUCUAUACCAUAAAAAAUACCAAAAAUAUUUAUCUUAUUAUCUCUACAGAUCUCACUUUGUAAGUGACCGUGAAGGGAUUGACAACCCCUUUAUCGCGUUCGUUGCAAGGUUCUUGUUUGUUUGUGCAGGUACUAGGCAAAUUUCGUGUUACCUCCUACAGGAUUGAUACCUUGAUUCUCAAAAACUGAGGGGGAAAUACUUACGCUAUUGUGCUGCAUCACCCUUUCCUCUUCAAGGGAAAACCAACGCUUGCUCAAGAGUUAGCAGAUGCCAAUUCAAAUAAUCAUCAAAAUAAUUCUCCUACACGCGUUAUUCAGAUGGAGAAGAAGCGGUUGGCGUGGACAUUUCGUUUCUUAUCGAUGUCCAAGAGAAAAGCUACUAGGAAGUUCGUCCGCGCGGUGGAUUAUAAGUUUAAGUCUGUUACAUGAUACGUCCAUUUUGUAUCAUGUUUUCUUACUAUUAUUUAUAAUGUUUUAUCCAUAAUAAUGCUUUUUGGAGUAAUUCUAAUGUCUUUUCUCUCAUAAUUUGCAGUGUACACACAAAGAGGGAGAAUUUCGGCAGCUGGAAAUCUUGACCUGGGAAAGCUACAUCAGGCUACCUAUUCUGCACAACUCCAAACAAGCUGAAACUUGACAAUGAUUUUUUAUGGAAUAUAUAAGAAAUACUGGAGGAAAUAACUACCAUAGGGGGCCCAUCAGGUGGGCACAACCCACCUGGGCACGCUAGGGAGCCCAGGCAUGCCCUGGUGGGUUGUGCUCACCCAGGCCCACCUCUGGUGCCCAUCUUCUGGUAUAUAAGUCAUUUUAACCUAGAAAAAAUAAGGAUAAGGCUUUUGGGACGGAGCGCUGCCGUCUCGAGGCGGAACUUGGGCAGGAGCACUUUUGCCCUCCGGCGGAGCGAUUCCGCCNNNNNNNNNNNNNNNNNNNNNNNNNNNNNNNNNNNNNNNNNNNNNNNNNNNNNNNNNNNNNNNNNNNNNNNNNNNNNNNNNNNNNNNNNNNNNNNNNNNNNNNNNNNNNNNNNNNNNNNNNNNNNNNNNNNNNNNNNNNNNNNCAUCGUCCUCAUCAUCACCAACAACUCUCCCAUCUUGGGGAGGGUUAUCUCCAUCAACAUCUUCAACAACACCAUCUCAUCUCAAACCCUAGUUCAUCUCUUGUGUUCAAUCUUGUUACCGGAACUAUAGAUUGGUGCUUGUGGGUGACUGGUAGUGUUGAUUACAUCUUGUAGUUGAUUACUAUAUGGUUUAUUUGGUGGAAGAUUAUAUGUUCAGAUCCAUUAUGCUAUUUAAUACUCCUCUGAGCAUGAGCAUGUUUAUCAUUUGUGAGUAGUUACUUUCGUUCUUGAGGUUACGGGAGAAAUCAUGUUCCAAGUAAUCCUGUGAACUUCAUAUGUGUUCGAUAUUUUGAUAUUAUGUAUGUUGUGAUUCCCUUAGUGGUGCCAUAUUUGAACGUCGACUACAUGACACUUCACCAUAUUUGGGCCUAAGCGAAUGCAUUGUGGAGUAGCAAUUAGAUGAUGGGUUGCUAGAGUGACAGAAACUUAAAUCCCAGUUUAUGCGCUAUUCCGUAAGGGACCGAUUGGAUCCAAAAGUUUAAUGCUAUGGCUAGAAUUUAUUCAUAAUACUUUUCUCAUAGUUGCGGAUGCUUGCGGGAGGGUUAAUCAUAAGUAGGAGGUUUGUUCAAGUAAGAACAUCACCUAAGCACCGGUCCACCCACAUAUCAAAUUAUCAAAGUAGCGAACACAAAUCGAACCAACAUGACAAAAGUGACUAGAUGAAAAUCCCGUGUAGCCUCAAGAACGCUUUGCUUAUCAUAAGAGACCGUUUUGGCCUGUCCUUUUGCCUCAAAAGGAUUGGGAUACCUUGCUGCACUUUUGUCACUACUAUUGUUACUUGUUACAAAUUAUCUUGCUAUCAAACUACUUUGCUACUUACAAUUUCAGCACUUGCAAACAUUACCUUACUGAAAACUACUUGUCAUUUCCUUCUGCUCCUUGUUGGGUUUGACACUCUUACUUAUCGAAAAGAGCUAUAAUUGAUCCCCUAUACUUGUGGGUCAUCAUUACAACAUCCAAUCAUCCAUAUAAUCUCUGUGUUUCUUCUGUUUUCUACCAGUCAUAUUUCAUAUGUGCAUCAGAGGAAAAAUGCUUUCAGCGGGCAUGUUGGAGUGCACAUACCAAGUUCCCAGAUUGCAAAUAUGAUCCUGGGCUCCUAGCCAUUAAUAUGUUUAAUUCCACAUUUUCUUCAUCUAAUUUCUAAAUGACUAGACAACCUGUUAUACUCUUAUAGAAUUAUGAGCCGCCCAAACCAUGUUUCUCUUGGUCUAAUUUCUAAAUGAUAAUGUGCAACAUCUAUCUCCUUGUGAACCUUUUUUUUCUUCCGACUGUAUCCCCUGGUGAACCUAUCUUACGAUAAGAUUUUUUAGGGCAUUUUUUGAUGAUUUUUUCCUAUAGCCCUUAAAUAAAAUCAAAUAAAAUCAAGUGCAACUCACAGUAAGUUUUCUGCUCCUAGCUAGUUGUAAAGAACAAGUUCAAUUCAGUCUGAUUUAGUUCUUGACAUGACCGUGCUGCCAGCAACUCCUUUUCUCUAGCUAGCACAAUAAUUGUACUUGUUUGAUGUAAAGGACAUAAAUACAAAGAAAUAAAUUGGAAGCUUAUUUCAAAUUAACUAGCUAGUGGUGUUUGUGAAGUUCAAGAAAAAUCUAGUCUUUUUCUCGACAAAUAAGUUGACAUGCAAGGAAUCAAUGAAUGUAUUUGCAAGAAAGCAAACAUAAUUAUCGAUAAAAUUGGUUGUGAUUGUCACUAUAGACAAUGGUAGUAGCUAAUUGGAACUAGAUACAAACCAAUAAAAAACAAGAUCUCAAAUCUCCAACCAAUAAAGAGUUCAACCCAAAUUUUACAAUUACACUAUUAUAUUUAAAUAGUGAUUAUUGUAAUACAUGGCUAAUUAAUUAAUGCACUAGGUUGCGCUUGUGACCAGGCAAGACAAACUUAUGAACUUGCAUGCAUGGCAAUCAGAUCGACAUCCACACAAUGCCGAUAUGAACAUUUUCUUAAUACACCUUUAUUUGUAUUUUAUUUCAGAAUUUAAACAACUAGUUUGAGCGGGUCACACAUGACGUUGUGUGACACUUUAUUUGUCACCGCUACAUUGACAUAUCCAUCGACUAAACAACGGUGAUCCAACUAUAUAUUACUAGAGAUCUUUUCUUAUCAGUAGACACCAACUCCGAUGCCAACGCCUAAUGGCACACUAGUGGUGGUUUCGUACAACGGCACAUUGACACUGCACAUUGUUGGCAGGGUACGGAGUGCAAUGGAAGUCAUCACCUCAAGCUGAGCUAUCUGGUGUGGCUGCAAAAAGGUACCAUGUGCCAAUUGUUGUUGUUGAGGUUGUUGCCCGAGUUGCUGCUGCAACUGCUGUUGGGGUUGGGAGACACAUUGGCCCAACUGUUGGGGUUGUUGUUGCUGAUAUUGGAUGAUACUCUGACCCUGUUGUUGUUGUUGUUGUUGCUGCUGCUGCUGCUGCAGGAUGAUAGAGUAGAUGAUAGCACGGAUUGACUCAUGGCGGGAUUGCUCGGGGAUUUGCCGCAACUGCUGGCAACAUUGUUGCUGCAUCACAUGGCAAAUGCUCUGCUGCAACAUUUGUGACCUAGCAAGACAUCGCUGCAUUGCCACAGGGAUGCACUGCUGCUGGAGGAAUACCUUGCAUGGGUUUAGCUGCUGCAAAACAGAUGGAUGAAUAACUGGUAUUUGUUGUUGCUGUGAAAAUGGUGGUUGUUGUUGCUGCGAAAAUGGUGGUUGUUGCUGCUGUGAAAUUGGUGGCUGUUGUGAAAAUGGUGGUUGUUGUUGCUGUGUAAAUGGUUGUUGUUGUUGUUGUUGCUGCUGCUGCUGCUGUGAAAUUGGUGGCUGUUGUGAAAACGAUGGUUGUUGUUGCUGUGUAAAUGGUGGUUGUUGUUGUUGCUGCAAAAAUGGUGGUUGUUGUUGCUGCGAAAAUGGUNNNNNNNNNNNNNNNNNNNNNNNNNNNNNNNNNNNNNNNNNNNNNNNNNNNNNNNNNNNNNNNNNNNNNNNNNNNNNNNNNNNNNNNNNNNNNNNNNNNNNNNNNNNNNNNNNNNNNNNNNNNNNNNNNNNNNNNNNNNNNNNNNNNNNNNNNNNNNNNNNNNNNNNNNNNNNNNNNNNNNNNNNNNNNNNNNNNNNNNNNNNNNNNNNNNNNNNNNNNNNNNNNNNNNNNNNNNNNNNNNNNNNNNNNNNNNNNNNNNNNNNNNNNNNNNNNNNNNNNNNNNNNNNNNNNNNNNNNNNNNNNNNNNNNNNNNNNNNNNNNNNNNNNNNNNNNAAUUGUGGUUGUUGUUGCUGUGAAAAUGGUGGUUGUUGCUGCUGUGAAAUUGGUGGCUGUUGUGAAAACGGUGGUUGUUGUUGCUGCAAAAAUGGUGGUUGUUGUUGUUGUUGCGAAAAUGGUGAUUGCUGUUGCUGCGAAAAUGGUGGUUGUUGUUGCUGUGAAAAUGGUGGUUGUUGUUGUUGCUGUGAAAUUUGCGCAACGGCACUUGCCGCCGCAAGAGCGAGGAGGGCAAAGACGAGGAAGGUCUUCAUUGUGGAUUGGUGUUAACUAGUGUUGUUUGGCUUUGAUGCUUGUGCUUGUGAUGAUCUUUAUACUUCAUGCCUAUUUAUAGUUGCCGGGACACCACCUCUUUUCCUUCUUUGCACCGGCUUUAAUAAUUCUGUUUGGAUGCAUCUGAAAUGAAUUUUUUGGUACAUUGUGUUGGGUUGCACUAGCUACAAAAGCGUACUUUUGGAUUCAUCAUCAAAGUUGCCUUUUAGUUGUGCAUAUGAUCAUACACAAAGUACAGAAACCUCGAUGUUUGGUACAUAUGACUCACCUUAUUAACUUUACAUGUCACGCACUUAUCAGGAUAGUAUCACUUUUGCAACCGAGUUUGGAACCUUGUAUAGGCUGUCAGCCGUAAACAAGAAAGGCAAAGUUUGUGUAGGACUAAGUUUGCAAUCGUGUGUGGGCUGUUAAGAUAUGCUCGAUUAUUGAAGUCUUGCGUGUGGAGGGUUCUUCUAGACUCGGUUGCUUUUUAUAAAACUAACUUUGUAUUUUCCUCUAAGAUGAUAAGAUGAACUGACGCCUACAGAGCAUGACAUGACUCAUCAAAUGCCCUUUACAUGUAAAUGAUGGUAGUUGCUUACAAGCUACUCCCACUAGCAUAUAUCCGGUCCUAACUCUAGACACGUCAUCAUUAGUUCCAUCUUCUGAUUUUUUGAGAUAAAUCAUCAGUUCCAUCUGUAUGUGAAGGAAUUUUUUUUGGGUGAAGGGAAAUGAUAGGUGGGGCUGGAACAGAGGCCCACAGCCUCGAGCGAGUUAUUAGGCCCAAUAUAAGAGUUGUGUGUUAGGCCACCAAAUUAGAAUUGGGCUAUAGUUUUCGGAGGCCUCAACGUCACAAGCCUAGCCCACACUCGGCCGAUCUGCAUCGUCUUCAUCUCCCCCUCCCCGUCCUCCUCGCCGGCCGGACCACUCGCCGGCGCAGCCUCUCCCGCACCCCGCCGCCCGCGGCUGCUCCACGUACGUGCGCGGCGGCGGAGGCGUCAGCAGCCUCCCUUCCAUGCUCAGCAUCUGAAGAAAGUCCGUCUUCGGUGCCGCGAUAUCCAAGUUAGUUAUAGCAUCCAGUCAUCUGUAUAAUCUCAGUAUUUAUUCUGUUUUGUACUGUCGUAUUUCAUAUGUUCGUCAGAGGAGAUGUGCUUUCUAGAGGCAUGUUGCAGCUGGCCGAGUCCGAGAUCUCAUUUCAUUUAUAUGGCCAUAGGCAGCGAUCAAUAAAAGGGCACUGGAAUUUAUCUUCCAACGCCACUGUUGUUCUAGCUCUCUGUCUUUACUUUUGCUGCUUCUGUUGUAUGGCUACAAAGUUAGGCUUCAUCUGAUUUUAGUUAGUUAAUCUGAUCUUGUUAACCUGAUAAAGAGAAUUCCACCCUGCCCUUUAUUCUGCUUCUGCUUUUCACUGUCUCACAAUAACGCAACAUAUUAAGCUCACCAAAUUGUAUCCCUCAAAAAUAAAAAUGCUCGCCAAUUUGUAUCACAUUCUCAUACAUGUAUUUCAUCGCGGAAUCACAGGAGAUUGUCAAGUUGUGUUUUACCAUAUCAGUGUAUCAUUUGCUCAUAUGAGCAAGAGAUGGUCACCUGCCAGCUUAUUUUGUUCAUAUCUGAGAUCGAUCAUGCCUCCAUUGUAUGGUUAAGAAGUUAGGUUUCAUCCGAUUUUAGUUUGUUAAGCUGAUCUCGUUAAACUAAUAAUAAGAACUCCAUACAGUCGUUUAUUCUGAUCUUCAUUGCCUCACAAUAAUAAGAGAACCUAUUAAGCUCGUCGAAAUUGUAUCUCAUACUCAUACACAUAUCUUUGAUCAUCGAAUAACAUAAAUUAUCAUAUCAGUGCAAAAGUAUAUAUCAUUUGUCCAUAAUCCAUAUGCACAAGAGAUAAUUAUCUGCCAGGCAAUUAUUCUUAUCUUUGAGAUCCGAUCCUGUACUCAAUGCUAAUUAGAGGUGUCAUUAAGACAAGAAAAUAACCACUAGCCCCCGGGUCUUCUCUCGUUAGCAGAAAGCAUGUGAUGCAUUCAAGUUUCAGUGAAUUCACGAAAACCAAUAUUGUGGUCUGCUCUCACCCUUGAGUUGAGGUAAUUGUUUAAUUUGCAUUCUUGCGACUUCUUGUAUUUGGAAAGAAAAUUCAUACUAUUUUCCGACUUGCCAAUGCAUCGUCACUUCUGAAAACCAAUAUUGUGGUCCUCCUUGUAAAUGCAUAUAAGGUACUUGAGAUGGAUUGCAUUCUGUAAGUGCACUGUAUGUGUGCUGUCACCCAACAAUGGAGGUAAUUGUUAAGUUUGCAUUCCUGCAACUUCUUGUAUAUAUCUGGAAAGAAACUUCUUACUAUUUGCUGAGUUCACAUCCAAUGUAUCUUUGCUUUUUUUUCUUUUUCUUUUUGCAACACAAUGUAUCUUCACUUUUGAAAAACUGCAUUGGAUGUACCGACAUAAAUAUAUAAUAUAAUGAUGAUCUAAUGGCAAAUUAUAUGGCCAUAGGCAGUGAUGAUCAAUAAGAGGGCACAUGAAUUUAUCUUCUAACGUAUGCAUCACUAUUUGUUUAGCUCUCUGUCUUUAUUUUUCCGCCGGCAUUGUAUAGUUAAAAGUUAGGUUUCAUCUGGUUUAGUUAGUUAGGGGGAUCUUGUUGUGCUCUCUAUCUUUAUUUUUGUGGCCUCCGUUGUAUGGUUAAAAAGUUAGGUUUCAUCUGGUUUUAGUUAGUUAUAAGCGAAUCUCUUUAAGCUCUCUAUCUUUAUUUUUGCUGCCCCCGUUAUAUGGUUAAAAAGUUAGGUUUCAUCUGAUUUUAGUAAGUUAAGCAGAUCUCGUUAAGCUCUCUAUCUUUAUUUUUGCUGCCUCAUUGUAUGGUUAAAAAGUUGGGUUUCAUCUGAUUUUAGUUGGUUAUAAGCGGAUCUCGUUAAGGUGGUAAGAAGAACUCCAUAUUGUCCCGCCUCACAAUAACAGAACCUAUUAACCUCGUCAAAAUUGUAUCUCAUACUCAUACAUAUCAUUCAUUUUCGAAUAACAUGAAUUAUCAUAUCAGUACAUAUAUCAUCUGUCCAUAUGCACAAGAGAUAAUCAUCUGCCAGCUGAUUAUUCUUAUCGUUGAGAGCCGAUCCUGUCCCUUCAAUGUUAAUUAGAGGUGUCAUUAUAAAAGACAAGAAAAUAACCACUUGCCCCUGGGUCUUCUCUCGUCAGCAGAAACUUGCCCCCGGUGCUAGGGUUGAGGGACCCCUGGCGUCGCCCAGGGGGAGGCGGCGCGAGGGGAGGUGAGCUAGUUGCUCGUGCGCGGCCGCUGAUUUGCUGCAGGUUUUGUGAUAUUUGGACGUUCGAUGUACAUUGAGAUAUUGGAUUAACUUUGUUAUGCCUAUGAGAUUUGUACAUUGAGAUAUUGGAGGAACUACCACACAUUUGCAAAGCAGCCAUGGCUACUAGGAUCAUGGUUUUGCUUCUUCUCAUGCUCCUCUCAUUCUCAGAGUCCACCACCCCUUACCAGGUGUUAGAUUUCAACACGGCAACCCAGAGUACCGAGGAGCUUCACCAAGCUAUGGAGCGGGCGUUUUGGCUCCUCUCCUUCCGGCGGUUCAUCAGGCGAAGUGCAUAGGAAGGCCAAAUUUGUUGUUGCUGCAUGCUUCUGUGCUGAAGUGGACACGAAGCUAUGGAGCGGAAGCUGAUGUGCUGAAGCAUUCUCUCGUCGUCUUGUUGACUGCACUGGCAGACGGCCUGCAAGCUCGCUGCAUCCCGGACGCGAAGGCCCAAGAUGUUGCUGUUGUGCUCUUCCACGACGCGGGCGAGGAGGAGGUACCCCGGCAUCAUCCACCGCAGGCUCCCGUACUGCAUGAUGGAGCAAUUGGGCACUGACAUCUCUAUUUGUCGAGGCAUAUAGUGCAAUCUUAUAUUACCCUAAAGCUUCCAUGUAUCUGCCGUUCGUCGGAGGGAGGAUUCAUGGCAUAUGUUAUCGUCCUGGUUAAUGUGGUCAUCUGUUAUCCAACCUUAAUCCUUACUAGAACCGAGAAUUACAUAGGUAAUGUGGGGCAUUGGUGGCCAUUACAUAUGUAAUAGCUUAAAUCGAUUGAGAGAGAAGUUUACUUGCGUUUAUACUUAUAGUAGUUCAUAUGAACAAUCCAUAAUACUUACUAAAAAGUACGAGGGUAACGCAAGAAUGAGAUCAGAUCUCAACAGGGAAAUGAAAUUAGCUCCUAAUCAGCCAAAUAGUGGAUGUCAACCAAUUUUUUUACUAACACGCAACUAAUGACAUACUCUACUGUAUAUCCAAAUAUGCCAUAUCAGACAUCGGAAAAAUGAUUUUAUUAUAUCUAUAAAAAUAAUGAAUAAUAGUUUCUUUUUGCGAAAAUGAUCUAACCAAUUAUAAAAGUACAUUGGAACUAUAAAGUAUCUCCAACACAAUAAAAAUUAAAUCGAGAUUCCGAAACCACUGAAUGACCAAAACUACCGCCAAAUUGAGCACACGCUGCUAUCGCCACUCACCUACCGGAGCAGACUUGACAUUGUCGAUGAAAGCUGGGAUGUCUUCAUGCACGUGCUGCUAAGGACCAGCGCACUGGAGCCGCAGUCGUUGCCAUGAAACCCUUGAAUAAAUCUGAGCUUGGUAGGAAAAUUAGUGACCCACUGAAAACGACAGCUCCAUUUUACUCGGCAUAGGUGAAGGCACAACAAACCGCAUCAACAGGUACAAAACAAAGGAUGUCCAUGGGGUGCCAUCCGGACCGCGCCACCGGCUCAUAGCUACAUCAAUGCCCCUGUCAAUGUGCCGAAACCAGCGGAGGCACGGAUCCUCCGAUGAGGAGAUGGUCAGGGCGAUGUGGCUGGGAUCUAGCCGGGGACGUGGGGCUAGGAGGCGGCUCACGGGGCAUCGUGUACUUUUGAGCCCUCAUCACAUGGCUCAGUUAGGCCAGUGAAAUCUCCUGAAUAGCGAGGGCUACCCUGCCUCCCCUUUGUGUACUUCAUCUCCUGUUCCGUGUCCCAAAGGGCCGACUAUACACUACUAGGGAAAAGCCUAGUAGUAGCGAGGGUUAAAUAGCUAGUAGUAGCACGGGCGCUCGCGCUACUACUACGGCGCUAUAGCUAACUUAUAGUAGUAGCGUGGAUGUGCCCGUGCUACUACUACGUCUGUUAGUAGUAGCGUGGGUACCACCCACACUACUACUAUUAAUUUCAAAAACAAAAAGAAUCUCGAUGUCGUGCGUGCUGUCAAUUAAUGGCAGCAAUGGUUCGAUCCAGCGACGACAGGGGUCGGCGGAGCUGCAGAAGGGCAGUGGUAGAACAGAUCCGGCACCGACUGCUGUAGAGGGCCCGGAUCCAUGGCCGAGCAAGGCAGCGGCAUGGGGCUCCUCUUUGCAACCAAGGCAGCAAGCUCCUGGUGGUCCAUGGUGAUGACCUGCACGGGCAAGGACAUGGGAUGGUGAGUCAAACCAGAGCGAGAGAGAAAAAGAAAAACGAGGGAGACAGGAAGGAGAUGGAGGUACCAGCAGGGUUGGUCGCCGUUGGUGAGGUGCUCCGGCGUGGUGGCAUGGAGAUGCGGGGAAUACCUGCGAGCUCCGGGAAGCCGGUGGCACGAGGUGGCCAGCCUCUUUUGACGCCAUGGAGGAGGAGGCGCGCAUGCAUAGGAGGUCCAUGUGAGAGCCUAUGGAGAGACGGGGGGAGAGGAAGGAUUUGGGGAGGAGAUGGGGAUUUCAGAGCUCUUCAAAAACCAUGUAGUUAGUAGCAGCGUGGGUUUAUAGCCCUCGCUACUACUAUCAACUUAGUAGUAGUGCGUGUCUAUACCCCUCGCUACUACUAUGGCAUGUCCCGGGAGGGGUAAAAACCUGCGCUAGGGUAAAAACCCGCGCUACUAGUAAGUAGUAGUAGUGAGGGGUAUAAACCCGCGCUAGUAGUAAGCGUUUGCCUAGCCUUUCCCUAGUAGUGAUACUGCGGUUUUGGCAAGAUUUCAAUCAGCCCUAAUGUGGUGUUUCCCAUCCAAUUUAGGUGUUAUUGAGUUUUAUGUGUUUUUAAAAAGAACUAGCCCUAUCCAGGUUCGUGGGUUGAUGACUGGUUAUUUUAAUUUGACUUCCCUUCAACCAAACACGACAUUUCUCUGCUUUUUUGGCAGGAGAUCAGAAACUAAACAUGAUUCUCUCCCAGCAAAAGAAGAAAAAACUAAACAUGAUCUAGAUUAUGUACAAUUACAAUAUCUUAUGUCGAUACACCUAUUUAGCAUUUGUGUGUCUAUUGUAAGAACUGAAUGGGUCAUUAAUAUAUUGAAUUGGGUCUACUCUUCGUCAUGCAGUUUUCGUUGCCCAACUACAAAGCAAUUCAUGCUAAUUUUUCUAUUAAACCAUAUGGUCACUUGUAUGCAAGUAGCCCUACUAUUUCACACAAUUUUGUUGUCUACUCACAUGAUAAACAAAUGAUAACGGCUCCUGAAUGCAUGCUUAACAGUUCACGCCUAUUACGUGCUUACCUGAAUGGAAAACGAUCUUAACAAAGACUGCAGUAUAUAUAAGUCAGGCCUAUAUAUAUGUACUCAAUCACCUGAACUGCCUUAGCUAGGAUGCAAAAGUGAGUGUUAUAUGAGAGGUUUCGAAUUUAUUUUAUGCUCUAUUCCGUUUCUAUCAAUCUGCUUGAAAUAUUGGAGGAAAACAAAAAAAAAACCUAUUUAGCUGCCAUAAUCGCGUGCUGGACCAUGAACAACACGUUUAUGACCCGCCUGCGUGGUUAUCAAAAUAUCUAUUAGUUUGCGUCCUUCCUUGCGGAGACAUUUAUGUUUGGAGAGGAGCAACCAUUUGAAUAUCAGUCUAACAGCUUGCGGUGGAAGCCUCGUUCAGGUUGUCCAACUGUUUCUCAUUAUAUCCCCGAUACGAUUGAUUCUUGGGCCCUCGCAAACCAUUACUGUGAGGUCACGCUUGGCAUUCCUUUCUUUUUCUCUAUUAGCCUCGAUGCGCGGCAUGCGCGAGUACUCCACAAGGACCUUUGCUGCUUCCAAUGCCACUUCCUCCGCGAGUACUCCCUAUUGAUUCUUGGGCUCCGCAAGUACUCUGCAAAGACCCCGAUCGUGUGGCACGAAGCAAAUGUGCCCACACGUCCUGGCCCAGCUACGUUAGUUACCCGCGGGAUGACUCUUUAGUUACCUCGGGGGAUGGCAACUUUAGUUAUCCGGGAUGGCAAAUAUAGUUGUAAAAGCAUGUCAACUCUCUCUGUUUUGGUUAACUAUAGUUGCCAUGUCUAAUUUAUGGUAGUUGCCGCGUGUAAUCAAACCAUAGUUGCCGUGUGUGAUAAACUACUUGCCACAUGUGGUCAAACAAUAGUUUCCAUGUGUGUUUACAUAAUUGCCACAUGUGGUCCAACCAUAGUUGACAUGUAUGGCUAAUCAUAGGUGCCAUGUGUGUUUACAUGGUUGCCACGUACGCACAACUGCAGUUGCCAUCUACAAACGAAUCAUAGUUGCCAUGUGUGUUUACCUAGUUGCCACAUACGUGCAAUUGUAGUUAUCAUCUAUCACUGUACGAGCGUCGUGUGGGUGAAGAGCAGUUCACCCACACACGAGUGGACUGGGUGGUGACUGUGUGCACGGGAACUAGUUCGCCCACACGACGCAGCUGGCAACCGCGCGCUGUGGGUCGUGUGGGCGAGCGCUCUAACGCCCACACAACACGCUAGGCCUACUGGCACUGAAAUUCCAAUAGAUUCCUUUAAGAUUCAUGCAAAACAUAACAGAGGGAGACCAACGCGUGUGGGCGAAGUGCAGACCUGCCACACGUGUGGGCGUUAUCAUUUUUCUUGUUGUUUUGAAUCGGAUAUCUAUGCAACUGUAAAUUUGACCCAAAUUAUAUGGACUGCUGCAAUCUGUCGUGGACUUGUGGUUCACCCCUGUUUGGCGACUCUUAUGGUGCACUCUGGUUAGUUUCUUGGUCAUCGCUUUGUAUUUGUUGCCCAGAUGAAAUUUGAGUUUUCAACCCACUCCAGUUUACAAUUGUAAUUAUGUGUAAUAAGUAUUUGUUUUCUUAUUUAUUUUCAUGGUAAACUCGAUUGGUCUCAUUUUCACCGUCUUAGAAGAGAUAAGUUUUAGGUGCCACAAAAAAAUAUACUCAGAUCCUUCCAUUUUUGCAUUUACUCGGUGUUGACACUCAAAAGUGGCAUAAACAUAAAUGUGGCUCAAAAGAGUGCUUAGCGUGUUGAAAGUUGCUGCUCGGGGUACUGAUCGGCCGGUUACACACCCAAGACCACCAGAGAAGGAGAAGUGUUCUCCAUGAAAAAUCUUCAUCUCGUCAAGGCAAAUGAUUUUGAUAUUUGAAUCACCUCAAUCCAAUGUCGUGUUCAAAUUUACAGCCAAAGCAGUGCAUCCCUGCCACUAAUAAAAAGUUUCAGCCGGCACCAAACACCCAUAUAGCAAUGUCGACAGAUUUGGAAGCCUGACUGUCCAGCAAAAGUACACUAUCUCUAGUAGAGGAGUGGAUGUUGAUACAAGGCAUGUCGUCUGUUUCAGUUGGUCGUCCGGUUUGCACGGCUUAAGAUGGUUAAGCAGCAGCAACAGCAGCAGGUGAGGCUUUCAUGUUGGAGGAGGUGCACAUGUUGAAAAUGUGAUGGUCCUAUGAGAAACGGGUGACGACAGACAUUGGCAGUGCUCCUGGUGCUGAAAAUUGUAUGUCUGCCUGUGGAGGAAUUUCAGUUUCAGAUUCGGUGGUUUGAAACAGAUUUUGAUUGCUUCGAAUAAUGUACUAGGUUUUCAUCUUCAGAUUGUAAUCAAUCAGCUUGGUUGAACUUUGACCUCUAUCUUGUUUAGAUACUUGUAAUGUGAAUUUAUUAUCAGCUUCAACAUUUCCAAGGUUUUGGAGAAGCUAGGAUACUCAAGUUUGUGAGCAUUUAUGUCUAAUUUUAGUUUUGUUACUUAGUUGAGACAUUGUCCCGUGCAGAUGCUUGUUAGACCGUAAAAUUGACUUCCUGGAGUAAUAUUGACAGCUGAGAUGGGAGCCGCUGGUCUCAGACUCCUUGUUGGGGAGCAAGUUGCAAAAGUAGAUAACAGAGUAAUAAAAAGAGCUUACUGAUCACUAACAUGUGCUCUGCUUGUACCAUUGUUAUGUUUAGGAGAUGGAGGCCACGGAAGGAAAGCUUGUUUUUGGCGUGACAGGUAGAGAGGUUUGGCUGGUGAGGUGACGAAGAAACUGAAGAUUUAGAACAAUUAGUAGCUAUGUAUGUGGCGAUGUUAGGAUUUGGUGCGAUGUCAGUUUGGUAUUAGGUCCGGAUAUUCGGCACACCUUUUUCAAGGGGAUAGGAGUAGCAACAUGUGUUGUCUAGAUGGUGGAUUCAGGCUGACUGACGUAUUACUUUGUAUGUUCUUUGAGAAUAAUUAAUAAUAUGGCUGCAUGCAUCCUCCAGAUGCAGAGGCUGGGGUUUAUCCUCCUUAAAAAAAAUGUAUGUGGUCGUCUGGGAAUUUUUUGCUGUUCUAUUAUGGAUUUGAUUUCAAUAGAGAUAUCUUUCAUGAGCUCGUUUAGCAAGGAAUCGUGUUUUGUUUCAGUCUGUAAGCGCUCCAUAUAUACUUCUUGCAAAACCAUGCUUCCCUGCAGGUACAGGGUCCACAUGGCGACCCUAUGAUGGACCUGUCCUCAAGUACGUACGGUGAGUAACGAAUCAAAACUCUCAACACAUUUAGUACUUUGCUGAUCUCAUGUUAUUAUGCAUCUGACUCGAGAGGCUAUUUAUUGUCAGAGGCCUUGACGAACAAUGUGAAUGAUAGUAUGAUACCCAUGGAUGGAUCUCAGGAACUUGGCGGCAGAUUUGGAAGCUCGACUGUUCAGGCAGACUGUUUCAGGUGGUCGUUUGGUUUGCACAGUGUAAGAUGGUUAAGUAGCAGCAGCAGGUGUGGCUUUCAUGUUGAACGCGAUGGCCCUAUGAGAAACGGGCGAAGGCAGACAUUUACAGUGCUCUCGUUCUAAAAACUGUAUGUUUGUCUAUGGAGGAAUUUCAGUUUCAGAUUCAACUGCACCGAACAGAAUUGUCCUUCAUCUAUACUCAGAUAUGUGAGCUAUCUUUAAUGUAUCUAGUAUUGGUAUUGUUAUUUGGUUGAGAAGAAAUCGGCCUUUAACUUGUUCAAGAAACUUUUUCAACUGUAAUUUUUAUCUGUUUCAGUGCAGAUAGUAGGCCUAUAAUGCUGGGUUACUGUGGAGUUGUUGGCGGGGUAUAUUCAUCCAUUUUGCAAUAUGAACUAGGUUUGGACUUGUUGAGAAGCUUUCCAGCAUUCUCUAGAUUGGAGCCUGCUGAAGAAUGUGAGUCUGCUAGCUAGGGGAAUAAUUGCUUCUAAAACUGUACUGAACCUGCAGUUGCUCUAGAUCGAGAAUUGUUAGGGCCUGCGGCGUAGGGUGAGAACCCGGCGUCGAGUCGAGUCGAGCAUAGCUGCUGAGUCACAUCAUUUAGAUUUGGUUGGCUGCUGGUCAUUUGGGUGGGUGUCUACAACAACAGGCAGGGGUCGGCAGUUCAGUGUCAUGGCCGCUUAUGCCCAGUAGUGCUCUCUAGAUAUCCGAUUAACUUCCACCAUAUUUCCUCUCAAGAUCAUUUUUUUCUUCCCAACCUACUGAUAAUAUGUUCAAAUUUCAGUAGCCACGGGGCGGUUGGGUUUGGAAUGUACUCUAAAAAUAUAGAGUUGCGCUCUUGUAUUACAAAUGUAGAAAACGAAUGGAGUACAAAGUUGAAACACUUAUCUUGAAAAGGACUCAGUACAUAUUUACGUAGCCAGAGAUCGAUUUUUGAGAAACCCAUUUCUUGGUGAUGUUUUCUGCGCAAUUUUUUUUUCAGAUUUGUGCUUUUUUUUUACUUUCUCAUAGUUUUUGUUUGCAAUUUUUUAUUAUGGCGUUUCUGCAAGUUCUAUCGACAGGAUGGUGGGUAAGAGCAAGGGGGAAAAGGCUGCAGCAACCGCAAAAGAAGACGAUGUUAUAUCCAGGAAGCGCCGACAAACUGUUCCCAAGAAAUUCGAAUCCCCCUUUGCAUUUGACAAGCCCAGCAAGCGAACGCACGUGGUACUAAGCCAUCCGGCAACACUACCGCAACUAGAGGUACCGUUACUAGCUAACUUAGUGCUUAAUUUACUACCAUUUUAUGUACUCACCGUUCUUGACGUUCGUAAUUUAUCAUGCAGCUCUGUUUAGUGACCAUGACGUGGAAGGCUCUGUUAAGGACGAUUUGACACCGGAACUCAUCGAUGCUGCUGUUACAUUUGUGGAGGCAGCUGCUUGGUCUGAGAAGAAUAUGACAAAAAGAGUUUACUACAAUGAACGUGGCACCUCUGUGAUUGUGGAGAGUAUACGACCGGUACUUGACCAUACAUGGCCAGCGGAUGACGUAAGAUCUAUUACCAUGUUCUGCUAUUUAAGUGCAUAAUCUAGGUGUCACGUAUGAACAUAAAAUGUUCUAUUAUUUUACGCAGAUUAUCGAUGCUUACCAGACACAUUUGGCUCUACGCAUUGGUCAUGAUCGGCACCUCUGUCCAGCCUGGAGGUCCAAAUACCUUGU